CUCAGCAUUGGUUUCUCACAGCACAUUGCAGGUGACACUAACACCAGUAGUAAAAAUGUAAAAUCAGUAACCACCUGAAUUGCUCAAAACAAUUAGUUCAUGAAUACAACACAGUUAACCACAACUUUUAACAUAAUGUUACUUAGGCCACAGUUUCCCUCUACUCAUCUUGUUAUACAAUCGGCCUUGCUACGCUACAGGGAACAACCUGACGGCGUCCCAAGAGACCCUUAUGAUGCCACCAUUCCUCGCCUCCGCCUCCUGGAACGUCCACCCAAAUGCCUCCGAAGGGUGGGGGAGCUCCCUCCACUUCUCGGUCCUGAGCUCAGUGACAUCAACCACGCAAACGCAGCUCUUCGUUGUGCUCUUCCCUGGCGCUUGGAAGAUCUUGCCCCUGCCAACCUCCUUCCCAUCGUUGUCGACUAAUGAUACGAGGCGGCCGGGCUCCAGCGAGAAGGAUCUCGUGAAUGGACGUACCAUCAUCGUCGUGUUCGGGGAUAGCUCUGUCUGCGACGUUUGCUCAGUGCUGUCCGGGCUCAACAGGCUACCACCUUUGGAUAGAGCAGUCAUCACACCUGCAGGGGGUAGAUAGUUGUCCUCCCCGGCACUUUCUGAAGACUCACCGAGAUGGGGAGUAGAUGGUUUAUCAGCAUUCUCCGCCCUUUCUUUUGCAAUGCGAGCAAGCUUAGCUUUCCGGAUGUUCAACCUAGAAAUUGCACGCGAAAACACUGUUACAAAUAGCUUUAGAUGAGAAGCACAAAAAACAUUAUUAUCAAUUUGAAGAAAGAAACUUCAAACAACGGUUAAGAUACACAGUUUUACCAGUUUUAAGUUGUGAUGCUGUGAUCUCUGGGCCCUACAAAAGCACGGCCGUAUUUUCCAUAAAUGAGAAUGCAUUCAGCAAUUAAGACCUAAGAAUAGAAUGCCCCAAAGUGAAAAAAUUACCGACAAACUUAACUUCUCUGACCAACUCUGCAAUAGAACAGGGUUUUUGUGCAUCUCAGGCUCAUCUACUAGAGCCUUCUCUAAUUCAUCUAUUUUCUCAUUAUUCAUAAGGGGCCGCUUCCUUCUCUUAGGUUGCCUCUCAUCAUACAUACUACUCUCUCCUUUCCCCUACUCCUGGAGAUCGUUUUUUUUGUAAAUUCUGAUGUUUUGAAAUUAUCCACGUUGCUGGAUGCUGAAUCAAGAUCCAUUCUGUUGUGCUGGUGUCCAGUCCUAACACCGGAAGCGACAGCCGAAGGGCCACCACUUGCUGUUCUUGCAACGCCAAGAUGGACUAGGUCUUGGCCAACUGCAUUCUGCAGGAAACCACCAUUUCUAGAGACAGUGUUCUUUGGAGUCUCGUCCUCAUCAUUUCCUUCCGGAUUUAUUGUGGGUACUGGUGUAGACACUUCCAUGUUAUGUGCAUCCUAUUGCAUCAGCUUUCGAUUAGAAUACAAUUCACUGUGGACCCAAACCCAAUCACCAGUCAUGUUUCAUUGACCCACUCAUCUAAGUAUUCACCUUUGAAAGAUUAUUCAUUUUGGACGCUGGAGUGCUUGUCCGUGUUGGUAGGAGCUACUGCACCGGGCGCAUGGCCUCCAUGCUUUCUGGUGGAAUAUCAUUUUGUACAACCUGAAACAUUUCAUAAUGACGCCAUACAACAAUUGAAAAAAUAAGAGAAAAUUUGAAAGAAAACAUGAAAACAUGAAAAUUCUGCCAUAGAAUGGAUAUUAAAUUGACCUUUGAAGUUCACUGACAAAGGAGCCAAGGCCAGGAAAGGAUGAUGGGAUAGUGUUGAGCUCAAUUUGAAGUAGUGAAUUGGUUUAAGAAUCCAGCAUAUAGUCAGACCGGUGCAAUCCUAAGUGUAUAUCCUAAAAGUGUAUCAAGCACAUAUUAGUGGCUGGCUAAAAACAAGAGAAAGUUUGAAAGAAGCAUUUACUAAAGGUCAAAACUGAGACACAGAGGCCGAUAAGAAACAGUUUACUCACCUCUUUCGUAUUUAUAGACAUCAUCUUAUCAUGAAUUUCUAGCAGCCUUGAGGUAAAUUCAUCAAACUGCUUUGUUCUGAAAUUAGAAAAUGAUAAUCCGCUAUUAACCUGAAACUAUUAUAUAACUGAGAAUGUGAAAAAUAGCUCGGCCUUCGAUGACCUGACUAACAGAGAGUUAUAUUCUCCUCAAAAUUCAAGGCGACAAUCUUGUGAUGAUAAAAAUCAGCUGACAAUCUCAUCUACUCACUGUAUGCUCUGAACAAAGAUAUAUACCACAUUGGUACCAAAAGAAUCCAGUGGAUAUAAUUCAGAACGAGGCCGUGUCUGGGGCGGGAAGGCGUCCGGCAGCUCGGAGACGGAGACGGACCUGCUGGUGGUGCACUGGUGCGAGAUGCAGGGGGAGGACAUGGCGUGGGGGAAACCGAUUCGUGGUGGCUGCCAUCGUGCUCCGGCUUCGUGCCUUGGCGGCGGAGAAAUUGGGAAUGGUUGUUCGGCUGGUCCUAGUCCGAUGUGGGCAUGUGGCGGAUCAAUCUCCGGCUUGUUUCGGCUAGACCUGGCCACAUGAUCCAACCAACCAGACUCAACCGAUUCGAAAAAAACUUGGCUGCAUCUGAUCCAAACUAAUAUAAUAAAUGAUCACGGGUAAUAAUUCUUCACCAACAAUAAUUUACGGCUGGGUAUAGGCCAUGGUUAUUACUUAAAAUCUGACCCAACAUAGAAAAACUCGACUUGGCACGUCAAACAAGAAGACACGAACCAACUUGACCCGAUACUAGACACGGGUCGAAUACGGGCCAUGUUAAAUGACCCAUGAUCCAACCUUAACUCGAUCCGACGGUUGAACAUGUUUAGUUUUGUAGUCGCGGCGUUAGGACAGACAUUGUUGCUGCUUUGUAAAAUUGUACUACUACCUUUUCUAUCAAAACGAGACCUACACCUAAAACUUCUCAGAACUAAGGGGUGUUUGGUUUAGUAACUAAUUUUUAGUCCCUCCAUUUUGUUCUAUUUUAGGUCUUGUUUGGAUAACUGCAGCUCUAGAAAAUUUAGUGGAGUUCCUGGAGCAGGUCAUUAGGUGCUUUAGAAAAUCAUGGAGAUCGAGUUAUCUCUACUAUACUUAAAGCAACAGUUUCAACGGUCGUCCUGCGUCAACUUUUUACAAAAAAGUCUCUACAUUUCUUCUAAAUUAACUCAGCGUAAAAUGUCAAAAAGCGGUGCGGGAGGUGGGUUAUGUUAAAAAGGGAUGUAGGAGGUGGUGUUUGAACCCACACCUUGAUGGAAGAAUGGUGUGAGACACUGGACGAAGCUGUCUAACCAGUAAAACAUCAUGCUUAGGUAUUUAUAAUAUUGAAUAUAAAUUGUACAUAUGUAUAUAUGAUUUUUUGUAAUAAAAAAAUAAUCGUGUCGGGCCGAGGCUACAACCCAAGCACAGCACGGCGCUCGCGCCGAGUUGGCCCAGGCACUAUUAAAUGGGUCGUGCCUCGGGCCGGCUCGCCAGACACAACCCAGUUGGCCAUCUAUACCUCCACACGAUAAUGAUGGUCCUCGCCUCAGUUGUCACCACCUCAUUCGCCAUUCUACUUAAUUUCUCUCUCCCCUCAUGCCUCCACCUCUGCGCCACCCCAUUCUCGGCAGAGGGCGUAGGAGCAUGCGCCUCCUACCCGUAUUCGUCCGACACUAGCCUCGACACCGACUCGCGCAGUGGCUAUUGCACGUCCACGAGGACGUUUCACAUCAUGCGCGCACCAUCAUAUCGUUUUCGUCGUCGUCGGACAUCCCGUUCAUCUUCCUGGACUUCGCCCGGUUCUUCUUCCCCAACCUGCUGCCCUCGCCCACGGUCGUAGCCGCGAGCCGACCGACGCUCGCCGACGCAGGUACGGGGCGAGUCAGUCAUGCUUCUGGCCUUUCUCUGUGCGUGCCGUCAAGGAGGACAUAGUGGCGCCUGCCACGCUUAGGUUAUCUUGGCGAUGAGGAGUCCAGGUCUGAGAUAUUGGACAACCAAGGCCCGUAGCGUGGCAGCAGUCAGCAUAUGCUACAUAGUUGGUGGUGUUGUUGUGUCGCUUCGGUGGGUCCAGGGCUGGAAAGACACUCGCAUUCUCUCGCCCUUUUCGGAUUGACGCCUAGUGCGGGUGCCUCUCGGUUUGGAGCUGCUCCGGCUGGGCUUCUUUCUCCGCUUGCGUGCUCUCUCCCUAUAUAUCUAGCGGUGUACUACCUAUGUCGCAUCCAAAUGCCCAUGUCUUCGUCGUGUCUUUCUCUAGCAACGAACAGGUAUGUCUGCCUCUUCCCUUCCCCUCCUGCUCUACGAAACCUUGCAAGUGGGGAGGCGAGGGAUGGGGGUCUCUGAUUUGCUACCUAUGGUACCCGUGCGUUCAUAAAAAAUAUUAUAUGAAGAGCGGAGAUAAUCAAUAAAAAAUCUUGAGAUCUUUUUGGUGGAUAAUUUAUGUGGGUAUUGUUGUGAGCCGUCGCAACGCACGGGUAACCGACUAGAAGCCUUUAAAUGAUAGUUAGGUAAGCCAUUUUAUUUAUUAUUUAGACUAAAAAUAUCUUUAAAACUAUUUAAAUUAUAUUAUAAACUACAACUCCACGCUGGAGCUGGAACCUGAAGCCAUCCCAAACAUCCCCUUAUUCCAUAAAUUGCAAAUAUGGAAACUUUGGCAAUUUAGUGACUAAAAUAAAAUAAAAUAGUGGGACUAAAAUUAGUCCCUAGAAACCAAACACCCCGACUCAUUUAUUCCUGCAAUGUUUGUACUCAUUAAGAAUAGUUCAAGUGGCUUCAUUUCCAUUCCGUCAUUUCACUUGCUUUUCUUUCUUUCAGUUCAUAUGACUAAUACGAUACAAAUAGAUUGAUUGACCAUAAUGAUAAAUUGUUUAUAUGCAUAGUGAAAAUUGAAAGUCGCCUAGAGGGGGGGGGGGUGAAUAGGCGUAAUCUGAAAUUUACAACUUUAAUCACACACUACAAGCCAGGGUUAGUGUUAGAACAAAUAACAAGUCCGGGAGAGAGAGGGGGAAAGCAAAUCAAAUGAAAAUCAAGCGGAUGAACACAAUGAUUUGUUUUACCGAGGUUUGGUUCCAAAGAACCUAGUCCCCAUUGAGGAGGUCACAAAGACCGGGUCUAUUCCAACCCUUUCCUCUCUCAAACGGUCACUUAGACCGAGUGAGCCUUCUUCCUUAAUCUCACGGGUCACUAAGACCCCGCAAGGACCACCACACACUUGGUGUCUCUUGCCUCGCUUACAAAGCUCUUGAGAAUAAGAAUGGGAAAAGAAGAAAGCCAAUCCAAGCGACAAGAACUCAAAUGAACACAAAAAUCUCUGUCACACAAGCCACCAAGUGUUUGCAGUGAAUUUGGGACUCGAAGAGGAUUUGACAUUUUGUAUUGUGUCUUGGAGUGAAUGCUAGAGCUCUUGUAUUGAAUGUGAUGUUCAGACAACUUGGAUGCUUGGAGUUGUGGUGGUUGGGGGUAUUUAUAACCCUCAACGACCAACGUAGCUAUUGGGGAGGCUGCUGGCGAUGGGCACACCGGACAGUCCGGUGCGCCACCGGACAAGCACUGUAGGCUGUCCGGUGCGCCGCCACGUCACCCAACCGUUAGGGUUCGGAGCUCGGGCGACCGUUGGAGCUUUGUCCUCUUGCGGCACCGGACAGUCCGGUGCCACACGGGACAGUCCGGUGCCCCUCUAACUUCGCUGCUCUGACUUCGGUGUGACACUGUUGCUCAUUGUAGCUCUGUCAGAGUCGACUGUUGCGUGCUGGAUAGUCGUUUCCCGGUGGCACACCAGACAGUCCGGUGACUUAUAGGGAGCGCGCCCGCGUUUUCUGAGAGUAGCUGGUUAGACCCUGUACGGUCCUGGUGCACCGUACACUGUUCGGUGGCACACCAGACAGUCCUGUGCGCCAGACCACAGCACACUCAAGUCCUUUUUUGCUCCUUUUGGAUUGGGUCCCUAACUUGAAUAUUUAUUGGUUUGUGUUGAACCUUAUGCACCUGUAGAACAUGUAUUCUAGAGAAAACUAGUUAGUCCAUAUAUUUGUGUUGGACAUUCAACCACCAAAAUUAAUUGUAGGAAAAGGUUAACCCUAUUUCCCUUUCAAUCUCCCCCUUUUUGGUGAUUGAUGCCAACACAAACCAAAGCAAAUAGAUAAAGUGCAGAAAUGAACUAGUUUGCAUAAGGUAAGUGCAUAGGUUACUUGGAAUUAAACCAAUUGAUAAUCUUACUAGAUAUGAAUGAAUUGCUUUUCUUUUCUUUAACAUUUUGGACCACAUUUGCACCACCUGUUUUGUUUUUGCAAAUUCUUUGGAAAAUCUUUUCAAAGUCUUUUUGCAAAUAGUCAAAGGUAUAUGAAUAAGAUUGCAAGAAGCAUUUUCAAGAUUUGAAAUUUCUCCCCUAUUUCAAAUGCUUUUCCUUUGACUAAACAAAACUCCCCUGAAUGAAAUUCUCCUCUUAGCUUUCAAGAGGGUUUUAAAAUAGAUACCAAUUUAAAGAUGAACUUCUAAAGAUACCAAUUGAAGGGGUUUUCAUCAUAGAUACCAAUGUGAAAAAUACCAAUUUAAAACUUUAUACCAAUUGAAAUUUUGCUUUCUCAAGAUAAGUGAAGCAUGGAUACCAAUUGAGAAAUUGCCAAAUAUCAAUUAAAGCUUUAUUUUGAAAAUUUUGAAAUCAUGGUGGUGCGGUCCUUUUGCUUUGGGCUUAAUAUUUCUCCCCGUUUGGUAUUAAUCGCCAAAAACGGAGAUGUUGAGAGCCUUUUAAUAUUUUCUCCCCAUUGGUACAAGUAAAUAAGAGUAAAGGAUUAUACAAAUUUGCAGUGUGCGGAGUAGCGACGAAGGAUUAAUGAUACCGUUAGAGUGGAAGCCUUGUCUUCGCCAAAUACUCCAUUUCCCUUUCAAUCUACGACUUAGUAUAGAAAUAUACUUGAAAACACAUUAGUCGUAGCCUUGGUACAUAAAUAAUAAGAAAUAUGCAUUUGUACUAAAUGAAAGAGACAUGAUCAAAGGUAUAUAAAUGAGCUAUGUGUGCAAUGUUUCAUUCAAAAUUCCGAGAAUCAAGUAUAUUUAGCUCAUUCCAAAGUUUGCUAAAGGUUUUCUCAUCUAAUGGUUUGGUAAAGAUAUCAGCUAAUUGAUUCUUGGUGUUUACAUAAGCUAUUUUGAUAUCCCCCUUUGUUGGUGAUCCCUCAGAAAGUGAUACCGAAUGUCUAUGUGCUUAGUGCGGCUGUGUUCAACGGGAUUAUCCGCCAUGCGGAUUGCACUCUCAUUAUCACAUAGGAGAGGGACUUUGCUCAAUUGUAGCCAUAGUCCCUGAGGGUUUGCCUUAUCUAAAGUAAUUGCGCACAACAAUGGCCUGUGGCAAUAUACUCAGCCUCGGUGGUGGAAAGAGCUACUGAGUUUUGUUUCUUUGAAGCCCAUGACACCAGGGAUCUCCUAGAAACUGACAAGUCCCUGAUGUGCUCUUCCUAUGAAUCUUACACCCUGCCCAAUCGGCACCGGAAUAUCCUAUUAAAUCAAAGGUGGAUCCCUUGGGGUACCAAAGCCCAAACUUAGGAGUGUAAACUAAGUAUCUCAUGAUUCUUUUCACGACCCUAAGGUGAAGUUCCUUAGGAUCGGCCUAAAAUCUUGCACACAUGCAUACGGAAAGCAUAAUAUCUGGUCGAGAUGCACAUAAAUAGAGUAAAGAUCAUAUCAUCGACCAGUAUACCUUUUGAUCUACGGAUUUACCUCUCGUGUCGAGGUUGAGAUGCCCAUUGGUUCCCAUGGGUGUCUUGAUGGGUUUGCCAUCCUUCAUCCCAAACUUCUUAAGCAUGUCUUGAAUGUACUUUGUUUGGCUGAUGAAGGUGCCCUCUUGGAGUUGCUUGAUUUGAAAUCCAAGGAAAUACUUCAACUCCCCCAUCAUAGACAUCUCAAAUUUUUGUAUCAUGAUCCUACUAAACUCUUCACAAGUUGAUUUGUUAGUGAAAGUCACCUAGAGGGGGGUGGAUAGGCAGAAACUGAAAUUUAUAACUUUAAACACACUAAAAGCCGGGGUUAGCGUUAGAACAAAUAUCAAGUCCAGGAGAGAGGGGAAAACAAAUCAACUAAGAAAUAAAACGGAUGGACACGGUGAUUUUUUUACCGAGGUUUGAUUCUAAAGAACCUAGUACCCGUUGAGGUGGUCACAAAGACCGGGUCUCUUUCAACCCUUUCCCUAUCUCAAACGGUCACUUAGACUGAGUGAGCUUUCUUCCUUGAUUUCUCAGGUCACUUAGACCCCGCAAGGACCACCACACGAUUGGUGUCUCUUGCUUCGCUUACAAGGCUUUGAGAAUAAGAAUGAGAGAAAGAAGAAAGCCAACCAAGCAACAAGAGCAACAAAGAAACACAAGAACGAUCCUCUCUUAAGUCCUAAAGCACUAGAAUUGAAUUGGAGACUUUGAUUGGAUCGGUGGCUUUGAUUUGUGUCUUGGAGUGUUGCACUUUGCUCUUGUAUUGAAUGAAGUGUGGUGAAUGCUUGGAUGGUUGGAGUGGAGGUAGUUGAUGGGUAUUUAUAGCCCUCAACCACCAAACAACCGUUGGGGAGGGGCUGCUGUCGAUGGGCGCACCGGACAGUCCGGUGCGCCACCAGACACUGUCGGGUGCGCUAGCCACGUCACCCAACAACCGUUAGGGUUCGGGCGCAGACGACCGUUGGAGGCUUUGUCUUCUAGUGGCACCGGACAGGUACUGUUCAUUGUCCGGUGCGCCUCUGACGGCUGCUCUGCUCUGCCGCGCACUGUUUGCGCACUGUUCAUCUGAAUUCAGCUUUUGCAGGCGACCGUUCCGCGAAGUAGCCGUUGCUCCGCUGGUGCACCGGACAGUCCGGUGAAUUAUAGCGGAGCACGCCCAGAAAAACCCGAGGGUGGCGAGUUUGGAGUUGUACGGUCCUGGUGCACCAGGGCACCCUUGGUUCCUUUGCUCCUUUAAUUUUGAACUCUAACUUUGUUCUUUUAUUGGUUUGUGUUCAACCUUUAUGCACCUGUAGAAUAUAUAAUCUAGAGCAAACUAGUUAGUCCAAUAUUUGUGUUGGGCAUUUCAACCACCAAAAUUAAUACUGGGAAAAGGUUAACCCUAUUUCCCUUUCAAUCUCCCCCUUUUUGGUGAUUGAUGCCAACACAAACUAAAGCAAAUAUAUAUAAGUGCAGAAUUGAACUAGUUUGCAUAAGGUGAGUGCAUAGGUUACUUAGAAUUAAACCAAAUUAUACUUUCACUAGAUAUGCAUGGUUUGCUUUCUUUUAUUUAACAUUUUGGACCACACUUGCACCACUUGUUUCGUUUUUGAAAAUUCUUUUGGAAAAUGUUUUUAGUCAAAGGUAUAUGAAUAAGAUUGUAAGAAGCAUUUUCAAGAUUUCAAAUUUCUCCCCCUGUUUCAAAUGCUUUUCCUUUGACUAAACAAAACUCCCCCUAAUGAAAUUCUCCUCUUAGCUUUCAAGAGAGUUUUAAUAGAUAUCAAUUGGAAAUAUAUUGAGAUGUUAGUUUUGAAAAUAUACCAAUUGAAGGUAAACAUACCAAUUUGAAAUAUAUCAAUUAAAAUUUUUCGAAAGGUGGUGAUGCGGUCCUUUUGCUUUUGGGCUAAUACUUUCUCCCCCUUUGGCAUUAAUCGCCAAAAACGGAGACUUUUGUGAGCCCUGUUUACUUUCUCCCCAUUGGUACAAGUAGAUACGAGUGAAAGAUUAUACCAAUUUGGAGAGUUAUGUGGAGUGACGGCGAAGGGUAAGUGAUAUCAGUAGAGUGGAGUUGAAGCCUUGUCUUCGCCGAAGAACUCCAUUUCCCUUUCAAUCUAUGACUUAUUGUAAGAAUAUACUUGAAAAUACAUUAGUCGUAGCAAAUCAAAGGUAUAUCAAUGAGCUAUGUGUGCAAAGUUUCAAUCAAAAAUCCGAGAAUCAAGUAUAUUUAGCUCAUUCCUAAGUUUGCUAAAGGUUUUCUCAUCUAAUGGCUUGGUAAAGAUAUCAGCUAAUUGUUCUUUGGUGCUAACAUAAGCUAUCUCGAUAUCCCCCUUUGUUGGUGAUACCUCAAAAAGUGAUACCGAAUGUCUAUGUGCUUAGUGCGGCUGUGUUCAACGGGAUUAUCCGCCAUGCGAAUUGCACUCUCAUUGUCACAUAGGAGAGGGACUUUGCUCAAUUUGUAGCCAUAGUCCCUGAGGGUUUGCCUCAUCAAAGUAAUUGCGCACAACAAUGGCCUGCGACAAUAUACUCGGCUUCGGCGGUAGAAAGAGCUAUGGAGUUUUGUUUCUUUGAAGCCCAAGACACCAGGGAUCUUCGCAGAAACUGACAAGUCCCUGAUGUGCUCUUCCUAUCAAUUUUACAACCCGCCCAAUCAGCAUUUGAAUAUCCUAUUAAAUCAAAAGUGGAUCCCUUGGGGUACCAAAGUACAAACUUAGGAGUGUAAACUAAAUAUCUCAUGAUUCUUUUUACGACCCUAAGGUGAACUUCCUUAGGAUCGGCUUGGAACCUUGCACACAUGCAUACAGAAAGCAUAAUAUCUGGUCGAGAUGCACACAAAUAGAGUAAAGAUCCUAUCAUCGACCGAUAUACAUUUUGAUCUACGGAUUUACCUCUCGUGUCGAGGUCGAGAUGCCCAUUUGUUCCCAUGGGUGUCUUGAUGGGCUUGGCAUCCUUCAUUCCAAACUUGGUAAGUAUGUCUUGUAUGUAUUUUGUUUGGCUGAUGAAGGUGCCAUCUUGGAGUUGCUUGACUUGAAAUCCUAGGAAAUACUUCAACUCCCCCAUCAUAGACAUCUCGAAUUUCUGUAUCAUGAUCCUACUAAACUCUUCACAAGUAGAUUUGUUAGUAGACCCAAAUAUGAUAUCAUCAACAUAAAUUUGGCAUACAAACAAAUCUUUUGCAAUAGUUUUAGUAAAGAGUGUAGGAUCGGCUUUUCCGACUUUGAAGCCAUUAGUGAUAAGAAAAUCUCGAAGGCAUUCAUACCAUGCUCUCGGGGCUUGCUUGAGCCCAUAAAGCGCCUUUGAGAGUUUAUAAACAUGGUUAGGGUACUCACUAUCUUCAAAGCUGGGAGGUUGCUCAACAUAGACCUCUUCCUUGAUUGGUCCAUUGAGGAAGGCACUUUUCACAUCCAUUUGAUAAAGCUUGAAGCCAUGGUAAGUAGCAUAGGCAAGUAAUAUACGAAUUGACUCAAGCCUAGCUACGGGUGCAUAGGUUUUACCGAAAUCCAAACCUACGACUUGUGAAUAACCCUUGGCCACAAGUCGGGCUUUGUUCCUUGUCACCACACCAUGCUCAUCUUGCUUGUUGCGGAAUACCCAUUUGGUACCUACAACAUUUUGAUUAGGACGUGGAACUAAAUGCCAUACCUCAUUCCUCGUGAAGUUGUUGAGCUCCUCUUGCAUUGCUAACACCCAAUCCAAAUCUUUUAAUGCAUCCUCCACCCUGUAUGGCUCAAUAGAGGACACAAAAGAGUAUUGUUCACAAAAAUGAGCGACUCGAGAUCGAGUAGUUACCCCUUAUGAAUGUCACCGAGAAUUGAGUUCACGGGGUGAUCUCUUUAAAUCCCUUGGUGGACUCUUGGGUGUGGCGGUCGUUGACCCUGUAUCUCCUGCUCAUCUUCCUUGUCUUCAUCUCCCCCUUGAUCAUUGUCCUCCUCUUGAGGUGGCUCAUCCUCCUGAUCUUCAUUGUCUUGAGCCUGUUCCUCAUCUUGAGUUGGUGGAGAUGCUUGCAUGGAAGAUGACGGUUGAUCUUGUGCUUGUGUGGGCUCUUCGGAUUCCUUAGGACACACAUCCCCAAUGGACAUGUUCCUUAGCGCGAUGCACGGAGCCUCUUCAUCAUCUAAUUCAUCAAGAUCAACUUGCUCCACUUGGGAGCCAUUAGUCUCAUCAAACACAAUGUCACAAGAAACUUCAACUAAUCCAGUGGAUUUGUUGAAGACUCUAUAUAUGCCCUUGUGUUUGAGUCAUAACCAAGUAAAAAGCCUUCUACAGCCUUCAGAGUAAAUUUAGAUUUUCUACCUCUUUUAAUAAGAAUAAAACAUUUGCUACCAAAGACUCUAAAAUAUGAAACAUUGGGCUUUUUACCAGUGAGGAGUUCAUAUGAUGUCUUCUUGAGGAUUCGGUGAAGAUAUAACCUGUUGAUGGAGUAGCAGGCGGUGUUAAUCGCCUUAGCCCAAAACCGGUCCGGAGUCUUGUACUCAUCAAGCAUGGUCCUUGCCAUGUCUAGUAGAGUUCUAUUCUUCCUCUCCACUACAAGAGAACUCAUGCUUGAUGCCCUCGUCCUCAAGAAAGCCUUCGAUUUGAGAGUUCUUGAACUCCGUUCCAUUAUCACUUCUAAUCUUUUUGAUUCUCAAUCCGAACUCAUUUUGAGCCCAUCUCAAGAAUCCCUUUAAAGUCUCUUGGGUUUGUGAUUUUUCCUGCAAAAAGAGUAUCCAAGUGAAGCGAGAAUAAUCAUCCACAAUUACUAGAUAGUACUUACUCCCGCCGAUGCUUAUAUAAGCUAUCGGGCCGAAUAGAUCCAUGUGGAGUAACUCCAGUGGUCUGUCUGUUGUCAUUAUGUUUUUGUGUGGAUGGUGGGAGCCAACUUGCUUUCCUGCCUGACAUGCGCUACAAACCCUGUCUUUCUCAAAAUGAACAUUUGUUAGUCCCAAAAUGUGUUCUCCCUUUAGAAGCUUGUGAAGAUUCUUCAUUCCAACAUGGGCUAGUCGGCGAUGCCAGAGCCAACCCAUAUUAGUCUUAGCAAUUAAGCAAGUAUCGAGUUCAGCUUUGUUAAAAUGAACUAAGUAUAGCUGACCCUCUAAUACUUCCUUAAAUGCUAUUGAAUCAUCACUUCUUCUAAAGACAGUAACACCUAUAUCCGUAAAAAGACAGUUGUAACCCAUUUUGCAUAAUUGAGAAACUGAAAGCAAGUUAUAAUCUAAAGAAUCUACAAGAAAAAUAUUGGAAAUAGAAUGGUCAGGUGAUAUAGCAAUUUUACAAAGUCCUUUGACCAAACCUUGAUUUCCAUCCCCGAAUGUGAUAGCUCGUUAGGGAUCUUCGUUUUUCUCGUAGGAGGAAGAACAUUCUUUUCUCCCCUCUCAUGUGGUUUGUGCAUCCGCUAUCAAUUAUCCAACAUGAGCCCCGGGAUGCAUAAACCUGAAAAAUAGUUUUAAGCCUUGUUCUUAGGUACCCAAUCAGUCUUAGGUCCUUUCACGUUAGAAACAAGCACCUUGGGUAACCAAACACAAGUCUUAGAGCCCUUGUGUUUGCCCCCAACAUAUUUGGCAACUACUUUGCCUGAUUUGUUAGUUAAAACAUAUGAUGCAUCAAAAGUCUUAAAUGAAAUAUUGUGAUCAUUUGAUGCAGUAGGGGUUUUCUUUUUAGGCAUUUUAACAUGAGAAGAAUGCCUAGAGCUAGAAGCCUCAUUCUUAUACAUAAAAGCAUGGUGAGAAACAAAAUGAGAUUUCUUAGCAUGAAUUCUCCUAAUUUUGUGUUCGGGGUAAUUAGCAUGAUAUAAAAUAUAUUCCUCAUUAUCCUGAACCAUGGGAGCUUUGCCCUUAACAAAGUUAGACAAUUUCUUAGGGGCAUUAAGUUUGACAUUGCUUCCCUGUUGGAAACCAAUGCCAUCCUUGAUGCCAGGGGGUCUCCCACUAUAGAGCAUGCUUCUAGCAAAUUUAAAUUUUUCAUUUUCAAUUUCAUGUUCAUUGAUUUUAGUAGUUAAUUGAGCUAUAUGACCAUUUUGUUGUUUAAUUAAAGCAAGGUGAUCAUGAAUAGCAUUAACAUUAACAUCUCUACAUCUCGUACAAAUAGUAACAUGAUCAACAGUAGAUGUAGAGGAUUUGCAAGAUUUUAUUUCUUCUAUCUUAGCAUUUAAGAUUGCAUUCUCAUCUCUAAGCCGGGAAAUAGAAUCAUUGCAAACAUUUAAAUCCUUAGCCUUGGAAAUUAAACUAUCAUUUUGAUCCUAAGGCUAGAAAUUGAUUCAUUCAAUUUAUAAAUCUUAACAAUUAAACUAGCAUUUUUAUUUCUAAGAUUGGUAAUUGAAUCAUGGCAAAUGCCUAGCUCCUUAGUCAAGUUUUCAUUUUUCUCUACUUCCUGAGCAUACACAUUCUUCACUUUAAUAUGCUUUUUAUUUUCCUUAAUAAGGAAUUCCUCUUGGCUAUCCAAGAGUUCAUCCUUCUCAUGGAUGGCACCUAUCAAUUCAUUUAAUUUUCCCUUUUGGUGCAUGUUAAGGUUGGCAAAAGGGUAAGUAUAUCAUCUUCAUCAUCACUAGAACUACUCUCAUCACUAGAUGUAGUAUACUUGGGGUGGUUUUAGAUUGUACCUUUUUCUUUUUGUCGUCCUUUGCCAUGAGGCACUUGUGGCCGACGUUGGGGAAGAGGAGGCCCUUGUUGACAGCGAUGUUAGCGGCGUCCUCGUCGGAGGAGGAGUCGGUGGAGCUCUCGUCGGAGUCCCAUUCCCAACAUACGUGGGCAUCACCGCCCUUCUUCUUGUAGUAUCUUUGCUUCUCCUUCUUCUUCCCCCUCUUGUCGUUGUCCCUGUCACUAUCACUAGACAUAGGAAUUUAGCGAUAAAAUGACCGGGCUUACCACAUUUGUAGCACACCCUCUUGGAGCGGGGUUUGUAGUCCUUCCCCCUCCUUUGCUUGAGGAUUUGGCAGAAGCUCUUGAUGAUGAGCGCCAUUUCCUCGUUGUCGAGCUUGGAGGCGUCGAUGGGAAGCCUACUUGAUGUAUACUCCUCUUUCUUCUCUUCCGUCGCUUUGAAUGCGACGGGUCGCACCUCGGGUGUGGAGGUGCCGCCUUGCUCAAAGUUGACAAUUUGUUUGGAGCCUUUGAUCAUUAGUUCAAAGCUCACAAACUUCCCAAUUACCUCCUCGAGAGACAUUAUCUUAUAUCUAGGAUCACCACGUAUUAAUUGAACUUGAGUAGGAUUACGAAAUACGAGGGAUCUAAGAAUAACCUUGACCAUUUCAUGGUCAUCCCUUUUUGUACUCCCGAGGUUGCGCACUUGGUUGACCAAGGUUUUGAGCCGGUUGUACGUCGCCUGUGGCUCCUCUCCUUGGUUGAGGACGAAUCGACCGAGCUCCCCCUCGAUCGUCUCCCGCUUGGUGAUCUUGGUCACCUCAUCUCCUUCGUGUGCGGUCUUUAGGACAUCCCAAAUCUCCUUGGCGCUUUUUAACCCUUACCACCUUAAAGUGCCAGAUUUGGGCGACCUCGUCCGAGUCGUAGCCCUUGUCUCCCACCGUGGGUACAUGCGCUCCAAACUCAACAAUGUCACAUAUGCUUGCGUGGAGUGAGGUUAGGUGAUGCCUCAUUUUAUCACUCCACAUACAAUAAUCUUCACCAUCAAAAUACAGUGGUUUGCCUAAUGGAAUGGAAAGUAAAGGAGCGCGUUUAGAAAUGCGGGGAUAUCAUAGGGGGAUCUUACUAAACUUCUUGCACUCAUGGCGCCUAGAAGUGACGGACGCCGCAUCGGAGCCGGAGGGCGACGAAGAGUCGGUCUCGUAGUAGACCACUUUCUUCAUCUUUUUCUUCUUGUCGCCACUCCGAUGCGACUUGAAGCGGGGAGGUGAUUCCUCCCUUCCUUUGGCGUCGGACUCCCUUGAUGGAGCCUUCCGGUGGCUUGUGGCCUUCUCGCCGGUUUCCAUCUCCCUCUUGGCGGAUCCUCCCGACAUCACUUCGAGUGGUUAGACUCUAAAUGAAGUACCGGGCUCUGAUACCAAUUGAAAGUCGCCUAGAGGGGGGUGGAUAGGCGGAAACUGAAAUUUACAACUUUAAACACACUACAAGCUGGGGUUAGCGUUAGAACAAAUAUCAAGUCCGGGAGAGAGGGGAAAACAAAUCAACCAAAAAAUAAAAAGAAUGGACACGGUGAUUUGUUUUACCGAGGUUCGGUUCUAAAGAACCUAGUCCCCGUUGAGGUGGUCACAAAGACCGGGUCUCUUUCAACCCUUUCCCUCUCCCAAACGGUCACUUAGACCGAAUGAGCUUUCUUCCUUGAUUUCUCGGGUCACUUAGACCCCUCAAGGACGACCACACGAUUGGUGUCUCUUGCUUCGCUUACAAGGCUUUGAGAAUAAGAAUGAGAGAAAGAAGAAAGCCAACCAAGCAACAAAGAAACACAAGAACGAUCCUCUCUCAAGUCCUAAAGCACUAGAAUUGAAUUGGAGACUUUGAUUGGAUCGGUGGCUUUGAUUUGUGUCUUGGAGUGUUGCACUUUGCUCUUGUAUUGAAUGAAGUGUGGUGAAUGCUUGGAUGGUUGGAGUGGAGGUGGUUGAGGGGUAUUUAUAGCCCUCAACCACCAAACAACCGUUGGGGAGGGGCUGCUGCCGAUGGGCGCACCGGACAGUCCGGUGCGCCAGCCACGUCACCCAACCGUUAGGGUUCGGGCGCAGACGACCGUUGGAGGCUUUGUCUUCUAGUGGCACCAGACAGUCCGGUGCCGCAUCGACAUAUACUGUUCAUUCUUCGGUGCGCCUCUGGCGACUGCUCUGCUCUGCCGCGCACUGUUCAUCUGGAAUUCAACUUUUGCAGGCGACCAUUGCGCGAAGUAGCCGUUGCUCCGCUGGUGCACCGGACAGUCCGGUGGCACACCGGACGGUCCAGUGAAUUAUAGCGGAGCACGCCCAGAAAAACCUAAGGGUGGUGAGUUUGGAGUUGUACGGUCCUGGUGCACCGGACAUUGUCCGGUGCGCCAGAUCAGGGCACCCUUAGUUCCUUUGCUCCUUUGAUUUUGAACACUAACUUUGUUCUUUUAUUGGUUUGUGUUGAACCUUUAUGCACCUGUAGAAUAUAUAAUCUAGAGCAAACUAGUUAGUCCAAUAUUUAUGUUAGGCAUUUAAACCACCAAAAUUAAUACUGGGAAAAGGUUAACCCUAUUUCCCUUUCAGUUAGUAGACCCAAAUAUAAUAUCGCCAACAUAAAUUUGGCAUACAAACAAAUCUUUUGCAACAGUUUUAGUAAAGAGAGUAGGAUCGGCUUUUCUGACUUUGAAGCCAUUAGUGAUAAGAAAAUCUCGCAGGCAUUCAUACCAUGCUCUUAGGGCUUGUUUGAGCCCAUAAAGCGCCUUUGAGAGUUUGUACACAUGGUUAGGGUACUCACUAUCUUCAAAGCCGGGAGGUUGCUCAACGUAGACCUCUUCCUUGAUUGAUCCAUUGAGGAAGGCACUUUUCACGUCCAUUUGAUAGAGCUUAAAGCCAUGGUAAGUAGCAUAGGCAAGUAAUAUACGAAUUGACUUAAGCCUAGCUACGGGUGCUUAAGUUUCAUCAAAGUCCAAACCUUCGACUUGUGAAUAACCCUUGGCCACAAAUCGGGCUUUGUUUCUUGUCACCACACCAUGCUCAACUUGCUUGUUGCGGAAUACCCAUUUGGUACCUACAACAUUUUGAUUAGGACGUGGAACUAAAUGCCAUACCUCAUUCCUCGUGAAGUUGUUGAGUUCCUCUUACAUAGGCAGCACCCAAUCCGGAUCUCUUAGUGCAUCCUCUACCCUGUAUGGCUCAAUAGAGGAAACAAAAGAGUAAUGCUCACAGAAAUGUGCUACUCGAUAUCUAGUGGUUACCCCCUUAUGAAUGUCACCGAGGAUGGAGUUGACGGGGUGAUCUCUUUGAAUUGCUUGGUGGACUCUUUGGUAUGGUGGUCUUUGACCCUGUAUUUCUUGAUCAUCUUCCUUGUCUUCAUUAUCUUCAUCUCCCCCUUGAUCAUUGUCCUCCUCUUGAGGUGGCUCAAUCUCUUGAUCAUUACCUUCAUCAUCUUGAGCCUGAUCCUUAUCUUGGGUUGAUGGAGAUGCUUGGUUGGAAGAUGACAGUUGAUCUUGUGCUUGUGGAGGCUCUUCGGAUUCCUUAGGACACACAUCCCCAAUGGACAUGUUCCUUAGCGCGAUGCAUGGAGCCUCUUCAUCAUCUAGCUCAUCAAGAUCAACUUGCUCCACUUGGGAGCCGUUAGUCUCAUCAAACACAAUGUCAGAAGAAACCUCAACUAAUCUAGUGGAUUUGUUGAAGACUCUAUAUGCCCUUGUAUUUGAGUCAUAACCAAGUAAAAAGCCUUCUACAGCCUUAGGAGUAAAUUUAGAUUUUCUACCUCUUUUAAUAAGAAUAAAACAUUUGCUUCCAAAGACUCUAAAAUAUGAAACAUUGGGCUUUUUACCGGUGAGGAGUUCAUAUGAUGUCUUCUUGAGGAUUCAGUGAAGGUAGAGCCGAUUGAUGGAGUAGUAGGCGGUGUUAAUCGCCUCGGCCCAAAACCGGUCGGUGUCUUGUACUCAUCAAGCAUGGUCCUUGCCAUGUCCAAUAGAGUUCUAUUCUUCCUCUCUACUACACCAUUUUGUUGAGGUGUGUAGGGAGAAGAGAACUCAUGCUUGAUGCCCUCAUCCUGAAGAAAGCCUUCGAUUUGAGAAUUUUUGAACUCCGUCCCAUUGUCGCUUCUUAUCUUUUUUAUCCUUAAUCCAAACUUGUUUUGAGCCUAUCUUAAGAAUCCUUUUAAGGUCUCUUGGGUUUGAGAUUUUUCCUGCAAAAAGAAUACCCAAGUAAAGCGAGAAUAAUCAUCCACAAUAAUAAGACAAUACUUACUCCCGCCGAUGCUUAUGUAAGCUAUCAGGCCGAAUAGAUCCAUGUGGAGUAGCUCGAGCGACCUGUCAGUCGUCAUGAUGUUCUUGUGUGGAUGAUGAGCACCAACCUGCUUUCCUGCUUGACAUGCGCUACAAACCCUGUCUUUCUCAAAAUGAACAUUGGUUAGUCCUAAAAUGUGCUCUCCCUUUAGAAGUUUGUGAAGAUUCUUCAUCUCGACAUGGGCUAGUCGGCGAUGCCAGAGCCAACCCAUGUUAGUCUUAGCAAUUAAGCAAGUGUCUAGUUCAACUUGAUUAAAAUCAACUAAGUAUAGCUAACCCUCUAGCACUCCCUUAAAAGCUAUUGAAUCAUCACUUCUUCUAAAGACAGUAACACCUAUAUCAGUAAAAAGACAGUUGUAGCCCAUUUUACAUAAUUGAGAAACAGAAAGCAAAUUGUAAUCUAAAGAGUCUACAAGAAAAACAUUGGAAAUAGAAUGGUCAGGUGAUAUUGCAAUUUUACCAAGUCCUUUGACCAAACCUUGAUUUCCAUCCCCGAAUGUGAUAGCUCGUUGGGGAUCUUCAUUUUUCUCAUAGGAGGAGAACAUCAUUUUCUCCCCUGUCAUGUGGUUUGUGCACCCGCUAUCGAUUAUCCAACUUGAACCACCGGAUGCAUAAACCUACAAAACAAAUAUAGGCCUUGUUCUUAGGUACCCAAACGGUCUUGGGUCCUUUCACAUUAGAAACAAGCACCUUGGGUACCCAAACACAGGUCUUUGGACUCUUGUGUUUGCCCCCAACAUAUUUGGCAACUAUUUUGCCUGAUUUGUUAGUAAGCACAUAGGAAGCAUUAAAAGUCUUAAAUGAAAUGUUGUGCUCAUUUGAUGUAGUAGGAUUUUUAUUUUUAGGCAAUUUUUCAUGAGUUGAUUACCUAGAGCUAGAAGCCUCAUUUUAUACAUAUAUGCAUGAUGAGAAACAAUGUGAGGUUUUCUAGCAUGAAUUCUCCUAAUCUUAUGUUUGGGAUAGUUUGCAGGAUAUAAAAUGUAACCCUCACUAUCCUGAACCAUGGGAGCUUUGCCUUUCACAAAAUUAGACAAUCUUUUAGGGGCAUUAAGCUUGACAUUGCUUCCCUAUUGGAAACCAAUGCCAUCCUUAAUGCUAGGGCGUCUCCUAUUAUAGAGCAUGCUUCUAGCAAAUUUAAACUUUUCAUUUUCAAGUUCAUGCUCAUUAAUUUUAGCAGUCAAAUUAGCUAUGUGAUCAUUUUGUUGUUUAAUCAUGUUAAUGUGAUCGUCAAUAGCUUCAACAUUAAUAUCUCUACAUCUAGUGCAAAUGGAAACAUGCUCGACAGUAGAUGUAGAGGGUUUGUGUAACACCCUGAAUUUGGGGGUAGAAUUUUUUCUUCUUUUCUCUCACCAAAUUCGGGCGUUACUCUCUUUUCUCUUUCCCCGUUUACUCCUUCUUCCCAAUUCCAAACCAGUAUAGCGGCAGGUGUCCGUGUCAUGUAUAAACCAAAACCUAAGUGCCAUGGGUGUUGCAUCAUGCCGAAGCACAUUUCUUUGUCUGAUGUUGAAAGUUCGUCUCGUUCCGUUCCGGAUUUCGGUUCGCGAUUUAAUUUCCGUUUAGUGGUCGUGCACGUCGUGGGUUUUCGAUCCGCGAAGUGGCUCGGCCCAACCUAGGCCAACCCCCCCAUGCGCCCCCUCCUCUCCUCCCUCUCUCAUUUGGAUCUCCCGCGCAAACAACCUCUCCUCUCCUUCUUCCACCUCUCUCUCCCCGUGGUGCCCUAGGAUUUGGAGACGACGAUCACCGGAUUUUGGACCCCGAGGUGAGCUCCCCUCCCCUUCUCCUCUCUCUCAACCUCUCCCUCCUCUUCUCCCCCCCCCCCCCGCGCGCGCCCUCCCUCUCCCCGCUCGCCCGCGCGCCCCCGCCCCCGCUCGGCCGCCCUGGCCGGUUCAACCGCCCCCCUGGCCGGUUCAACCGCCCCGGCCCCGGCUCGGCCGCCCGUUCCCCCGUCCCGGCCUCGCCCGACCGUAUCUUCGCUCGCCCGCGCUCGCGGUGAUUAUUUGUUAAUUAGCGUGUUGCGUCGCGCGCUUCGCCGCGCGACGGAUUUGUCUAAAUUCAGAUUCUAUCUUGUGUUGCGUCGUGCGCUUCGUCGCGCGACGAUCCAUUUUUGUUUCAGGUUGUUUAAGGUGUAACGCCGCGUGUGUAUUCAUGCGACGUUCCACUUUGGACUCAGUUUAGUCGACGUAUGCCGUCGUGCGCUUCGUCGCGCGACGCUUAACGUCUCCUCUUAACUAAGGCGAAGUGUCUCAUUGCGUGCUCGGUCGCGCGACGAGUCGUUAACUUCUUAAUUUGUUUUAGAGAGCUUUGUCGCGCGUCUCGCCGCGCGACCAUCCUUUUUAUUUAUCUCCACCUGCUUAUAAUAAUUAGACAUGAAACAUGACUUUACUUUACGCUAAACAUAGUAUCUACAUUAAAUUUCCUUCCAUUAAGCGAGUGGUUAAUUUAUAAUCAUGUAACGUGAUCGUUUCUCGACUGUCUUUUCCUCUUUCUCUCUUAACCGUACUCGCGAGCCCGUGUGGAACGUCUGUUUACUUAUUGCAUUCUAUUGUAUGGUGUACUGUUCUUUUGUAUUAAAUGUGUGGAUGUAUGUAUGUUUGCGCUCGCAUAGAGAACGAUCCGGUUGAAGAGCCCGAGGAACUCGCAGGAGAAGCCCCUGAGCAGCAGUCGGUUGGUGGAGGCAAGUGUCCCUUGACCUAUCUCUGUCCUAUUCAUUAUUUAAUUCACCUCCCUCUUUACACAUUUAUGCCUAAGGAUUGACUAGCUUUUGUGAUCCAUGUCCUUGUUCACCUAUUUGGGUUGGAUUAUUAUUGUUUAGCUUUAUGCUAUUGCUCAAACUCUAAUCAAUGAACAUGAUGAGAUUAUCUAUGAUACGCUGUUUUCCCUUCUCUUAUUAUGAUGUUGUACUUGUGGUCAUCAAGGGGGCUCGAGCGGUUUCUCGAGUGCCUCUCCGUAAGGACCUGUUCUAUGGAUGACCGCCCGGGAAAACAGUGCAACCAUGAGGGUGGAAUGGGAUGCCCUUAGCUGAAUAAUUAGAGGAUCCGGGGUGUAGAUCACUUAGCCGUCGUGCCGUCAAUGGGGCUCGGUGUAUGCGGCUCGCUCUGCCAAGUUUGGGUUCGCCCCUUGGGGAGGAGUGCGGUGCAUUUAGGAAACCUAACGGGUGGCUACAGCCCCGGGGAAUCUUUGUAAAGGCUACGUAGUGAUGCCCUGCUGGGUCACCUUGGUAGUGAUCAAUGGAGAGUCAUGAUCUCCGGGCAGAAUGGGAAUCACGGCUUGUGGGUAAAGUGCACAACCUCUGCAGAGUGUUUGAAAACUGAUAUAUCAGCCGUGCUCGCGGUUAUGAGCGGCCAAGGGAGCUCCAGUGAUUAGUGAAACUUGAUCAGAGAUGGUUGGUUUACAGAUGAUGAUGAGGAUGGUUAUGAUUAUGCUUAUGGUGCUUGUAAGUGGUACUCUUUCCGUUUGGAAAGGAGUACGUUUGGGUUAAUAACUUGGGUUAAUGCUAAAACUUGGCUUUCUACUAGUAAGUAAUAAUCUGACCAACUAAAAGCAACUGCUUGACUUAUCCCCCACAUAAAGCUAGUCCACUACAGCCAAACAGGAUACUUGCUGAGUAUGUUGAUGUGUACUCACCCUUGCUCUACACACCAAACCCCCCCAUCCCCAGGUUGUCAGCAUUGCAACCACUGCUCAGGCGAAGAUGAAGCCGUGGAAGGAGACUUCCAGGAGUUCCAAGACUACGACGAGUUCUAGGUGUGGGUUAGCGGCAACCCCCAGUCGGCUGCCUGUGAAGGCCACGGUUAUCUACGUUUCUUUUCCGCACUUUGAUUUAUUGUAAGGACUAUAUGGACGUCUCAGACGUAUGAUGUAAUCGACUACUAUUUCCCUUAUUAAUACUAUUUUGAGCACUGUGUGAUGAUGUCCAUGUUAUGUAACUGCUGUGUACGUGAAUAACUGAUCCUGGCACGUACAUGGUUCGCAUUCGGUUUGCCUUCUAAAAACCGGGUGUGACAUAAGUGGUAUCGAAGCCCGUGCUGACUGUAGGACCGCUAACCUAGAGUAGAAUGGUCGUUCUAAGGACUAUAGACCUCUGUCUCUGCCUUGACUUUGAUAUCCCUUGAAAAGUUGGUCAUACCUACCAAACCUAUGUUCUACUAUAUAUUAUACCUUGCUGAAAAUCAUGUUUUAUCCUAAUCCUUCAUUUAUUUAUGGUCUAUUACUUGCUGGUCAUAUUGAUUCUGUUCUCACCCUUUUGCUUGCGAUGUCUUUUAUAGAUGGCUCGACUUAGACACACUGCACGAAAGUCAGUCAUCCCCUUCUUACCCUCCCGCCUUGCUGAGCGUCCGCUUCGCCGUCCCGUGGCCGGACAGUCCAGCCACUUGGAGAGACUGCACCACCGCCUGCAUGAGGAGCAGGAACGUCGACGACAGGAGCAGCAGGGCUCUUCUUUCUCGCUCCAACAGGAGAUAGAGUCUGUGAGGAGCUGCUCCCCUGUGCUUCCUCUGGAGGUGCCCCCUGCACCACCAAUGGGCGCCCCAGCUUCUGGAGUAGCUGCUGGAGGAGACCCAGACGACGGAGGUGGCGACGACAGCUCGAGCCACGACACCGACUUCUCUGCUAACCUUGAGCCGGAAGGAUGGGUUGCUCGACCCAUCACUCGCGACGCUGCUCGCGGGUGUCACUUCCACGAUGCGCUCGACACCCUGCUACGUCGGGUAUUUAACCGGCAUACUUGGUCCAUCGAGUAUCGCUGUGUGGUCUACCAGCACAGUCGCGGGGUCUACCCGGACCGCUGGGAGGCAACCUGCUUGGUGCGCUGUCCGGAGAACAGUCUCCAGGGUGCAGAGGCCUGCUCAGAGCACUAUUCUAUCUCUGAGCGGGACUCAGCUGAGGCAGCCAUGCAAGAUGCUGCACGGCGUGCGCUUUCGCACUACUGCUCGGUUUUCGGUGGGGCAGCUGACGGUCUUGACCUGAAGUAUUACCCCCGCCGUCCAUCUGGCAGCACAGGAGGCGUGAUUGUCUCACCUGUCGGUGAGGGCAAUCCUAGGUUGAGCAGCACAGUCAACCUAACCGCCGUGCUAAACACGGAGCUGGACCAUGCAUUAGAUGAGCUGAGUAGGGCUCGUGCUGAGAUCGCCCUGCUGUGGGCUGAGCGCGCGGAACGUCGUCACCUGGAUGGUGGUUCCCCCGCUCCCGUCGGGACUCAGCACCCGUACCGCUCACCUCAGCAUGGACACCAGUCUUAUGGCAAUCCCGACUGCAAGACCAAGAUAACUCUAGAACCAUAGAUCGUCAGAGUUGGAUCUUGUAAUUAAUAUGAAAUAUAUAUACAUAGAAGCUUCAGUCUUAGCGUUGGUCUCGGUCUUAGUUAGUCUUAGUUAGACAGGGUAGUUUGCUAUAUCCUGUGCAUUUAUGUUUGUCAUGAUGAACUAUGUUUGAUUUGGAUCUUUGUAAUGACUGUCACCAGUGUGGGUAUCCCCUGCAUUUUGGUUUACCUAUUAUGUUAAAGGAGUUAGUUAUAUAGUUGGGAAACCUUCUCAUUCCACUUUCCUCUUUAUCUGAGAAGCUGUGUGGUCUGUGUUGGAGAUCAGUGAAGAUGCUCAUCUGUUCAGUGCUGUUGAAGGAUUCUAUACUCUUUUCUUAUGCUGCAAGAUUUGCCAGAUCAGUUAUGAUGUGUGGUUGCAUUCUGCAGAUGUCAGAGAACAGGCGCAGAGGAGGAAGGCGUGCUCAGCAGGAGCGAGCCGCUCAACAGGAGGAGGUGCCCCAGCAGCAGCACCUGCCGCCCCCGCCCCCGAUGUCGAUCGAGCAGAUGUUUCUGAUGCAGACUCAGGCGGUUCAAGCCAUCGGUCAGACUUUGGCCGCCAUUCAGCAGCAGCAGCAGCAACAGCAGUAGGCCCCACCUCAGCCUCAGAUGCCUCAGAUGCCUAGAGACAAGCGUGCUGAAUUCAUGAGAGGUCAUCCACCAACGUUCGCUCAUUCUUCUGACCCCAUGGAUGCUGAAGACUGGCUGCGCACUGUGGAGCGGGAGUUGCAUACCGCUCAGUGCGAUGACAGGGAGAAAGUCCUGUAUGGUCCCCGUCUGUUGAGAGGAGCAGCCCAAUCAUGGUGGGAGUCUUACCUCGCCACCCAUGCCCACCCUGACGCCAUCACCUGGGAAGAGUUCAGAGGAAGCUUUCGUCAGUACCAUGUUCCUGCAGGUCUGAUGACAGUGAAGAAGGAGGAGUUCCUGGCCCUCAAGCAAGGGCCAUCGUCUGUCAGUGAGUACUGAGACAGGUUUCUGCAGUUGUCUCGCUAUGCUCCUGAAGAUGUCAACACCGACGCCAAGCGACAGUACCGUUUCCUGAGAGGCUUGGUUGACCCUCUGCAGUACCAACUGAUGAAUCACACCUUCCCGACAUUCCAGCACCUGAUUGACAGAGCAAUCAUGACAGAGAGGAAGCGUAAAGAGAUGGAAGAUCGUAAGCGCAAGAUCAGUGGACCCCAGCCUGGAAGCAGCAAUCGUCCUCGUUUCUCAGGCAAUCAACCUCAGCAGUUCAGGCAGAACCAGCGUCCACCUCAGCAGCAUCAACAGUUCCAAAGGCAGUAUCCUCAGCACCAGUACCAGAACCGUCAGAGCAAUCAGUCAGGAGGUCAGUUUCAGAGGCAGAAUCAGCAAGCACCUCGUCUUCCUGCCCCAGCAACCCAGCAGAACAGUCAGGCAGCACCAGCUCAGUUUGGAAACAGGGCAUGUUUCCACUGUGGAGAGCAAGGCCACUGGGUGAUGCAAUGUCCGAAGAAGGCAGCCCAGCAGCAGUCAGGCCCCAGUGCCCCAGCAAAGCAGAAUGUGCCUCAGCCUGGAGCAGGCAACCACUCUCAGCCGCGCUAUAAUCAUGGAAGGCUGAACCACUUGGAGGCUGAAGCAGUUCAGGAGACCCCCGGCAUGAUAGUAGGUAUGUUCCCAGUCGACUCCCAUAUUACAGAAGUGUUAUUUGAUACUGGAGCAACACAUUCCUUCAUUCCUGCAUCAUGGGUAGAAGCACAUAAUCUUCCAAUUACUACCAUGUCAACCCCCAUUCAAAUUGACUCAGCCGGUGGUAGAAUUCGAGCCGAUAGCAUUUGUUUGAAUAUAAGUGUGGAAAUAAGGGGGAUAGCGUUUCCCGCCAACCUUAUAGUAAUGGGUACUCAGGGAAUAGAUGUCAUCCUAGGGAUGAAUUGGCUAGAUAAGUAUCAGGCAGUUAUCAGUUGUGAUAAAAGGACCAUCAAGUUGGUGUCCCUACUAGGAGAGGAAGUGGUGACCGAGUUAGUCCCGCCUGAGCCAAAGAAAGGAAGUUGUUAUCAGAUAGCUGUGGACAGCAGUGAAGCAGACCCGAUUGAGAGGAUCAAGGUUCUGUCCGAGUUCCUAGAUGUGUUUCCAAAGGACUUACCGGGUAUGCCACCAGAGCGGAAAGUUGAGUUUGCCAUAGAGCUUCUUCCCGGAACUGCCCCCAUCUUUAAGAGAGCUUACAGAAUAUCCGGACCAGAGUUGGUUGAACUUAAGAAGCAAAUUGAUGAGCUGUCAGAGAAAGGUUACAUUCGGCCAAGCACCUCGCCUUGGGCCGCCCCUGUCCUAUUUGUGGAGAAGAAAGAUGGCACCAAAAGGAUGUGUAUCGAUUAUCGAGCUUUGAAUGAGGUCACGAUCAAGAACAAGUAUCCCUUGCCCAGAAUUGAAGAUCUGUUCGACCAGUUGAGAGGAGCCAGUGUGUUCUCCAAGAUUGAUCUGAGGUCAGGUUAUCAUCAGCUCAGGAUCCGACCUUCGGACAUUCCGAAGACGGCAUUCAUUUCCAAGUAUGGUUUGUAUGAGUUCACAGUGAUGUCUUUUGGUUUGACCAAUGCGCCAGCGUUCUUCAUGAACUUGAUGAACAGUGUGUUCAUGGAUUACCUUGAUAAGUUUGUGGUGGUCUUCAUUGAUGACAUUCUGGUUUAUUCUCAAAGCGAAGAAGAACAUGCAGAUCAUUUGAGGAUGGUAUUGCAGAGAUUGCGAGAGCACCAGUUGUAUGCAAAGUUGAGCAAGUGUGAGUUCUGGAUCAAUGAAGUCCUGUUCUUGGGUCACAUAAUCAACAAAGAAGGAUUGGCUGUGGAUCCGAAGAAAGUGGCAGACAUUUUGAACUAGAAAGCGCCAACAGAUGCUAGAGGAAUCAAGAGCUUCAUUGGAAUGGCCGGAUAUUAUCGGCGAUUCAUUGAAGGGUUUUCGAAGGUUGCGAAACCAAUGACAGCGUUGCUAGGCAACAAAGUUGAGUUCAAGUGGACCCAGAAAUGUCAAGAGGCCUUUGAAGCGCUGAAAGAGAAGUUGACUACAGCGCCCGUCCUAGUCUUGCCUGAUGUGCACAAGCCCUUCUCGGUGUAUUGUGAUGCUUGUUACACAGGUUUGGGAUGCGUGUUGAUGCAAGAGGGAAGAGUUGUGGCUUACUCGUCCCGACAGCUGAAGGUUCAUGAGAAGAAUUACCCAAUCCAUGAUCUAGAGUAGGCAGCAGUGGUUCACGCACUGAAGACAUGGAGGCACUAUCUGUAUGGACAGAAAUGCGAUGUUUACACAUACCACAAGUGUCUGAAGUACAUAUUCACUCAGUCAGAGUUGAACAUGAGGCAACGAAGAUGGUUAGAGUUGAUCAAAGACUAUGAGUUGGAGAUCCAUUACCAUCCAGGCAAAGCAAACGUAGUGGCAGAUGCUUUGAGCAGAAAGGGUCAAGUCAAUCUGAUGGUCGCUCGUCCGAUGCCUUAUGAGUUGGCCAAAGAGUUUGACAGGUUGAGUCUCGGAUUUCUGAACAAUUCGCGAGGAGUCACAGUUGAAUUGGAACCUACCUUGGAGCGCGAAAUCAAAGAAGCGCAGAAGAAUGAUGAGAAGAUCAGUGAGAUCCGGCGACUGAUUCUAGAAGGCAAAGGCAAAGAUUUUCGAGAAGAUGCAGAAGGCGUGAUAUGGUUCAAAGACCGCUUAUGUGUUCCCAAUGUCCAGUCUAUUCGGGAGUUGAUUCUCAAGGAAGCUCAUGAGACAGCCUAUUCGAUUCACCCUGGCAGUGAGAAGAUGUAUCAGGAUCUGAAGAAGAAAUUCUGGUGGUACGGAAUGAAGAGGGAAAUCGCAGAGCAUGUGGCUAUGUGCGAUAGUUGCCGAAGAAUUAAGGCAGAGCACCAGAGACCUGCUGGAUUGUUGCAACCGUUGCAGAUCCCUAAGUGGAAAUGGGAUGAAAUUGGUAUGGAUUUCAUAGUCGGAUUGCCUCGCACUCGAGCCGGCUACGAUUCCAUUUGGGUAGUGGUGGACCACUUGACCAAGUCAGCCCACUUCAUACCUGUCAAGACCAACUACAACAGUGCAGUAUUGGCAGAGUUGUAUAUGUCUCGGAUCGUUUGUCUUCAUGGUGUGCCAAAGAAGAUAGUAUCAGAUAGAGGAACGCAGUUCACCUCUCAUUUCUGGCAGCAGUUGCAUGAAGCUUUGGGCACGCAUCUGAAUUUCAGUUCAGCUUAUCAUCCGCAGACAGAUGGUCAGACCGAAAGAACCAAUCAAAUUCUUGAAGAUAUGUUGAGAGCCUGUGCGUUGCAAGAUCAGUCCGGAUGGGAUAAGAGAUUGCCUUAUGCAAAGUUUUCCUAUAACAACAGUUACCAGGCCAGUUUGAAGAUGUCACCAUUUCAGGCGCUUUAUGGAAGGAGUUGCAGAACUCCGUUGCAAUGGGAUCAGCCUGGAGAAAAGCAAGUGUUUGGGCCAGACAUUUUGCUUGAAGCCGAAGAGAACAUCAAGAUGGUCCGAGAAAAUCUGAAGAUAGCGCAAUCGAGGCAGCGAAGCUAUGCAGACACAAGAAGAAGAGAGCUGAGUUUCGAAGUCGGAGACUUUGUCUAUCUGAAAGUGUCACCGAUCAGAGGAGUCAGAAGAUUCGGAGUGAAAGGCAAGCUAGCACCCCGCUACAUUGGUCUGUAUCAGAUUCUUGCAAGACGUGGAGAAGUGGCCUAUCAGCUCAGUUUGCCAGAGAAUUUGUCUGCUGUGCAUGAUGUCUUUCAUGUGUCUCAGUUGAAGAAGUGCUUGCGUGUGCCAGAAGAGCAGUUGCCAGUGGAAGGUCUUGAAGUCCAAGAGGACUUGACCUACGUUGAGAAGCGAGUGCAAAUCCUUGAGGUUGCAGACAGAGUCACCCGAAGGAAGACCAUCAGAAUGUGCAAAGUCAGAUGGAAUCAUCACUCUGAGGAGGAAGCAACCUGGGAGCGUGAAGAUGAUCUGAUGGCUAAAUACCCUGAGCUCUUUGCUAGCCAACCCUGAAUCUCGAGGGCGAGAUUCUUUUAAGGGGGAUAGGUUUGUAACGCCCUGAAUUUGGGGGUAGAAUUUUUUCUUCUUUUCUCUCACCAAAUUCGGGCGUUACUCUCUUUUCUCUUUCCCCGUUUACUCCUUCUUCCCAAUUUCAAACCAGUAUAGCGGCAGGUGUCCGUGUCAUGUAUAAACCAAAACCUAAGUGCCAUGGGUGUUGCAUCAUGCCGAAGCACAUUUCUUUGUCUGAUGUUGAAAGUUCAUCUCGUUCCGUUCCGGAUUUCGGUUCGCGAUUUAAUUUCCGUUUAGUGGUCGUGCACGUCGUGGGUUUUCGAUCCGCGAAGUGGCACGUCCCAACCUAGGCCAGCCCAGCCGGCCCGGCCCGCCCCGGCUUGCGCGCCCCCCGCGCCCCCCCCCCCCCCCCCGGCCCCCCCCCCCAGCCCCCCCCCCCCCCCCCCGGCCCCCACCCCCCCCCCCUCGCGCCCCUGGCGCCCAACCCCCCCCAUGCGCCCCCCUCCUCUCCUCCCUCUCUCAUUUGGAUCUCCCGCGCAAACAACCUCUCCUCUCCUUCUUCCACCUCUCUCUCCCCGUGGUGCCCUAGGAUUUGGAGACGGCGAUCACCGGAUUUUGGACCCCGAGGUGAGCUCCCCUCCCCUUCUCCUCUCUCUCUCUCCCUCUCCCUCCUCUUCUCCCCCCCGCGCGCGCCCUCCCUCUCCCCGCUCGCCCGCGCGCCCCCGCCCCCCGCUCGGCCGCCCCUGGCCGGUUCAACCGCCCCGGCCCCGGCUCGGCCGCCCGUUCCCCCGUCCCGGCCUCGCCCGACCGUAUCUUCGCUCGCCCGCGCUCGCGGUGAUUAUUUGUUAAUUAGCGUGUUGCGUCGCGCGCUUCGCCGCGCGACGGAUUUGUCUAAAUUCAGAUUCUAUCUUGUGUUGCGUCGUGCGCUUCGUCGCGCGACGAUCCAUUUUUGUUUCAGGUUGUUUAAGGUGUAACGCCGCGUGUGUAUUCACGCGACGUUCCACUUUGGACUCAGUUUAGUCGACGUAUGCCGUCGUGCGCUUCGUCGCGCGACGCUUAACGUCUCCUCUUAACUAAGGCGAAGUGUCUCGUUGCGUGCUCGGUCGCGCGACGAGUCGUUAACUUCUUAAUUUGUUUUAGAGAGCUUUGUCGCGCGUCUCGCCGCGCGACCAUCCUUUUUAUUUAUCUCCACCUGCUCAUAAUAAUUAGACAUGAAACAUGACUUUACUUUACGCUAAACAUAGUAUCUACAUUAAAUUUCCUUCCAUUAAGCGAGUGGUUAAUUUAUAAUCAUGUAACGUGAUCGUUUCUCGACUGUCUUUUCCUCUUUCUCUCUUAACCGUACUCGCGAGCCCGUGUGGAACGUCUGUUUACUUAUUGCAUUCUAUUGUAUGGUGUACUGUUCUUUUGUAUUAAAUGUGUGGAUGUAUGUAUGUUUGCGCUUGCAUAGAGAACGAUCCGGUUGAAGAGCCCGAGGAACUCGCAGGAGAAGCCCCUGAGCAGCAGUCGGUUGGUGGAGGCAAGUGUCCCUUGACCUAUCUCUGUCCUAUUCAUUAUUUAAUUCACCUCCCGCUUUACACAUUUAUGCCUAAGGAUUGACUAGCUUUUGUGAUCCAUGUCCUUGUUCACCUAUUUGGGUUGGAUUAUUAUUGUUUAGCUUUAUGCUAUUGCUCAAACUCUAAUCAAUGAACAUGAUGAGAUUAUCUAUGAUACACUGUUUUCCCUUCUCUUAUUAUGAUGUUGUACUUGUGGUCAUCAAGGGGGCUCGAGCGGUUUCUCGAGUGCCUCUCCGUAAGGACCUGUUCUAUGGAUGACCGCCCGGGAAAACAGUGCAACCAUGAGGGUGGAAUGGGAUGCCCUUAGCUGAAUAAUUAGAGGAUCCGGGGUGUAGAUCACUUAGCUGUCGUGCCGUCAAUGGGGCUCGGUGUAUGCGGCUCGCUCUGCCAAGUUUGGGUUCGCCCCUUGGGGAGGAGUGCGGUGCAUUUAGGAAACCUAACGGGUGGCUACAGCCCCGGGGAAUCUUUGUAAAGGCUACGUAGUGAUGCCCUGCUGGGUCACCUUGGUAGUGAUCAAUGGAGAGUCAUGAUCUCCGGGCAGAAUGGGAAUCACGACUUGUGGGUAAAGUGCACAACCUCUGCAGAGUGUUUGAAAACUGAUAUAUCAGCCGUGCUCGCGGUUAUGAGCGGCCAAGGGAGCUCCAGUGAUUAGUGAAACUUGAUCAGAGAUGGUUGGUUUACAGAUGAUGAUGAGGAUGGUUAUGAUUAUGCUUAUGGUGCUGGUAAGUGGUACUCUUUCCGUUUGGAAAGGAGUACGUUUGGGUUAAUAACUUGGGUUAAUGCUAAAACUUGGCUUUCUACUAGUAAGUAAUAAUCUGACCAACUAAAAGCAACUGCUUGACUUAUCCCCCACAUAAAGCUAGUCCACUACAGCCAAACAGGAUACUUGCUGAGUAUGUUGAUGUGUACUCACCCUUGCUCUACACACCAACCCCCCCCCAUCCCCAGGUUGUCAGCAUUGCAACCACUGCUCAGGCGAAGAUGAAGCCGUGGAAGGAGACUUCUAGGAGUUCCAAGACUACGACGAGUUCUAGAUGUGGGUUAGCGGCAACCCCCAGUCGGCUGCCUGUGAAGGCCGCGAUUAUCUACGUUUCUUUUCCGCACUUUGAUUUAUUGUAAGGACUAUAUGGACGUCUCAGACGUAUGAUGUAAUCGAUUACUAUUUCCCUUAUUAAUACUAUUUUGAGCAUUGUGUGAUGAUGUCCAUGUUAUGUAACUGCUGUGUACGUGAAUAACUGAUCCUGUCACGUACAUGGUUCGCAUUCGCUUUGCCUUCUAAAAACCGGGUGUGACAGUUUGCAAGCAUUUAAUUUUUCUAUCUUAGCAUUUAAAAUAGCAUUUUCAUCUCUAAGACAGGAGAUAGAAUCAUUACAAACAUUUAAAUCUUUGACCUUAGAAGCUAAGCUAGCAUUUUCAAUUCUAAGGCUAGAAAUUGAAUCAUGACAAAUGCUAAGCUCCUUAGAUAAAUUUUCACAUUUUUCUACUUCCUAAGCAUAAGCAUUUUUCAAUUUAACAUGUUUUUUGUUUUCUUUAAUAAGGAAGUCCUCUUGGCUAUCCAAGAGUUCAUCCUUCUCAUGAAUAGAUUCUAUCAAUUCAUUUAAUUUUUCCUUUUUUCCAAGCUAAGGUUGGCAAAAAGAGUUAAGUAAAUCAUCUUCAUUUUCACUAGAGCUACCCUCAUCACUAGAUGUUGUAUAUUUGGGGGUGGAUCUAGAGUGUACCUUCUUUUUCUUGCCGUCCUUAGCCAUGAAACAUUUGUGGCCGACGUUGGGGAAGAGGAGGCCUUUGUUGACGGCGAUAUUGGCGGUGUCCUCGUCGGAGGAGGAGUCGGUGGAGCUCUCGUCGGAGUCCCAUUCCCGACAUAUGUGAGCAUCACCACCCUUCUUCUUGUAGUACCUCAUCUUUUCUUUCUUCUUCCCCUUCUUAUCAUCGUCCCUAUCACUUUCACUUCACAUUGGACAUUUUGCAAUAAAAUGACCGGGUUUACCACAUUUGUAGCACAACCUCUUGGAGCGGGGUUUGUAGUCCCUCCCCCUCCUUUGCUUGAGGAUUUGGUGGAAGCUCUUGAUGAUGAGCGCCAUCUCCUCGUUGUCGAGUUUGGAGGCGUCGUUUGGAAGCCUACUUGGUGUAGACUCCCUCUUCUCUUCUUCCGUCGCUUUGAAUGCGACGGGUUGCACCUCGGGUGUGGAGGUGUCGCCUUGCUCCAAGUUGAUGAUGUGUUUGGAGUCUUUGGUCAUUAGUUCAAAGCUCACAAACUUCCCAAUCACUUCCUCAGGAGACAUUAGUUUAUAUCUAAGAUCCCCACGUAUUAAUUGAACUUGAGUAGGAUUACGAAAUACGAGGGAUCUAAGAAUAACCUUGACCAUCUCAUGGUCAUCCCAUUUGGUGCUCCUGAGGUUGCGCACUUGAUUGACCAUGGUCUUUAGCUGGUUGUACAUUGCUUGCGGCUCUUCUCCUUUGUUGAGGACAAAUCGACCGAUUUCGCCCUCGAUUGUCUCGCGUUUGGUGAUUUUGGUCACCUCAUCUCCUUCGUGUGUGGUCUUGAGCACGUCCCAAAUUUCUUUGGCGCUCUUUAACCCUUGCACCUUGUUAUACUCCUCUCGACACAAGGAGGCGAGGAGUAUAGACGUGGCUUGGGAGUUAAAGUGCCUAAUUUGGGCAACUUCGUCCGAGUCAUAAUCUUUGUCCCCCACCUAUGGUACAUGCGCUCCAAAUUCAACUAUGUCCCAUAUGUUUUCGUGGAGUGAGGUUAGGUGAUGCCUCAUUUUAUCACUCCACAUACAAUAAUCUUCACCAGCAAAAUAUGGUGGUUUGCCUAAAGGAACGAAAAGUAAUGGAACGCGUUUAGAAAUGCGAGGAUAACAUAGGGGCAUCUUACUAUACUUCUUGCGCUCAUGGCACUUAGAAGCGACGGACGAGUCAGAGCUUGAUGAUGUGGAGGGUGACAAAGAGUCGGUCUCGUAGUAGACCACUUUCUUCAUCUUCUUCUUGUCACCUCUCAGAUGCGACUUGAUGGAGGAAGAUGAUUCCUCCUUGUGCUUGUUGCCAGACUCCCUCGAAAGGGUUCUCCAUGAGCUUGCGGGCUUGUCGCCGGUCACGAUCUCCCUCUUGGCGUGUUCUCCUGACAUCACUUCGAGUUGUUAGACUCUAAUGAAGCACCAAGCUCUGAUACCAAUUGAAAGUCGCCUAGAGGGGGUGAAUAGGCGUAAUCUGAAAUUUACAACUUUAAUCACACACUACAAGCCGAGGUUAGCGUUAGAACAAAUAACAAGUCCGGGAGAGAGGGGGAAAACAAAUCAAUUGAAAAUCAAGUGGAUGAACACGGUGAUUUGUUUUACCGAGGUUCGGUUCCAAAGAACCUAGUCCCCGUUGAGGAGGUCACAAAGACCGGGUCUAUUCCAACCCUUUCCCUCUCUCAAACGGUCACUUAGACCGAGUGAGCCUUCUUCCUUAAUCUCACGGGUCACUAAGACCCCACAAGGACCACCACACACUUGGUGUCUCUUGCCUCGCUUACAAAGCUCUUGAGAAUAAGAAUGGGAAAAGAAGAAAGCCAAUCCAAGUGACAAGAACUCAAAUGAACACAAAAAUCUCUCUCUCACAAGCCACUAAGUGAAUUUGGGACUCAGAUAGGAUUUGAUCUUUUGUAUUGUGUCUUGGAGUGAAUUCUAGAGCUCUUGUAUUGAAUGUGAUGUUCAGAAAACUUGGAUGCUUGGAGUUGUGGUGGUUGGGGGUAUUUAUAGCCCUCAACCACCAAAGUAGCCGUUGGGGAGGCUCCUGGCGAUGGGCGCACCGGACAGUCCGGUGCGCCACCGGGCAGGCACUGUAGGCUAUCCGGUGUGACGCCACGUCACCCAAUCGUUAGGGUUUGGAGCUCGGGCGACCAUUGGAGCUUUGUCCUCUUGCAGCAUUGGACAGUCCGGUGCCACACCGGAUAGUCCGGUGCCCCUCUAACUUCACUGCUCUGACUUCUGCGUGGCACUGUUGCUCACUGUAGCUCCUGUCAGAGUCGAUCGUUGCGCGCUGGAUAACUGUUGCCCGCUGGCACACCGGACAGUACGGUGGCACACCGGACAGUCUGGUGAAUUAUAGCGGAGCCCGGCCGCACUUUCCCGAGAGUAGCUGGUUAGACCCUGUACUGUCCUGGCACACCGGACACUGUCCGGUGGCACACCAGACAGUCCGGUGCGCCAGACCACAACACACUCAAGUCCUUUUUUGCUCCUUUUGAAUUGGGUCCCUAACUUGAAUAUUUAUUGGUUUGUGUUGAACCUUAUGCACAUGUAGAACAUGUAUUCUAGAGCAAACUAGUUAGUCCAUAUAUUUGUGUUGGUCAUUCAACCACCAAAAUUAAUUGUAGGAAAAAGGUUAACCCUAUUUCCCUUCCAAAAAUAAGUUACAUUACAAUUUUUGAAGCUAUGCAUUGUGAUGCCGCUAGCCGGAGGCGCGAUGUUGCCACGACGUGAGCUACCGUCGAUCGCUGUGCACGGCGAGAGUCGAGACGUGGACAAAAGAAGGUGGAGUUCUUUCUGUAUUUUUGCAUACUCUGUCUGCUACAUCACAGGAGAAUAUAAGGGUUCCAGCCUAUAGCCAACACAGUGCCCACACAGCCCAUCAACAAUUAUGAACUGUAAUACCCAAAAAUGUAAAAUGAAAACAUAGUUGAUUUAUAUACAUGUUUAUUCCUCUGUUUAUUAUAACAUGUGAAUCAACACUUCAAAAGUCAUUAAUUAACUAAUGACACCUAAAACAAUAUGUGCAUCAUGCUGAGGAUUUUAUUUAUGUGUGCAUAUGUUAGUAAUAAAAUUUUAUAGAAACACCUUAAUGUUCAAAUUGGAAUCAAGACUUAAAUUGAAAUUUUAAAAUUUGAGAAGGAGAGCACUAGUUAUCACAAAAUAAAUAUAAUAAAAUAAAAUAAAUAAAAUUUACCAUGCCAUGUUUAAGUUGUAUAUUUAAUGAGAAAACAAAUUUACCACGAAGUUUGGGUUUGAAUGGGAAUUCAAAUUAUGAAUUUGAAAAUAGAAAUAACAAAAAAGGGGAAAUAAAACAGAAAUCAGAAAAAGAAAAAGAAAAGUGAAGGAACACUAAUUGGGCCGGUAACUUGUUUUCGGCCCAUUUGGCUUCGUGUCCACGCGGUCCUGGGCGGUAGAAGGCGCCGACAUGGGGGGACCACCGGGCAGUCUCUCCCUCGUGUCCGCCCUCACCCCCUCACUGACGUGUGGGCCUCUGCUUUCCUCCGCUUAGCUCACGCGCGUUUGGUUGACGGGUGGACCUGAGUUGGCGGCACCUUCCUCUCCAACGAACACCGCUUAUGGCGGGAUCGUGGCGGAGCACGUGCAAUCGCGCAGCUCGUGGGAGGGUGCACCAACUCGCUGAAUUCCAUGAAUGCGCAAGCCUAUAAGCCUCGAGGACUCCGCCAUAGUCGCUAGUGCUUGACCGUGGAACCCACAGUGAGAAAGAGAGGAAAGGGAGUGCGGGGGAAAGCUCGCCGCCACACAUGAACGACGGUACUUGUCGUCGGUCUUGUUCCACAAGCCGGUCUGGGUCAUUGGUGGCACCUUGGCGGACUGCGAGGAAUGAAUUCGUCCCCAGGUCGUCGCACAAUCCUCCCCGGCCUCCGUAAAGGCUAUGGACCGCACUCGCCGUGGACGAUCGUCUCUGCGGUCACCUUCACCUCGGGUAAGUGGCCCAAGUCCUCUAAUACAUCUACGGAUUGGAAUACGUUCAACGAGAUUAGGAAUUGUGAGGCGGGGUUUGAACCAAUUUCUCAUCGGAGAUUCAAUUUCAUCGUCGAAUUUGCCUCAACGUGGUUGAUGUUGAACUCGUUCCUCUCGGCGGAAUUAAACCCUCCUUUAGGAUUCGCCGUCGUUCACUUGUCAUGAAUCGACUAGUCGAAGGGAGAUUGGGGAACUAUGGCGCUGGGUCGUGGGCUCCGGCCAUGGCGCCGCCGCGGAGGCCGAUCUCCGCUGCGGAUCGAGUUCCAGAAAAGGGGGAAAGGGGGAUCGCUCGGGCAGUGCGCAUGGACCGUUGAUCUACUCAGCAAUAACCGCGAUGGUGAGGAAGCCACCUGAUGCUAGAAGAUUUGAUUCGAGUCGUGGCUGAUUAGAUGGACGACUGUGAUUUAGGGCGCAUAACGAUUUGCGGGGGAUAGACUCGAACCGCCCGAUCUGAUCGGACGGGAGCGGGGUCGUGUACCAAUUCGGGUGGCUUAGAUCUAAUCCAAGCCGUCCAUCUUCAAUUGUGCGGUCCAGAGCUCACCGUACCCUUUCGUCGUGUACGUUUUGCAAAAUAAACCCCGAGCUUGUUAUAAAUCAACCCGCAGUCCACGGCGCAGCGCUCUAGGUCUUAGGGAUUUUUACGCCAGGGUCCCUUUGUUUCUGUUUAUUAUACACGCAGUCCAGGAGAUUAGAAAAUCUAGGAAAAGUUAAUAGAAAAUGAUUUUUAAUGUAAAAAUAAUGGUUAGAACUUGUUUAAUUCCUAGAAAAUUCAUACUUAGUCCAAAUUAAUCCAUUCCAGUUUCUAUAAUUUUGUAAUAAUGUUGUUUAUCGCAUAAUCUCUCUGUUUUGACAUUAAAACCAUAUUAAAAUUUAUCUCUUAAUUAAUCUUGUAUCACAUACAUAGAACCUUCAGAAAUUCAUAACUUAAAAUCCAUAACUCCAAAUUUAAUGAUUCUUUUUUCUAUGAUCUUAUUUUAAUAUGUAGAUUAUUAAUAUGUAUUUUGUAUACAUGUUUGGUGUGAUGUUAAUUUCCUCUUUAUACUAUGCUUGUUUGUAUUGUGGCGAGUAGAAGAAGAGCCAGUGGCUGAGGAUCCCGGUGUUUAGCAGGUAGAAGUUGCUGAGCAGGAGCUCGUUGAAGGCAAGUUGUGCCCUUGACCACUUUUUACCCAAUAAUGUUCAUUAUUAUCACUUAUCAAUGCAUAGGUUUAAUUUUACCCAAUAGGUCACCCUAGACUGGUUAUCCUUUUACCUUGUUUACCCCUGAAUCGUUUGGGUAGUUUUGUUAUUGCUCUAUAUGGUUUUGGGAUUAAUAUUACAUUAUGUCCAUGUUCCAAUUAUUCUGUUAUUUUAUUUAUUGUUCAUGUCAAGAUCAUUAUUUUUAAUUGUAACCUGGAGCUUAACUUGAAAAACACGUGCCACCACAAGGGUGGAAUGGGACGCCCUUAGCUGACUAACUAGAAAAGCUAGUGGAGGAUUACCUUACCCGAUAGGGGCAAGGGCAGUUGGGGAGUAGGCGUGUAGGGAGGUUCCCGGGUUGAUUUUGCUGCGAUGACGGUCAGACGGGGGAUUCCUGCAUGCUCUUCCUAGAAACUGUAGCGGGUUUUCUGAAGCUAAUGGAACUAGGUAAAGGCCUCGUAGUGUUACCAUGCCUUGCUUCCUUGGUAGAGGUGUAUGGGAUUCAUGACCCCUUGGCAGAUGGGUAACAUGACUUGUGGGUACAUGGUACAACCUCUGCAGAGUGUAAAACUGGUAUAUUAGUCAUGCUCAUGGUCAUGAGCAGCUCAGGACUCUCACAUGAUUAAUUUAUGGAAUUAAAUUCAAUUUGUCAUUUGCAUCGCAUUGAGAUUAUUUAUUACUACUUUUAUUUACUAUUAUUAUGGUUUGGUAUUUACUUACACUUAGUAACUGCUAAUAAAAUUGUGACCAACUUCUAAAAGCAAUGCUCAGUUUCAACCAUUAUUUUGUUGAUUAGCCUUACACUUCACAUGAACUCCCACCUUUGGUGAGUUUAUGCACAUUAUUCCCCACAACUUGUUGAGCUAUGAUCUUUUGAGAGCCCACUCUUGCGAUAUAUAAACCCCCACAGGUGUAGAGCAUGUGGUCGAAGAGGAGCCGCACAACGAGGAGUUCGACUUGAUCUAGGUGGUGUCUCCUAGUCCGCUUUGUGGCACCAGAGAAAUAAUAUUUAGUUUGUUUUAUAUUUAUCAUUUAUUUUGUAAGACUUCCGCUAUGUAAUAAGUACAUUUAUGAUAUUUAUGACGUUUAUCUCUAUGCACUCUGUUAUUAUAUGUGUUGUUCUUACUUGGCGCACAUAUGAGACGCACCCGGCUUUAUCCCUUAAAUCCGUGUGUGACAUGAACGCACACUUCAAACACAAUUUCUCUUCCUGCUAACUUCGCUUCUUCCACUCCUACAGCCAACCACGCUGUCACGCCUCACCCGGAGCUACUGCAUGUGCUUCAGUACUGACAUCUUCCCCUCUGCCUGAGCUUAAUUGUCCACAAUCAAGAACUGAUGGAAAUCUAGGCUUCAAGACUUCAUAAUCCUCCCAUGUAGCCGAUUGAAUUGGAAGUUGAACCACUGAACGACUUCCCUUCCAAACUAAAGGACAAUCCAAAAUUUGCACAGGCUGGACAUCCAGCCAUGUAAGAUCAGCCAUUUGAGGCAGAUCAUUGCACAAUGGUGUAUAUGAUGGAGUGAACGGAUUUAAUUUCGACACAUGAAAGAUGUCACACCCAGGUUUUAGGGACCCGGGCGCGAAAAGCCAAAUGUGUGCUGGGACUAAGUCUCACACAUAUGAUGACUCAUGGUACAGAAACGAAUGUCACAUCCUUAAUAUAUAGUUGAGUUCUGUAUAAAAUAUUAAAUAAUUACAUCAUGCGAAGACAACGAUCCAGCAACACAAAGUUGACUGGGAGACGACGGCCUAGACCACUCACGAACUCAUCACAACAUCCUUCGUACGCCUCAUCCAGGGGUACCUUUUCUUGACCUAGGGGGAUGUGAGUACAACAAGGGUGAGCUCACAUACGUUCAUCGCUCAACAAGUUGUGGGGAAUAAUGUGCAUAAACUCACCAAAGGUGGGAGCUCAUGUGAAGUGUAAGGUUUACCAAAGGAGAUGGUUAAAGCUGAGCAUUGCUUUUAAAGUUGGUCAAAAUUUUAUUAGCAGUUACUAAGUAUAAGUAGAUACCAUCCCAAUUAAGUAAGAGAUCAAGAUUAAUAACAACACCCACAAUGCAAUGCAUAUGACAGAUUAAGAUUAAUUCCAUAAGUUAAUCAUGCGAGAGUCCUGAGCUGCUCAUGACCGCGAGCACAACCGAUAUACCAGUUUUACACUCUACAGAGGUUGCGCCCUUUACCCACAGGUCGUGUAUCCCGUCUAGCCAGGGUUAACUAUACCCUUAGACACUUCUGAGGUGAAUGGCUAGGGAUCCACUAUGAGGCCUUUACAAAGUUCCACUAGCUUCAGAAAACCCGCUACAUUCUAGGAAGGGCAAUAUAGGAAUCACUCGUCCGAAAAGCCAUCGUAGCAUGAUCGACCCAAGAACUUCCCUAUACGCAACUCCCCUACUGCCAUUGCCCCUUUCAGGUAAGGUAGUCCUCCACUAGCUUUCCUAAUUAGUCAGCCAAGGGCAUCCCAUUUCACCCUUGUGGUAGCACGUGUUUCUCAAGUUAAGCUCCAUGUUCCAAUUAACACAAUGAUCUUGUCAUGAACAAUAAUUAAAACAGUAGUAGAAUUGGAACAUGAUCAUAAUGUAAUAUUAAUCUCAAAACCAGGUAGAGCAAUAGCAAAGCUACCCAAAAGUUCAGUGGUAAACAAGGUGUGUGAUAAACAAGUCUAGGGAGGCCUAUUAGGUCCCAUUAGAUUAACCUGAGCAUGUCACAGUGAUUAACAGAAACAUUAUUGGGUAAAGAAAAGUGAUCAAAGGCACAACUUGCUUUAAACUCGAGAUUCCUAUGUACUUCACCAAAUUAGUCUUCAGAUUUCUCGUGACCUCACUUCUAUGCUUAGCAAUACAUAUAAUCAAACAAAUAAUAGGUAUGGUAACAUUACACCAAAGCACAUGAACAAACAACAUAAGAAUAUCCUACGCGUCGCUACGAGAUCGUAGGUUCGAGAACCAUUAAAAUCGGAGCUAAAACAAAGAAUUUAUGGAUAAAACGAUAUUUUAAGCGUAAUAAAUCUAAUAGAUGGGAUCUAACAUGUAUUGCAUUUAAACUAAGCAGGUAUUAAAUUAAAACAUUUGAGUUGGUAUUAAUCAUUAACAAUUAUUUAUAAAAUGAGUAGGUUAGAACUAUAAAUUAGAUUAACUAGAUUAUCAAGUUAAUUAACAUUAAUUAAAUAAUUAAUUAAUUAAUUAAAACAUGUGGCAUAAUUAAAACAAUGUUAUUACUACGCACACAGAAAUUAGUAUGAACCUAACACAACUUGAACAGAUUAAAACAAAUUAUUUGAUCUAGAAGAUAUCACAUUUUUAAUAAAUUAGUAGGGUUGCACAAAAAUAGAUGAUAUGACGCAAUCUGAUUGGUUAGUUAAGUUUGUUAAAGAUGGGAAAAGUUUGUUUACAAAUGCAUGAUCUAGAUGUUGCCAACUUAUCAUGAUUGUACCUAUCGUUAAAUUUGUGUUUUAUGCAAAUCUUGCAUGUAAAAGGGUAUAUGGUGGUUGUUGUCUAUCAGGUGGGAAGCGUCAAACUUAUCAAGAGGGAAAGACCCCUAACCUACCAUCAAGUUACCUUCCAAUCAAGACCUUCAAUCACGCGUUGAUGUUGGUCAUCUCGGUUUUUUUGACGAUGAACCAAAGAUCUGGUCGACGAAAUGGAAGCACGAUGACGAAGCUCUCGCUGAGCUGGUCACGGCGAUGUUUUGGGUUGCCCCAGAAGAUGAAUGGGCGGAGAGAAAUUCCUCGCCAGAGUUGUCGCUAGAGUUUGGGUGGGAGUCAAACUUUGACGAGAUGGUCAUAGCAGCUUAUGGCUGCGAGUCUAGCUAGUGGCGGGCUGCUGUGGCUUGGAUGGCAGCGGUGCUGCCGCGAGGCUAUGGAGGAGAUGAGUCUAUGAUUGAUGGCUUAAGGUGUUAUGGUGGCAUAUAUUUAUAUAGGCUGGGAGGUGGGUGGUUACAUGAUAGAUCUACAUAAAUCAAUGUCACAUAUUUAUUACAUAAUAAGGGUUCUGUACAAAAUAGCUAAAUAAUUACAUCAUUUUACGACAACGAUCCUCCACAACCAUAGUUGACUGAGAGACGACGACCUAGACCUCUCCGAACUCAUCAUAGCAUCCUUCAUUCUCCUCAUUUUGUGAUACCUGUUCUUGACCUAGUGUGAGUUUAGCAAGAGUGAGCUCACAUACGUUCAUUGCUCAAUAAGUUGUGGGGAAUAAUGUGCGUGAGCUCACUUACAGUGGGGGCUUAUGUAAAGUGUAAGGCUUACCAAGAAGAAUGGUUAAAGUUGAGCAUUGCUUUUAAUAGUUGGUCAAAAUUUUAUUAAUUAUUAAAUAUAAGUAGAUACCAACCCAAAUAAAUAUUUGAUCACAAUUGAUAAUAAAUCCCACAAUGCAAUGCAAAUGACAGAUUAAAUUUAAUUCCAUAAAUUACUCAUGUGAGGGUCCGAGCCGCUCGUGAUCAUGAGCAAGGCUGAUAUACCAGUUUUACACUUUGCAAAGUUUGCACAUCUUUACCCACAAGCCAUUAUACCCAUCUGCCACGGCGUUGUUCGCUCCAUGUUCCAAUUAACAUAAUAAUCUUAUCAUGAACAAUAAUUAAACAAACAAUAAUAAUGGAACAUGAUCAUUAUUCAGAUAUAAUAUUAAUCCCAAAACUAGGUAGAGCAAUAGCAAGAUUACCCAAUACUUCAUUUGUUUGUAAGGUCUAGGAUGAACAAAACUAGGCUAACCUAUUAGGUCCCAUCAAGUUAACUUGAGCAUGUCACAUUGAUUAUCGAAAACACUAUUGGGUAAAGAAAAGUGAUCAAGGGCACAACUUGCCUUUUUGGUGCAACUCCAGGUACUUCUCCAAUCUAGGAUCUAAGUGCCUCACAACCUCGCUUCUAUCGUAGAAAUACAUAUAGAUGGGCAAAGAAUAGGUCAAAAUAACAUUAUACCAUACAUAGAAAAAGUGUGUAAUAAAAUUGUACACAUCAUUAUGAGACCGUAGGUUCGGGAAUCACUAAAAUCGGAGUUAAAAUGAAUUAGAUAUGAAUUUUCUAAGUUUUUAGAAUUAUUUUUAUACUUAAAAUAUAUUUCGUGUAUUUUAUUUGUAUAAACAGUUAGCUAGAGGAUUGAGGCCACUAUUCCUCAAAACUCCAAGGUCUAAUUUAUAAAUUUUAGGACUUAAUUUAAAAUAUUUUGAACUAGGUAUGGACGACAGGUUCAUUAUAACUAACUGCAUGGUCUCUUAUGAAAAAGGCCAUGGUCAAAGGGGUGUCUUCGGAUCUCAAUCGUUGGACCACUAUCAAAUGUCCAAGAUUAGAUCAGAACAAGAACACUACGGUAACCCUCGGAUCCCAGAUCUUUGGCUAAGAAUCCGCCACGCCUUACUUUAGCCCUGGAUCGCACGAUUGUAGAUCAACGCCCAUGAUUCAAUGUGGCGAAUCGGUAGAUCCACUUCUAAUCUCCAGCAUUGAACCCCAUAUCAACAGUACUCGGCCAUCUUCUCCUUACCCCCUAUCUCGCUGCUAGGACGUGCACACGACAACGCACAUGCUCAGACGGCGGAGACCUCGUCGGAGCCCCGUCACCCAACCGUCAAGUGCCCCAAUCACCCGUACAAAUGUGCUAAUUGAAGAGAAGAUUAUGGAGAGAAAUAUUACAUGUUACUCACCAGAGAUUAUGGCGAAGAGGCCCCUGCUCACGUUGAAGGGCGACUCUGCAGCGGUUAGCCCGCUCCGGCGAGCAAUUCCCGACCACACGAUGGCUCCCCGUAUUCGCAGCAGCCACCAUCGUGAUCCAUACGCUCUAGCAAUGGUCCCUGGCCACCAUGCUCCCUCUGAUCAGUCGAGUCGACUCGACAACAGCGGCGACGCAAUGUGCAUCACAAUCUACCCGCUUGGCAUAGCGAUCCGCUCGAUCUCCUUACCCAAUAGCACUGCAACAACAUUCGGUGCCCUCCGGUGAACCUCCUUGGCCUUUAUCCGAGGACUCAACGACAAUGUACUGGAGUUUUCCAUGCGGCUACCCUGUUCCCACGCGAUGGAGUUUCACGGUGCUCUGGUAGUUCAUCCGCUCUUGGUCAUGGUGGCCCUGGCUUCCAACGUCGAGGUGGUCUAAUGUGUUGAGGGCUGCACGAGGUAAUUCAUAUAUAGCUAUGGUCAUGAUCAGGGCAGGAACCCAGGCGGGAUUCACUGUACAAGGAUCCGUGGUGGAGGCAUCUCCUUAUGAUUCAGGGAACGAAUCCUAUCUAAAAACGAUUGAGAAGAAGGCUCUAGGUUCGGGGUCCAUCGGGCAGUGAUCGAUUCCCACCCCCAUGUGUAUGGGCGUGACAUGUGGGCCGAUUAACAAUAGACCCCACGCGCCAGUGAGACAAAGAAGCCCACCAUAGUUUAUUGUGCUGACAAAGCGGGUCCACAGGCGCGCACGUUCAGGUAAGGAGGAAACAUGGAUGGGCUGGCUGGGCGCAUUCGGCCCAUGUCAUAAGUAAGCAUCUCUUUUUCUUUUUUUUCCUGUUUUAAUUUUAUAUAUUAUUUUAUUUUCUAGUUUUAAUAUAAAUUAUAAAUUCAAAUAUGAGCUAGAGUUUCAAAUUCAAAUUAAAUGUAUAAUCAAAAUCUCCGGCAUGAAUGCACUAUAUUUAUUUUUUAUAGUAAGUAUUUAUUAAUCUUCUCAUGCAUGCAAAUGCUCUUAAAUAGAUAAUUCAUACACUUCAAAAAUAUUUAUUUAAGGAAAAAUUCCUAGUGUAUAUCCUUUAUUAAGAGAUGAUUUAAAAUAAUUUCUUAGAGAGUACUUAUAAUUAUAUAAUUUUAAUAAAGGAAUGACUUAUUUGACAUGGGGGUUCUUUUCAUUUAAUAUUUUAUUAGAAACAUUUUUUAUGAGAUGUAACUCCAAAGGUAAGAAAAUUAUGAUUAAAAGGUAUUUCGCUUCAAAGCCUGUAGAGAGUUUUACUAGAUUCCCCAAAAUAGGAUUUUAAGGUGUUCACUACACGACUGUUUGGUGCUUUUGUGACUGAUCAGCUCUGGAGCAGCUAGAGUGAUGUAGUUGUGGGCUUUUGAACAAUAGCUGGAGUGAUAUGAAACAUUAGUGAUGUAGUUGUGGGCUUUUGAACUGCUUCAAGCUGGAGUGAUGUCGCUGUGGUGCUUUUGUGACUGAUCAUCUCUGGAGCUUUUGUGAAUGAUCUAGCUAUUUGUAAAUGAUCUAAUUGUGAAUAAUAUUAUAAUUGUGAUGCUUUUGUGAUCAUAUAAUUGUGGUGCUUUUGUGUUUAUGUGAUGGAUCUAUGACUGUGAUACUGAUUAAAUGUGUAUGUCUUUAUGAUUUGUGUAUAAAAAUUUGUGAUUUGUGGUGCUUAAUUAAAUGUAUAUUAUUAUUAACAACAACUGUAACAAGGGCGACUUUCUGUUGGUUGCUAAAUAUAUAGUAUGACGACUUACGGUUGGUUGCUAAAUCUAUAGUACAGCAACCCACGAUUGGUCGCUAAAUAUACAAUAUUAGCAACGGACGGUCGGUCGCUAAAAAGAUGUCGGUCGCUAAAGCCUUUAGCGACGGCACCUACAGCGACCAUCCUUAUGGGUCGCUAAAGGUUUUUAGCGACCAACCGUAGGUCGCUAAAAGCCGCUUUAGCAACCAACCGUAGGUCGCUGUAAGUGAACCGUCGUGUAGUGGUUACAUGCACGACCAGACCGUCCGCGACUGCUUUAUCUGACAUCCGAUGAAACAUUUAAUGCACUUAUAGCCGUUGAUAUAGCCAUUACUGCUGAUCGUUGGGAUUUCAUUCGUUGAUGUGCAGGGGCGGACCGUCCGGCCUAGGGGCAUGGAUCGUCCGCGUGUGGCAGAAAUUUGGCAAAGACUAUGUGGUGGUUGAGGGUUAUAAAUACAACCCCAACCACCUCCAUUCAAGGUACCCCCAAGCUUCCACAAACUCACAUUCAUUGCAAGGAGCAAAGACUUCACUCCAUCCACACUGAAAGCAUCAAAUCCAUCUCCAAGUGCUAUAAUUGUGUUCGAGAAUAUUAGUGGAUAGUGCAUUGGAGAGACCCAAGAGAGUGUGACAUUUUGAUCUUUUGUUGCUCUUUGGCUUGGUUUCUUGAUCGUGCUUUCUUCAUCUCCUUCUAAACCCUCAAAUUACUUGUAAAGGUAGCAAGAGACACCUAAUUGUGUGGUGAUCCUUGAGGGGUCUGAGUCACCCACGAGAUUAAGGAGAAGCAUUCAGCCGAUCUAAGUGACCAUUUGAGAGAGGGUAAGGAUUGAAAGACACCUAAUGUGUGGUUCUUUGGAAGCAAACCUUAGGAAACAAUUCGUCCGUGUCUUUGUGUUAAUCUUGUAUUACGAUUUGGUUCUUCCUCUCCCCUUUCUCUAAGUUUUCUUGCUUUCAAUCGUUUUGAGUUAGCUCCCAAAGUUAUCCACAUUGAUUGAGCAACUCGUAGUAAGAAGAACUAUCUUCUGCACUCUGAUUUUAUUACUACUCAUUUUAACGCUAACCUCGAGUGAAGUUUGUGUUCAAAGUUUAUAAUUUUUAGGUUUCGCCUAUUCACUCCCCUCUAGGCGACUUUCAAUAACGUCAAAUGCACUCAGGGGAAAAAUUCUCAUAUCAGUUUGAAAAAAUGACCACUAGCCCACCAUUCAAACUCUUUCACCAUUGUUGAAGUCCUCAUCACAUCCCCACUACACUUUCACUUGCACUACUGAGCACGACUGUACAGAUAACCUCAAUCUCCAUGGUUGUAUCUUCACUCUCCACCACAUUAAGCUGAGCCGGUCCUCUCCUUGAACACUUAGCAAGAUGCCCCGACUCAAUUUUCUCACCACAAGCGUAACAAAGCCCAUUCAACUUCCUGAAUUCCCUGAGUUGCCUCUUCCUGGACAACUCCAUUGUGGCUUGUAGUAGACAUGUCCAAAUGGGCCGGCCCGGCAGUGGGCCCGUGACCCGGCACGGUCGUGGCCCGGCACGAGCACGACCCGGCCCGACUAGAACCGUGCCCGGGCCGGCCCGGUCCGAUAGCCGUGCCGGGCUUGGGCUGGCCGUCUGGCCCGCGGUGCAGGCACGGGCCCGACACGGUUAAUUAGUAGGCACGAUAACGGCCCAUUUUAGGAACUUAUUUUGUAACUGUCAUUCUGUUUUUAGCUAUAAUACUGAUAAUAUGUUAUUAUAUAAGAGUAUUCUGAAUUGUUAUAUGUGUUUAUAUGUGUAUCUAAAAUUCUUUGUCUAAUUAUGUAUCUAAAAUUAUAAAUAUAAUUAAUUGAAUCUAAACUAAAUUUGAAUAUUAUCCUUAAAUUCUGAAUUUUAGAGUGUUUUUUUUGUUUACGGGUCCGGGCCCGACCCGGCACGACAGGCCCGUCGUGCCUUCGGCCCGGCACGGCCCGUAUAAGAAUAAUCGUGCCGGGCCUGGGCUGCGUCAGCCAGCCCGCGGGCCAGCCCGGCCCAGCACGACACUAAACCAUGCCGGGCUUGGACUGACGCCCCUCGUGCCAGGCCCAGCCGUGCCGGGCCGGCCGUUGGACAUGUAUAGCUUGUAGUACUUUGUUCUCUGGCUUAUUCUGCAGGUAUGGUGGUCUUGGAAGGCUCCCUUGUCUCUGAACCUUACUUCUACUGCUAUCCAGUAUCUCCUACAGUAGUUGAGCCAGCACAGUGGCUCUAUCCAUGGUACUGGGCAACUGAAGCUGAACCACAUUCUGAAUCUCCGAUUUCAUGCCAUAAAUGAACUUGGCGACAAAAAAAACAUUUCGUCCAACUUUGGAUUAUGCACCUCGGCCACAUAACGAGCCUGUUCAAAUUCUGCUACGUACACUUCCAAAGUGUAUGACUAUAUUAACUUCAUAAUUGUUCUCAAAGCCUUUGGGUAAGAUUCAGUACCAAAUUUCGCUAGCACAGCAGCAGAAAACUCCUGACAGGAUCCCAACCCAUUUCGAAUCUUAUACGAUUGCCACCAUCUAGACGCAUUCGAAUCCAAGUGCAUGGUAGCAGCUGAGACCUAGAUCGCCUCGGGGACAUUGCAAAUGUUGAAAUAAUUCUUACAAUUAUCCAACCACACCACUGGAUCAUCGCCCCAAACUUUGGAAAAGACAUCUUAGGUAUUGAACUCCGGUCUCUCCUGCUAGUUAUCCUGGCGUUGCUGGCGAUCUAGCGUUGUUCCUCCCAGCCACCUUUCACUUGCUUUUAUUUCUUUCAGUUCCUACGACUGAUACGAUAUAAAUAGAUUGAUUCACCAGAAUGAUAAAUUGUUUAUAUGCACAGUGAAAAUAAGUUACAUUACAUUUUUUUUGAAGCUAGGCACUGUGACGCCCUAAGCCGGAGGCGCGAUGCUACCUCGAUGUGGGCUAUCGGUGAGAGUCGAGACGUGGACGACACGAAGGUGGAGUUCUUUUUUUUUUGCAUAUUAUGUCCGCUACAGCACAGCAGAAUAUAAGCCAUAGUCAACACAUGGCCUAUCAACAAUUACGAACAAACGCGUACUUCAAACACAAUUUCUCUUCCCGCCAACAAUUACAAACCACUCUGUCACGCCUCACCUGGAGCUACUGCAGGUGCUUCAGUACACAUGUAGACUAAAAGAAAAAUAGUUCUGAAACGCCAAUCCUCUUUACAUCAGCCUUGGACAAACUGGAUGCAGAUUUCUUUAUUGUGUCAAGUGCCUGGACAAACAUGGCAAAGUUUAUUAUGCCAAUAACAGUCUAGAGCAUUGGAGUAGUUAGAAACAUAAAUCACGCAGUACUCAAAAGUCCCAGUUUAGUGGAAGAUUUUGAACAUAAUAAGUUUAGCUUUCAGUCCUUAAUACUAGGCUGAGUGAGAUGGUAAAAAUACAUAAGCGCACCAGUGAACAGAGAAUAACUUGUAAAAUUUGCUGCAAGUGCACCCUGCCCCCACAUUCAUAAAUUCUAGAAAAAAAACAGAGAAAUCUUAAGUACUCCCUCCGUUUCUUUUUAGUUGUCGCUGAAUAGUUCAAUUUUGCACUAUCCAGCGACAACUAAAACGAAACGGAGGGAGUAACAACAAGUUGGUAUGCCAUUGAAACAGCCACAGGAAUUUACCCACCACCAAGCAACAUACGCAUGUAAAAUCCAAAUCAUAGAGUAAGAAUACUGAAGCCUUCUCGAGUAAAUAAACUAGAAAUAAAUCAAAUAAAUUAAAUCAACAAAAAAAUCAAAUACAAACAGCUGGCUCAGUGAAAAGUCUACCAGUCUAAUAAACAAAUCUACAUUGAAUUGAAAUUGAUGGAUUGAAACUAAAAUGAAAAAUGGAAAAAAAAAGGCCGUUCCUUGAUCGCCAUGGACUUCUGUCAAAGUCGAAGAACUCGAUCGACAGACUAUAUAUGCGGCGAGCACAGCCCCUCGUCCAUCAAAUCUAGAAGUAACCCGCCAAGAACCGAGCGCCGUCGCGUGUAUCUCAGCCGUCUGCGCCGCCUGUUUCUCAGCCGUUCGCCACAAAAUGCUGGGUCUCCAAAUCAGGACCGUCAUGGCGGAGAACAUGAACUCGGAGCUAAACAUGAUAGGCUCCUUGCUCCCGUUGUUCCCCUGCAUCACCUUCGACGUCGAGUACGCGGGCACACUGCACCGCUCGUCCGCUGCGACGCGAAUCGCCCCGAGCAAGCAGUACGCCCUCGUGAAGAAAAACGUUGAUGCGGUGCCCAUCGUGAUGCUCGGCAUCACGCUCUCCAACGAGUACGGGAACCUCCCGCUCACAGCGGACGGAGAAGGACGUCUGUUCCAGCUCGCGUGGGAGGUGACGUUCUCGGACUUCGACCCCCGGCGCGACCGCCACGCCCCGGAGUCCGUCACGUUCCUGCGCUCACAGGGCGUCUGCUUGGACAAGGCCCGAGCGCGCGGCGUGAGCUCCGCGGCGUUCGCGGCCAAGCUGGCCGCCAUACUGUCGGCGACGCCGCGGCCCAACGAGCUCACCUGGGCGGCGUUUGGUGGAGCAUACGACUUCGCAUAUAUGCUGAAGAUUCUCACGGGCGGCCAGCCGCUGCCGGAGACAUGGCACGAGUUCAUGGCCCAGACCCAUGCUCUUCUCGGCGGCGGCCGGGUGUUCGACGCCAAAUACAUGGCGGAGCACUGCGAGCGAACGGACUUAGGUGGUCUAGGUCUGAGGCGCAUGGCCGCCACCCUUGGCAUGCGGUGGGACUUCCCGGAGUUGCCCUUCCUUGCCGGGCGGAAGAGCCACAUCGCUUGCUUCAUCUGCACCAUUAUGAGGAGACGCAUCCUGUAUCGCGACGGUGGUGAUAUACUUGUAGGUCUACUCGAUGGUAUACACUGGUAGCAUUUUGAACGGUGAUUACAGCAUAGUCAACUCUAGAUUAUAAUAAACUCUUUUAGCUAUCCAAAUGGGUUAGAUAGGUGUUAGUAUAGGGUAUAUUUUAUAGAUUAAAAUGAUUGUUGGGCUGCGCCCCAAACAAUCAUAGUUAGUAGAUAGGUUUAAUUUGCUUCUAUAAUCAUGGUUGAUUUAUUCAUUACGCUUGUAACCGUCUAUGUAUAUCUAUCCAUCUAUUUACAUAUUUAGUAAAAAAAGUUAAGCGAAUUAAAAAUUAGGACGGAACUGUGCUCUCCCAAAAAAAUUCAAUCAUGAAAAUAAAUGCUUCAGCAUCUAUAGAAUGUAAUGACAUAGCUGGUCCCCUUUUCAUCCGUGGAGAUAAAUACCGGAGCGGGGCUGCCUAGCUUGGUAACUAAUUUACUCUAACCUAAUAUACUAACAAUUAUAAUGCUCAAUAUCUCACAUUAAAAAGGUGUUCAGUUGUGUAAAAACAACUGUUCAGAUUUGCAUAAAAGGUAUAGAAAAAAAAGAUCAAACAGGAGCUUAGAACCAGGUUAUUUAGGCUGUCAGACUUAGGAUUAUAGUAUUAUAUAUCACCCUCGUCAGAAUUUGCAUACAACACUUUUUUUCAACCUGGAAAUUGCACGAGAAAACACGGUUACAAAUUGCUUUAGAUGAGAAGCACAAAAAACAUUAUUAUCAAUUUGAAGAAGAAACUUCAAACAACGGUUAAGAUACACAGUUUUACCAGUUUUUAAGUUGUGAUGUUGUGAUCUCUGGGCCCUACAAAGCACGGCCAUAUUUUCCAUAAAUGAGAAUGCAUUCAACAAUUAAGACCUAAGAAUUGAAUGCCCCAAAGUGAAAAAAAAUUACCUGCAGACUUAACUUCUCUGACCAACUCUGCAAUAGAACAGGGUUUUUGUGCAUCUCAGGCUCAUCUACUAGAGCCUUCUCUAAUUCAUCUAUUUGCUCAUUAUUCAUAAGGGUACGCUUCCUUCUCUUAGGUUGCCUCUCAUCAUACAUACUACUCUCUCCUUUCCCAUCCUCCUCGAGACCGUUUUCUUUUGUAAGUUCUGGUGUUUUGAAAUUAUCCACGCUGCUGGAUGCUGGAUCAAGAUCCAUUCUGUUGUGCUGGUGUCUGGUGCUAACACCGGAAGCGACAUCCGAAGGGCAACCACUUGCUGUUCUUGCAACGCCAAGAUGGACUAGGUCUUGCCCAACUGCAUUCUGCAGGAAACCACCAUUUCUAGAGACAGUGUUCUUUGGAGUCUCGUCCUCAUCAUUUCCUUCCGGAUUUAUUGGGGGUACUGGUGUAGACACUUCCAUGUUCUGUGCAUCCUGUUGCAUCAGCUUCCGAUUAGAAUCCAAUUCACCGUGGACCCAAACCCAAUCACCAGUCAAGUUUCAUUGACCCACUCAUCUAAGUAUUUACCUUUGGAAGGUUAUUCAUUUUGGAGGCUGGAGUGCUUGUCCGUGUUGGCAAGUGCUGCUGCACCGGGCGCAUGGCAUCCAUGCUUUCUGGUGGAAUAUCAUUUUGUACAACCUUAAACAUUUCAUAAUGAGGUCAUACUACAAUUGAAAAAAUAAGAGAAAGUUUGAAAGAAAACAUGAAAAUUCUGCCAUAGAAUGGAUAGUAAAUUGACCUUUGAAGUUCACUGACAAGGGAGCCAAGGCCAGGAAAGGAUGAUGGGAUAGUGUUGAGCUCAAUUUGAAGUAGUGAAUUGGUUUCGGAAUCCAGCAUAUAGUCAGACCGGUGCAAUCCUAAGUGUAUAUCCUAAAAGUGUAUCAAGCACAUAUCAGUGGCUGGCUAAAAAACAAGAGAAAGUUUGAAAGAAGCAUUUCCUAAAGGUCAAAACUGAGACAUAGAGGCCGAUAAAAACAGUUUACUCACCUCUUUCUUAUUUAUAGACAUCAUCUUAUCAUGAAUUUCUAGCAGCCUUGAAGUAAAUUCAUCAACCUGCUUUGUUCUGAAAUUAGAAAAUGAUAAUCCGCUGUUAACCUGAAACCAUUAUAUAGCUAAAAAUGUGAAAAAUAGCUCUGCCUUCUAUGACCUGACUAACAGAGAGUUAUAUUCUCCUCAAAAUUCAAGGCGACAAUCUUGUGAUGAAAAAAAUCAGCUAACAAUCUCGUCUACUCACUGUAUGCUCCGAACAAAGAUAUAUACCACAUUGGUACCAAAAGAAUCCAGUGGAUAGAAUUCAGAACUUGCCUAGACAAAGCAGCUUGGAAGAACUCCCCAUCCAAGCUGACACGAUCCACGAGCUCAUUGAAGAUAGGAGCCAGCUCGCAUGCUUGAUUGAAGAACGAUGCCGGAAAACGCGCUGGAAGCAGCGAGAAUGGAGCGUGAACCAGGCCAACCGCAGGGACCGUUCCGAUCUCUGCAAGUGACAAUAUAAAUGCAGAUCAGAUAAUUCAGGGUAAUUAUAGCUUACAGUUACAGGAAAUUGGGGCAUGCUGUUUGCUUCUUCUUCUUCUUUUCUGGUUAUAUCAAAACCCGCCAGAGUGCAGAGUGGCAACAGUCAAGACAUGUUGAAAAUUGUUCCUUUUUUAACAGUGAACUACAUUACUGCAACUGUUAAGACAAGUUGAACNNNNNNNNNNNNNNNNNNNNNNNNNNNNNNNNNNNNNNNNNNNNNNNNNNNNNNNNNNNNNNNNNNNNNNNNNNNNNNNNNNNNNNNNNNNNNNNNNNNNGGCUGCGUCAGCCAGCCCGGGCCCGGCACGACACUAAACCAUGCCGGGCUUGGACUGACGCCCCUCGUGCCAGGCCCAGCCGUGCCGGGCCGGCCGUUGGACAUGUAUAGCUGUAGUACUUUGUUCUCUGGCUUAUUCUGCAGGUAUGGUGGUCUUGGAAGGCUCCCUUGUCUCUGAACCUUACUUCUACUGCUAUCCAGUAUCUCCUACAGUAGUUGAGCCAGCACAGUGGCUCUAUCCAUGGUACUGGGCAACUGAAGCUGAACCACAUUCUGAAUCUCCGAUUUCAUGCCAUAAAUGAACUUGGCGACAAAAAAACAUUUCGUCCAACUUUGGAUUAUGCACCUCGGCCACAUAACGAGCCUGUUCAAAUUCUGCUACGUACACUUCCAAAGUGUAUGACUAUAUUAACUUCAUAAUUGUUCUCAAAGCCUUUGGGUAAGAUUCAGUACCAAAUUUCGCUAGCACAGCAGCAGAAAACUCCUGACAGGAUCCCAACCCAUUUCGAAUCUUAUACGAUUGCCACCAUCUAGACGCAUUCGAAUCCAAGUGCAUGGUAGCAGCUGAGACCUAGAUCGCCUCGGGGACAUUGCAAAUGUUGAAAUAAUUCUUACAAUUAUCCAACCACACCACUGGAUCAUCGCCCCAAACUUUGGAAAAGACAUCUUAGGUAUUACCUGACGAACUAGUCCUCCUUGAUGAAAUCGAUUGAACUCCGGUCUCUCCUGCUAGUUAUCCUGGCGUUGUUGGCGAUCUAGCGUUGUUCCUGCUAUUUCUUUCAGUUCCUACGACUGAUACGAUAUAAAUAGAUUGAUUCACCAGAAUGAUAAAUUGUUUAUAUGCACAGUGAAAAUAAGUUACAUUACAUUUUUUUUGAAGCUAGGCACUGUGACGCCCUAAGCCGGAGGCGCGAUGCUACCUCGAUGUGGGCUAUCGGUGAGAGUCGAGACGUGGACGACACGAAGGUGGAGUUCUUUUUUUUUGCAUAUUAUGUCCGCUACAGCACAGCAAAAUAUAAGCCCAUAGUCAACACAUGGCCUAUCAACAAUUACGAACAAACGCGUACUUCAAACAUAAUUUCUCUUCCCGCCAACAAUUACAAACCACUCUGUCACGCCUCACCUGGAGCUACUGCAGGUGCUUCAGUACACAUGUAGACUAAAAGAAAAAUAGUUCUGAAACGCCAAUCCUCUUUACAUCAGCCUUGGACAAACUGGAUGCAGAUUUCUUUAUUGUGUCAAGUGCCUGGACAAACAUGGCAAAGUUUAUUAUGCCAAUAACAGUCUAGAGCAUUGGAGUAGUUAGAAACAUAAAUCACGCAGUACUCAAAAGUCCCAGUUUAGUGGAAGAUUUUGAACAUAAUAAGUUUAGCUUUCAGUCCUUAAUACUAGGCUGAGUGAGAUGGUAAAAUACAUAAGCGCACCAGUGAACAGAGAAUAACUUGUAAAAUUUGCUGCAAGUGCACCCUGCCCCCACAUUCAUAAAUUCUAGAAAAAAACAGAGAAAUCUUAAGUACUCCCUCCGUUUCUUUUUAGUUGUCGCUGAAUAGUUCAAUUUUGCACUAUCCAGCGACAACUAAAACGAAACGAGGGAGUAACAACAAGUUGGUAUGCCAUUGAAACAGCCACAGGAAUUUACCACCACCAAGCAACAUACGCAUGUAAAAUCCCAAAUCAUAGGAGUAAGAAUACUGAAGGCUCUUCUCGGAGUAAAUAAACUAGAAGAUAAAUCAAAUUAAAUUAAAUCAACCACAAGAUAAAAUCCAAAUACUAAACAGGCUGGGCUCAGUUGGACAAAGUCUACCAGUCUAAUGACAACAAAGUCUACCAGUUUGAAUUUGAAAUGUGAUUGGGAUUUGAAACCUAAAACUGAAAAAUGGAAAAGAAGAAAGGGCCGUUUCCCUUGAGUCCGCCAUGGACUUCCUGUCCAAAGUCCGAAGAACUCGAUCGACAGACUAUAUAUGCGGGCCGAGGCACAGCCCCCUCGUCCAUCAAAUCUAGAAGUAACCCGCCAAGAACCGAGCGCCGUCGCGUGUAUCUCAGCCGUCUGCGCCGCCUGUUUCUCAGCCGUUCGCCACAAAAUGCUGGGUCUCCAAAUCAGGACCGUCAUGGCGGAGAACAUGAACUCGGAGCUAAACAUGAUAGGCUCCUUGCUCCCGUUGUUCCCCUGCAUCACCUUCGACGUCGAGUACGCGGGCACACUGCACCGCUCGUCCGCUGCGACGCGAAUCGCCCCGAGCAAGCAGUACGCCCUCGUGAAGAAAAACGUUGAUGCGGUGCCCAUCGUGAUGCUCGGCAUCACGCUCUCCAACGAGUACGGGAACCUCCCGCUCACAGCGGACGGAGAAGGACGUCUGUUCCAGCUCGCGUGGGAGGUGACGUUCUCGGACUUCGACCCCCGGCGCGACCGCCACGCCCCGGAGUCCGUCACGUUCCUGCGCUCACAGGGCGUCUGCUUGGACAAGGCCCGAGCGCGCGGCGUGAGCUCCGCGGCGUUCGCGGCCAAGCUGGCCGCCAUACUGUCGGCGACGCCGCGGCCCAACGAGCUCACCUGGGCGGCGUUUGGUGGAGCAUACGACUUCGCAUAUAUGCUGAAGAUUCUCACGGGCGGCCAGCCGCUGCCGGAGACAUGGCACGAGUUCAUGGCCCAGACCCAUGCUCUUCUCGGCGGCGGCCGGGUGUUCGACGCCAAAUACAUGGCGGAGCACUGCGAGCGAACGGACUUAGGUGGUCUAGGUCUGAGGCGCAUGGCCGCCACCUUGGCAUGCGGUGGGACUUCCCGGAGUUGCCCUUCCUUGCCGGGCGGAAGAGCCACAUCGCUUGCUUCAUCUGCACCAUUAUGAGGAGACGCAUCCUGUAUCGCGACGGUGGUGAUAUACUUGUAGGUCUACUCGAUGGUAUACACUGGUAGCAUCUUUGAACGGUGAUUACAGCAUAGUCAACUCUAGAUUAUAAUAAACUCUUUUAGCUAUCCAAAUGGGUUAGAUAGGUGUUAGUAUAGGGUAUAUUUUAUAGAUUAAAAUGAUUGUUGGGCUGCGCCCCAAACAAUCAUAGUUAGUAGAUAGGUUUAAUUUGCUUCUAUAAUCAUGGUUGAUUUAUUCAUUACGCUUGUAACCGUCUAUGUAUAUCUAUCCAUCUAUUUACAUAUUUAGUAAAAAAAGUUAAGCGAAUUAAAAAUUAGGACGGAACUGUGCUCUCCCAAAAAAAUUCAAUCAUGAAAAUAAAUGCUUCAGCAUCUAUAGAAUGUAAUGACAUAGCUGCGUCCCCUUUUCAUCCGUGGAGAUAAAUACCGGAGCGGGGCUGCCUAGCUUGGUAACUAAUUUACUCUAACCUAAUAUACUAACAAUUAUAAUGCUCAAUAUCUCACAUUAAAAAGGUGUUCAGUUGUGUAAAAACAACUGUUCAGAUUUGCAUAAAAGGUAUAGAAAAAAAAAGAUCAAACAGGAGCUUAGAACCAGGUUAUUUAGGCUGUCAGACUUAGGAUUAUAGUAUUAUAUAUCACCCUCGUCAGAAUUUGCAUACAACACUUUUUUUCAACCUGGAAAUUGCACGAGAAAACACGGUUACAAAUUGCUUUAGAUGAGAAGCACAAAAAACAUUAUUAUCAAUUUGAAGAAAGAAACUUCAAACAACGGUUAAGAUACACAGUUUUACCAGUUUUUAAGUUGUGAUGUUGUGAUCUCUGGGCCCUACAAAAGCACGGCCAUAUUUUCCAUAAAUGAGAAUGCAUUCAACAAUUAAGACCUAAGAAUUGAAUGCCCCAAAGUGAAAAAAAAUUACCUGCAGACUUAACUUCUCUGACCAACUCUGCAAUAGAACAGGGUUUUUGUGCAUCUCAGGCUCAUCUACUAGAGCCUUCUCUAAUUCAUCUAUUUGCUCAUUAUUCAUAAGGGUACGCUUCCUUCUCUUAGGUUGCCUCUCAUCAUACAUACUACUCUCUCCUUUCCCAUCCUCCUCGAGACCGUUUUCUUUUGUAAGUUCUGGUGUUUUGAAAUUAUCCACGCUGCUGGAUGCUGGAUCAAGAUCCAUUCUGUUGUGCUGGUGUCUGGUGCUAACACCGGAAGCGACAGCCGAAGGGCAACCACUUGCUGUUCUUGCAACGCCAAGAUGGACUAGGUCUUGCCCAACUGCAUUCUGCAGGAAACCACCAUUUCUAGAGACAGUGUUCUUUGGAGUCUCGUCCUCAUCAUUUCCUUCCGGAUUUAUUGGGGGUACUGGUGUAGACACUUCCAUGUUCUGUGCAUCCUGUUGCAUCAGCUUCCGAUUAGAAUCCAAUUCACCGUGGACCCAAACCCAAUCACCAGUCAAGUUUCAUUGACCCACUCAUCUAAGUAUUUACCUUUGGAAGGUUAUUCAUUUUGGAGGCUGGAGUGCUUGUCCGUGUUGGCAAGUGCUGCUGCACCGGGCGCAUGGCAUCCAUGCUUUCUGGUGGAAUAUCAUUUUGUACAACCUUAAACAUUUCAUAAUGAGGUCAUACUACAAUUGAAAAAAUAAGAGAAAGUUUGAAAGAAAACAUGAAAAUUCUGCCAUAGAAUGGAUAGUAAAUUGACCUUUGAAGUUCACUGACAAGGGAGCCAAGGCCAGGAAAGGAUGAUGGGAUAGUGUUGAGCUCAAUUUGAAGUAGUGAAUUGGUUUCGGAAUCCAGCAUAUAGUCAGACCGGUGCAAUCCUAAGUGUAUAUCCUAAAAGUGUAUCAAGCACAUAUCAGUGGCUGGCUAAAAAACAAGAGAAAGUUUGAAAGAAGCAUUUCCUAAAGGUCAAAACUGAGACAUAGAGGCCGAUAAAAAACAGUUUACUCACCUCUUUCUUAUUUAUAGACAUCAUCUUAUCAUGAAUUUCUAGCAGCCUUGAAGUAAAUUCAUCAACCUGCUUUGUUCUGAAAUUAGAAAAUGAUAAUCUGCUGUUAACCUGAAACCAUUAUAUAGCUAAAAAUGUGAAAAAUAGCUCUGCCUUCUAUGACCUGACUAACAGAGAGUUAUAUUCUCCUCAAAAUUCAAGGCGACAAUCUUGUGAUGAAAAAAAUCAGCUAACAAUCUCGUCUACUCACUGUAUGCUCCGAACAAAGAUAUAUACCACAUUGGUACCAAAAGAAUCCAGUGGAUAGAAUUCAGAACUUGCCUAGACAAAGCAGCUUGCAAGAACUCCCCAUCCAAGCUGACACGAUCCACGAGCUCAUUGAAGAUAGGAGCCAGCUCGCAUGCUUGAUUGAAGAACGAUGCCGGAAAACGCGCUGGAAGCAGCGAGAAUGGAGCGUGAACCAGGCCAACCGCAGGGACCGUUCCUGAUCUCUGCAAGUGACAAUAUAAAUGCAGAUCAGAUAAUUCAGCGGUAAUUAUAGCUUACAGUUACAGGAAAUUGGGGCAUGCUGUUUGCUUCUUCUUCUUUUCUGGUUAUAUCAAAACCCGCCAGAGUGCAGAGUGGCAACAGUCAAGACAUGUUGAAAAUUGUUCCUUUUUUAACAGUGAACUACAUUACUGCAACUGUUAAGACAAGUUGAACAUUUGUCCUUUUAAACAGCGAACAACAUUACUGCAAUUUGGCAGGGUGGGUACUCCAUUAUUCCAUCCUCCAAGCCGAGGCAACAACGAACUAUUAGAAAUUCCAAUCAUGGAGCUAGAGGAAAUUCUCUGACAAAGUGAGACCGCCCAAAAUGCAAGCUUUUGCUAACACACUGACGAACACUAGCAGCCAGUCGAUCCAAGACCGGGAGGGGUGACUCGUGUGGCGUACCUGGUUGGCGCGAUCUCCGACGACGAGCCCGUGGACGGCGCACCACACGGCGGCAUCCUCCACCAUCUACCCCAGCACGGCCUGCUGCCCCGGCGUCCCGGCCCCCUCCUCCGUCGGCGCCACGCCGAGGGGCGCCUUGGCGCUCAUCGCCGCGUGCGCCAUCCGAAGCUGCCGGGGCGCGGGCGGCGCGAACGAGGCCGUGUCUGGGGCGGGAAGGCGGCUGGCAGCGCGGAGACGGAGACGGACCUGCUGUUGGUGCGAGACGCAGGGGGAGGACAUGGCGUGGGGGAAACCGAUUCAAAGGCGGGCGCUCCCACGAUUUAUGUCGUCGCGCUCUGGCUUCGUGCCUUGGCGGCGGCGAAGGCCGGAGAGGGGAAUUGGGAAUGGGUUCCUGUUCGGUUGUUCCUAGUCCGAUGUGGGCAUGUGGAGGGUGCGGGUCAAUCUCCGGUCGGGACAGAGGCGUCCAGGUGCUUCCUCUCGAUCGCUUGUUUCGUCUAGACCGGCCACCUGAUCCAACCAACCAGCCGUCCAAAAAAAUCGACUGAACCUAUCCCAACUAAUGUAAUAAAAGAUGGGUAUGGGUUAUAAUUUUUGACCCAUAAUAAUUCACGUACUGAAUAUAGACCAUAGUUUUAUCUAAAACCUAACCUAACUCAUAAAAAUCCGUCCCAACACGAAAAAAUCCGACCUGACACAUCUAACAGGGAGGCACAGACCAAUCCGACCCGACACUAGACACGAUUCAGGUACAGACAAUGCUAAAUGGCCCACGAUCCGACCUGACGGUUGAACAUGUCUAGUUUCGUAGUCAUGGCGUCACGACGGACAUUGUUGUUGCUGCUUUGUAAAAUUGCACUACUACCUUUUCUAUCGAGACGAGGUCUAUGCCUAAAACUUUUCAGAAAUGAGGGUGUUUGGUUUCUAGUAACUAAUUUUUAGUCCUUCCAUUUUAUUCUAUUUUAGAUCUUAUUUGAGACAACUGCAGCUCCAGAAAAUUUGGUGGAGUUGCUGAAGCAGGUCAUUAGGUGCUUUAGAAAAUCAUGGAGCUGGAGCUAUAAGCCUUUAGAUAACAUUUAAAUAAGUCAUUUCAUUUAUUAUUUAAACUAAAAAUAUCUUUAAAAAUGUUUAAAUUAUAUUAUAAACUACAGCUCCACGCUGAAACUGGAACCUAAAGCCAUCACAAACAUCCCCUUAGUCCAUAAAUUGCAAAUAUGGAAAUUAAAACUCUACUAGGUCCAUGCCCGUGCGUUGCCACGAGAGUGAAAAACAGUAUGAAACAUAGAUAUGAACCGACAAAUAUUACUAUGAUAUGAAAAAUUCGUAUGGCAAAAUAUCACUGUAACACUAAUAUUAAAUUUUUGAUGAUAUAAAUAUAUAAUAUUAUUAUAAAUACGUCGACCCAAAAUGAUUGAACUGAUGUCAAACAAACAUUAUCAAUAGCGCAUAAACCCGAGCCCGUACACGACCCGGAUGACAGAGAUGCCAAUCAGCAGGAGGAGCACUUCCUAUAGUAAUAAAUGACUUGUCCAAAAGAAAUAUAUUGAAACAUUGAUGACAAGAUUAACAGCGGUUGUCUUUCUAAGAAGUUGGUUAUGCCUCUUCUGGGUGGUAAAGUUCAACCCCAGCAGGUUCCUAGAACUAAUGAUGCAAUUAGCUCUGAUUCUGCUAGCACAAAUGAGAACCCUAUUCUUGGUGGAAGAGUAUUUUCUCCUCUAGUUGUUUUCUAGAGUUCAAUAGAAACAUAAGUUGCUGCUGCAUUUCAAAAUCAAAGUGAAACCGUAUGUACCUCUUCUGUUAAUUUUAUAAUUAUUAUAUAGUCAAAUUGCCCUUGGUCACUUCAUCUGAUUUCUUAAUAGCAACUGCUGCAUCCAUAACAGAGUCCGAUAUAAUAAAUUGUUACUCUGUUAAUUGGCAUGUAAUGCUUUGAACGGACUGAAACCAAUAGCUCAUUAGCUCUCUACACUUCAUUUAAUAAAUGAAUACAGUAAGGACUAUGCAGUUUUCAUGCAGAAGACAUACACUAGUUCACAAUCGAGAAUGCAGAAGGCAGACUGAACACAAUCUGUGCACUAUCUGGUACACAUCAUAGGAACAUUGAUACAAACCAGACACCUGUACACAUCCAAAAAUGAACAUUGAUGCAAAAUUUAAACAUAAUGACACGCAAGAACAUUGAUCUCCAUUUAUAUUAAAAAAAGUACACCAUACAUUAUAAGUUUAGAACCACACUUGAACUGAUUACACCCAUAUGACUACAAUAGGUUAUGCUUCAACAGGAGUCUUCCAAGGAAAACAGCUUAACAACCAUAGCACCCUAAACCUUACAAGCUAAAUGAUUCCCACUACAUUUUUAUCUUGGGGCCAUCCUCUGUACAGCUUGGUCACACAGUUUAGCAGUUUUGUUUGGCGCCUCAUCUCUUGUGCGGCCUCGUCUUUUUCAAUAUUUGGUCGUUGCAGCCUCAACUUUUUUAAUAUUUGGUCGCUCAUCUAGCUUUCCAUGUAGUAUAAUCGAGGAUUGUGGUUACAAAAAGCGCAGGUUCUUGGCUUACCAUACAAAUCAGGAGCAGUAGAGGCAAAAGCCUCGGUCGAAGUCACCUCUUCAUCCUUGUGUAGUUGUGUUUCUCCAUGCCCAAGUCCACCAGAAUCGGACCUCCUACGCCAGCCACUGCGUGAGGCCAAGGCACAACAUGUGCGUGAGGCCGCACCUCGAACAGUUCUUGACCCACAACAGCUAGAAGUGCAUGUUGAGGCAGAUCUUCUCGCCCUAGUACAUCUGCGCGCACCAGCAGUGAUCCAACAUAGCGAGAGAUACUAUAUGAAAAAAAGAAAAUGUCAUGUUAGUAAUGCGACUACUCAAUGAAAACAAAAGGUAAGUCCUUUUAGGUUUUAGAAUGAUACUUGGAUGCUGCAAUCCUUCUAAAAAUAGCAUGCAUUGCACCACAUAUAUAGCAAAAGACAAUGGUAUAUUCUUGACAGAACAGAAUAAGUGAUCAAAAGGCAGCAACAGUACCUGCAAGUUUACUAUUGUUGAAUCUAUGUAGAACAAUUCACACCUGUAGCUUCAGCUCCUAGUACUUUUAGUGCAUCAUGUGCAUUAACACCUAUUAUGAUCCUAUUGUACAUCUCUGAACCAUCAACCUCUAAAAUUUCCAGUAUCACAAUUUUUUCUCGUUAGUUAAUAAGUAGGUUUGAUUUGGGCCAACAGCCUUGGCAAAUGCAUCUGAUAUAUCAACCACAUGAACUUGAGCUUGGUAUCCACCAGCUUCCGAGGAUCGGUGCUGGCAGCCUGCUGUUGACGUCUGUUCUCCUGCAAAGCUUUCUCCCGCUACUCAUAGAAGUCGAAAUCUUCCAGGAUUGUUGUCCCAGCCUCAUGGCUCUUGAAGAUUGUUAGCAUCUGGAGGCCCUGUUCCAGAUUCACCUAUAUGCUAAGAGUUAGUGAAUUUAUUCAGAAGUGCCAUUGAUAUUGGUUACUUAAACAUUCAGCAAAAAGAAUUAUGUAAAUUUUACCUCCUAGGUGUCACUGCUAUUUGUGACAGGUUUAUUGUCAUUGUUCUCAAGAAUGAUGUGUCGCAUAAGGCUGUUCGGUACAUCCUAAAUUAUGUGCCACUUCACAUAGAACUGUCCACUCCACUUAUCUUGCUGCCAGUAAUCUUGCACCCUGAAGGCAGCUCGGGAGAGAGAGGGGUAGGGGAAGAGCCACAGAUUGUGUGUGUGUGUGAGAGAGAGGGACAGGAAACAACUAGAUCCGGCGCCACUGACCUCUCCACCAAUUUGGUGCCUCACAUCUUGGAUCCUCGAGAGCUAAUGACACCUUCAAGCCAUGGAUCCAUUGGAGGCUGGUCCUCCAUGGGAUGCGAUCAGUGUCCACGUCGCCAAUAGCACUCGCGCCGCCUCUCUCUCUCUCUCUCUGUGGCUGUGGAGAGCGGGUGAAGGGAGAGAGGGGGAUGGAGGCGCUGGUCUCGUCUGAUAGCGAUGACGUGGAGACUCGGGUGGAAGCAAGGGGAUGGAAGCGAUGGUUGGCUGAUACUUACACAUUACAUUGUCUUGCUGCAAUAUGCUCAUAUCUGUGUUUUCCUGCAGCAAUAUGAUAAUAUGGCUCACAAGUAGACGACUGAUGUUCUGAACAAUCUUUCGGCGUCUCUAUUUUUAGGAAUGAAACAACAUCCGAAAUGUAACAGAUAAGUACAUUGUUACUUCCUCAUACUACAGAAUUGAAACAAAACCUCCUGACUCUACAGUUACACAUAAGUACAGAAUUGAAACAAAACCUCCUGACUACAUCAAAAGGUGCAAAACCCACCCAGAUGCCCAACACAGCAGUGGAUAAUCUACAAUUGAAAAUUCAUACUGAACGUCCAUUUCGACAACCAAAAUUGCCACCGGCCUAUUUAUGUAAAAGAUGACCAGACCACCAUAUGUGAGGGGAAAAACAGUCUCAACUGAGCAGUUGUCACACUCGGGUUUUACGGGUCCAAAACUCGGGCGCGAAAUAAUCACCAGGUGUGCUGGGACCAAGCCUCACACAUAUGAUGAAUAAUGGUACAAAAACAAAUGUCACAUCUUUACUAUAUAAUAGGAGUUCUCUACAAAAUAAAUAAAUAAUUACAUCACAAGGAGACAACGAUCCAACAACCCAAAGUUGACUGGGAGACGACGGCCUAAACUUCUCACGAACUCGCCACAACAUCCUCCAUGCGCCUUAUCCCGCGGUACCUGUUCUUGACCUAUGGGGGUGUGUGACAGCAAGAGUGAGCUCACAUACGUUCAUCGCUCAACAAGUUGUGGGAAAUAAUGUGCAUGAACUCGCCAAAGGUGGGAGCUCAUGUGAAGUGUAAGGCUUACCAAAGAGGAUGGGUGAAGAUGAGCAUUGCUUUUAAAGUUGGUCAAAAUUUUAUUAGCAAUUACUAAGUAUAAGUAAAUACCAACCCAGUUAAGUAGUAGAACAAAAGUGAUAACAACACCCUCAAUGCAAUGCAUAUGACAAAUUGAAUUUAGUUCCAUAAAUUAAUCAUGUGAGGGUCCGAGUUGCUCAUGACCAUGAGCACGGCUGAUAUACCAGUUUUACACUCUGUAGAGGUUGCGCAUCUUUACCCACAAGUCAUGUUACCCAUUUUCCAUGGGGUUGAUUGGACCUCAUACACCUCUACCGAGGAAGCGAGGCAGGGUACCACUACGAGGCCUUUACAAAAUUCCACUAGCUUUAGAAAACCCGCUACGGUUUCUAGGAAGCUCCAAUGCAGGGAUCCCUCGCCUGCCGCCAUCACAGCAAAAAUCAACCCAAGGACCUCCCUACACUGACAACUCCCCUACUGUCCUUGCCCCUUUUGGGUAAGGUAGUCAUCUACUAGCUUUCCUAAAUAAUCAGCCAAGGGCGUCCCAUACCACCCUUGUGGUAGCACUGUUUUCUCGGGUGGUUCUUCAUGUUCCAAUUAACAUAAUGAUCUUAACAUGAACAGUAAAUAACAACUGAUAAUAAAAGUAUAAUCAUGAAUAGUGUGUAUCUCUAUACCCAAAACCACAUAAAGCAAUAGCAGGUACUACCCAAAAAAUCAGUGGUAAACAAGGUAUAAAGAUAGUCAAACUAGGGUAACCUAUUGGGUCCCAUUAAAAUUAACCUAUGCAGAUCAUUAUGAUUAAUAAGAACAUGAUUGGGUAAAAAGAAGUGAUAAAGGGCACAACUUGCCUGGACUUGAGAUUCCAGGUACCAACUUGCUUUUCAGAUGACUCGUGACCUCGCGCUAGUCGUAGCAAUACAAACAAACAUGGUAUAGGCAAAAUUAACAUCACACCAAACAUAAGAAUAAACUGCAUAAUAAUAAUCUACGCGUUGCUACGAGAUCGUGGGAUCGAGAACCGCUAAAUUCGGGGUUACGGUUAUGAAGUUAUGGUUUUCUGAAGAUCCACGUGGUUAAGUAUAGAAUAGACUAAGUGCAACAUUUUAACCUAUAUUUCAUGACAAAAAAAGUUACCAGAUGAUAAUAAUAUUAUUGUGAGACUAAUGCAACUAGGAUGGAUCAAAACGGAGCUACAAUUAUUGAGUUAUGAAUUUCUGGAGUUAUUUAAUGCUUGAUAUAGACUAAUUCAGAUGAACAAUUUUAAUCUAAUUUUCAUGGCUAAACAGAGAUACUAGGUGAUAUAUGAUAUUAAAACAAAAUUAUUGCAACUGGAAUGAAUCAAUUUGGAGCUAAAAUGAAUUAAAUAUGAAUUUCACAAGUUUCUAGUAUUGUUUUUGUAUUAAAAAUCAUUUUCUAAAAUAAAUUAUGAAUUUCCUCAUGCUUCUGGACUGCGGACACAAUUUUAACAAACUCUAGGGGGCUCUGCAUAAAUUCCAGGACUAAACGGUAAUGGUCUUAACCCUGACUUGGACGACGGGUUAGUUUAGGAAAAGCCGAGGGGCCUUUCUGCAACAUCGCACGGCCGAAGGGGUAUCGGCAACUGUGGGCCGUUGGAUCUAUAUGCUACGGUUGCGAUUAGAUCUUAAUAAGACCCGAACUGGUAUCGGAUACGGACCAUCAGAUUACCAUCCAAGGGUCGGGAUCUAACGACACUAGCGCUCCCGCUCACCCACACAUCCGCAGAUCCACGGCUCCUAUCCAUUAGCGCGAAGGGGUAUCCACGACUUAAUCACAGUCGUCUGAUAAGAUCAAACGACGCACGUCCUUUCGCUUUCCCCCAACCUAGUGUGCGGCGGCGCCAUGGCCGGCGCAGGCGCAUCAAACUCCGUGGAAGCCCUACGAAAAUGAUGUGGAGACUUAAACGAACACGCAGGGGGUUUCCUUACCUACAAUCACGCAGUGGGAUCUGCUGCCCACGGAGGAGGGUGGGUCCGCGGCGGCGUCGGACCAUGGCGAGGAAUUGCGGCGUCGCCUGCCCACAAUCGCGCCCGGAACGACCAUGUGCACCACUAGUGCGACUCCCCAAAGCUCCUAGGCCCAGAUUCGAGGCCUCAUCGGUGACGCAAACCCGGGUCGACGGCAACGGCUUCCAUGACCCACGCGGCGGCCAAUAUCUCACCCAGCAACGACUCUAACUUUUUCCCCCACCUCCCAUGUUUGGUCAUUGGCUAGAUGGUCGAGGGAAUGCAGCUACGAUACUUAUACGCAGGUAAAGGGAAGCAUCCAGGUGUUAGGUCCAAGCUUGGUUGCAAUGAACACCGCGAUCUCCGGAGAGGUUGUACCCCGUCAGUCCGUUCUGGUUGAGGAGACGCAGCUGAUGCAAUGGGGGCCACCAGCCAUGGAUAGAUGAUCAACACUUGCGAUCAGCCCAAGCGCACGCGCGAAGAAAGUGAGGCUGACGGCACGGGGGUUGUUGCGCAAGCUCUGCAUUCUGUUCUAACGGAGUCCGCGCGAGAAGGAAGGUCCUGACGAUCCGGCCCCACGAGUCAGCGAAACAGGCUGCGUCCACGAGCACACGCGAGUGAGUUAGGAGUUGGGGCCCACUGGCCAGUGGUCGACGCGGCUUCACUGGCCAAGCGGGGCCACAUGUCGGCGCCGGUCAUGACCGCGAAAUACUGGGCCGUGAAGGAGGGAAUAUGGAGAUGGGCCGAAAUGGGAGGUGGUUAGCCCAACGUGAUGUUUUCUUUUUCUUUUCUUAUUUUCUUUUCUCUAUUCCCAAAUUCCACUUUAAAUUCAACUUUAAAUUCAAAUCUUGUGCCAAAUUUAUCCCCAAAUUAUAUUGCUAAAUUAAAAGUACCAAUUUUGGAGAUAUAUAAAUUUUCUUUAUAUUUUAUAUUCUUUCUCUUUUCUUUCCUUCCCUAUUUUCAAACCUAAAUUUUAAUUUGGGGUUCAAUCCACAUCUCAAGUUAUUAUUAUAUUUUUAUUAAUAUAUUUAUGACCAUUACUUAAUGUACAACAAACAAAAUUCCAACAUGAUGCAUUAAAUAUUUUUAUUAGAUAUCUUGUCCUUUUGAUUAGGGUUAAUCCCAUGUUAUAAUAAUGAGAUGGCAACCCAAAUGAUGAUAUCCUUUUCUUUACUUUAUUCACAAAGUGGGUUUUACAGCAGCUUAAGUAGAUCCCCAAGAAAAGUGAACGAAACGUGCUGAACUGAAAUCUAACACCUCACGAUCACAGUUGUCUAUUUUCAUCACUGAUCGAAAUCCAAAAAAACAUGACGCCUGAUGACUGUUUUCUCUCUCUUUUUCGGUCAAGAUCUGACGUUUUCAGAUCAUGCAGCAAUUAAGGAGUUCUGCGGAGAGGCGAGAGCUUACUCACGAAAAAUGGAGAAACAUAUCUUGGCCUUGUAUUUGCAGUAGUGGUGACAGUGCUCUGGCCGGAGCCCGAGCUCCUCCACGAUGUCGGCGAUAGGGAGUGGCUGACGGAUGUAGAUGUCCGUCGACACCAGCGAUGCCACAUCCGGCCAGAUCGUCUGGCUUGGCAUUGGCAUCUCAAGCAGCAGCGGCGGCGAGACGACGACGCUGAAUUUCACGAGACGGUUUGGUUUGGGCACCGUCGAUCGCGGUGAAUUUGGCGCGCAAGGAAAGCUCGCUCACGCGCAAACCAGAGUACUCGGGAUAGCGAUGACGUGGAGACUCAGGUGGAAGCAAGGGGACGGAAGCGCUGGUUGGCUAGCAGCCUAGCACGGCGUGUGGUCGCUCCGCUCCCACCACGCACAGCCUCGAAGACCCAUUAAGCAGCGUCACCGGCCUCGGAGGGGUACUAUUCAUCCUUAUCGAUAGCGGCUAGCGCAGAGGCUGCUGGGGAAGCGGAGUGGAGACGACUGGAGGGCGAGGCGUCGCGAGAGAGGCGGAUGGAUGGCGGCCGGGUGGGGCAGGCGGAUGGAUGAGGACGACGCGAGAGGCGCGGGGCGCACCGAUGGACGGUGCUAAUUUGAUGGGUACACAUGGACGGUCGAGAUUGACGCGAGGCAGAACCAAGCGUGGCAGGCUACCCCUUACAGUCUUAAUAUAGUAGUAUAGAUUUUAGUUUUCAUAUUUAACAAUUUAGGGACUAAAAUAGAAUAAAAUAGUGGAACUAAAAAUUAGACCCUAAAAACAAACACCCCUGACUCAUUUAUUCCUGCAAUAUUUGUACUCAUUAACAAUAGUUCAAUCAUUCCGUCAUUCACUUGCUUUUGUUUCUUUCAGGUCACAUGACUGAUACGAUACAAAUAGAAUGAUUUACCAGAAAGAUAAAUUGUUUAUAUGCAUAGUAAAAAUAAGUAACAUUAUAAUUUUUGAAGCUAUGCAUUGUGAUGCCCCUGGCCGGAGGCGAGAUGUUGCCCCGACGUGAGCUACCUUCGAUCGUCGUGCACGACGAGAGUCAAGACGUGGGUGGAGUUCUUUUUUUGCAUAUUAUGUCCGCUACAGCACAGGUGCUUCAGUACACAUGUAGACUAAAAGAAAAAUAGUUCUGAAACGCCAAUCCUCUUUACACCAGCCUUGGACAAACUGGAUGCAGAUUUCUUUAUUGUGUCAAGUGCCUGGACAAACAUGGCAAAGUUUAUUAUGCCAAUAACAGUCUAGAGCAUUGGAGUAGUUGGAAACAUAAAUCACGCAGUACUCAAAAGUCCCAGUUUAGUGGAAGAUUUUGAACAUAAUAAGUUUAGCUUUCAGUCCCUAAUACUAGGCUGAGUGAGAUGGUAAAAAUACAUAAGCGCACCAGUGAACAGAGAAUAACUUGUAAAAUUUGCUGCAAGUGCACCCUGCCCCCACAUUCAUAAAUUCUAGAAAAAAACAGAGAAAUCUUAAGUACUCCCUCUGUUUCUUUUUAGUUGUCGCUGAAUAGUUCAAUUUUGCACUAUCCAGCGACAACUAAAACGAAACGUAGGGAGUAACAACAAGUUGGUAUGCCAUUGAAACAGCCACAGGAAUUUACCCACCACCAAGCAACAUACGCAUGUAAAAUCCCAAAUCAUAGGAGUAAGAAUACUGAAGGCUCUUCUCGGAGUAAAUAAACUAAAAGAUAAAUCAAAUUAAAUUAAAUCAACCACAAGAUAAAAUCCAAAUACUAAACAGGCUGGGCUCAGUUGGACAAAGUCUACCAGUCUAAUGACAACAAAGGAGCUUCAUUACAUUCCAAACAGCCCCAGAGUAAAUAAAUCCUCCAAUCAUUCGAUUGUUUGAAUUUGAAAUUUGAUUGGGAUUUGAAACCUAAAACUGAAAAAUGGAAAAGAAGAAAGGGCCGUUUCCCUGGCUGCGGCCCAGCUUCUCUCCCCAUCUCCUCGAGCGUGUGGGGCACCUGCCGGCCCAACUUGCCCAGCCGAUCAGUUAGCAUCUCUGUCCUGUGGGGCUCCGGUCAGUUCUCCUUGAGUCCGCCAUGGACUUCCUGUCCAAAGUCCGAAGAACUCGAUCGACAGACUAUAUAUGCGGGCCGAGGCACAGCCCCCUCGUCCAUCAAAUCUAGAAGUAACCCGCCAAGAACCGAGCGCCGUCGCGUGUAUCUCAGCCGUCUGCGCCGCCUGUUUCUCAGCCGUUCGCCACAAAAUGCUGGGUCUCCAAAUCAGGACCGUCAUGGCGGAGAACAUGAACUCGGAGCUAAACAUGAUAGGCUCCUUGCUCCCGUUGUUCCCCUGCAUCACCUUCGACGUCGAGUACGCGGGCACACUGCACCGCUCGUCCGCUGCGACGCGAAUCGCCCCGAGCAAGCAGUACGCCCUCGUGAAGAAAAACGUUGAUGCGGUGCCCAUCGUGAUGCUCGGCAUCACGCUCUCCAACGAGUACGGGAACCUCCCGCUCACAGCGGACGGAGAAGGACGUCUGUUCCAGCUCGCGUGGGAGGUGACGUUCUCGGACUUCGACCCCCGGCGCGACCGCCACGCCCCGGAGUCCGUCACGUUCCUGCGCUCACAGGGCGUCUGCUUGGACAAGGCCCGAGCGCGCGGCGUGAGCUCCGCGGCGUUCGCGGCCAAGCUGGCCGCCAUACUGUCGGCGACGCCGCGGCCCAACGAGCUCACCUGGGCGGCGUUUGGUGGAGCAUACGACUUCGCAUAUAUGCUGAAGAUUCUCACGGGCGGCCAGCCGCUGCCGGAGACAUGGCACGAGUUCAUGGCCCAGACCCAUGCUCUUCUCGGCGGCGGCCGGGUGUUCGACGCCAAAUACAUGGCGGAGCACUGCGAGCGAACGGACUUAGGUGGUCUAGGUCUGAGGCGCAUGGCCGCCACCCUUGGCAUGCGGUGGGACUUCCCGGAGUUGCCCUUCCUUGCCGGGCGGAAGAGCCACAUCGCUUGCUUCAUCUGCACCAUUAUGAGGAGACGCAUCCUGUAUCGCGACGGUGGUGAUAUACUUGUAGGUCUACUCGAUGGUAUACACUGGUAGCAUCUUUGAACGGUGAUUACAGCAUAGUCAACUCUAGAUUAUAAUAUACUCUUUUAGCUAUCCAAAUGGGUUAGAUAGGUGUUAGUAUAGGGUAUAUUUUAUAGAUUAAAAUGAUUGUGGGCUGCGCCCCAAACAAUUAUAGUUAGUAGAUAGGUUUAAUUUGCUUCUAUAAUCAUGGUUGAUUUAUUCAUUACGCUUGUAACCGUCUAUGUAUAUCUAUCUAUUUAUAUAUUUAGUAAAAAAAAGUUAAGCGAAUUAAAAAUUAGGACAGAACUGUGCUCUGCCAAAAAAAUUCAAUCAUGAAAAUAAAUGCUUCAGCAUCUAUAGAAUGUAAUGACAUAGCUGCUUCCCCUUUUCAUCCGUGGAGAUAAAUGCUGGAGCGGGGUUGCCUAGCUUGGUAACUAAUUUACUCUAAUCUAAUAUACUAACAAUUAUAAUGUUCAAUAUCUCACAUUAAAAAGGUGUUCAGUUGUAUAAAAAACAACAGUUCAGAUUUGCAUAAAAGGUAUAGAAAAAAAAGAUCAAACAGGAGCUUAGAACCAGGUUAUUUAGGCUGUCGGACUUAGGAUUAUAGUAUUAUAUAUCACCCUCGUCAGAAUUUGCAUAUAACACUUUUUUUCAAUGAUAGCCUUUGACGCACAAAGCAGGUGACACUAACACUACUAGCAAAAUUAGUAAUACUUUCUAGAUUCUAAAUCGGAUUUCUAGAUUCCAAACCCUAUGAACUCAUUUAUCUUUCUCCACACAUAAACACCACAAUAAACAUGCCCUUUCUGUUCAUGCUACGAUCCUGGCCACUUACCCAUUGAUAUACAAAGGAUGGGUGAAUGCUCAGCAUUGGUUUCUCACAGCACAUUGCAGGUGACACUAACACCAGUAGUAAAAAUGUAAAAUCAGUAACCACCUGAAUUGCUCAAAACAAUUAGUUCAUGAAUACAACACAGUUAACCACAGCUUUUAACAUAAUGUUACUUAGGCCACAGUUUCCCUCUACUCAUCUUGUUAUACAAUCGGCCUUGCUACGCUACAGGGAACAACCUGACGGCGUCCCAAGAGACCCUUAUGAUGCCACCAUUCCUCACCUCCGCCUCCUGGAACGUCCACCCAAAUGCCUCCGAAGGGUGGGGGAGCUCCCUCCACUUCUCGGUCCUGAGCUCAGUGACAUCAACCACGCAAACGCAGCUCUUCGUUGUGCUCUUCCCUGGCGCUUGGAAGAUCUUGCCCCUGCCAACCUCCUUCCCAUCGCUGUCGACUAAUGAUACAAGGCGGCCGGGCUCCAGCGAGAAGGAUCUCGUGAAUGGACGUACCAUCAUCGUCGUGUUCGGGGAUAGCUCUGCCUGCGACGUUUGCUCAGUGCUGUCCGGGCUCAACAGGCUACCACCUUUGGAUAGAGCAGUCAUCACACCUGCAGGGGGUAGAUAGUUGUCCUCCCCGGCACUUUCUGAAGACUCACCGGGAUGGGGAAUAGAUGGUUUAUCAGCAUUCUCCGCCCUUUCUUUUGCAAUGCGAGCAAGCUUAGCUUUCCGGAUGUUCAACCUGGAAAUUGCACGAGAAAACACUGUUACAAAUAGCUUUAGAUGAGAAGCACAAAAAACAUUAUUAUCAAUUUGAAGAAAGAAACUUCAAACAACGGUUAAGAUACACAGUUUUACCAGUUUUAAGUUGUGAUGCUGUGAUCUCUGGGCCCUACAAAAGCACGGCCGUAUUUUCCAUAAAUGAGAAUGCAUUCAGCAAUUAAGACCUAAGAAUAGAAUGCCCCAAAGUGAAAAAAUUACCGACAGACUUAACUUCUCUGACCAAUUUUUGUGCAUCUCAGGCUCAUCUACUAGAGCCUUCUCUAAUUCAUCUAUUUUCUCAUUAUUCAUAAGGGCCCGCUUCCUUCUCUUAGGUUGCCUCUCAUCAAGAUCCAUUAUGUUGUGCUGGUGUCCAGUGCUAACACCGGAAGCGACAACCGAAGGGCCACCACUUGCUGUUCUUGCAACGCCAAGAUGGACUAGGUCUUGGCCAACUGCAUUCUGCAGGAAACCACCAUUUCUAGAGACAGUGUUCUUUGGAGUCUCGUCCUCAUCAUUUCCUUCCGAAUUUAUUGGGGGUACUGGUGUAGACACUUCCAUGUUAUGUGCAUCCUGUUGCAUCAGCUUCCGAUUAGAAUCCAAUUCACUAUGGACCCAAACCCAAUCACCAGUCAUGUUUCAUUGACCCACUCAUCUAAGUAUUUACCUUUGGAAGGUUAUUCAUUUUGGAGGCUGGAGUGCUUGUCUGUGUUGGCAAGUGCUGCUGCACCGGGCGCAUGGCAUCCAUGCUUUCUGGUGGAAUAUCAUUUUGUACAACCUUAAACAUUUCAUAAUGAGGUCAUACAACAAUUGAAAAAAUAAGAGAAAGUUUGAAAGAAAACAUGAAAAUUCUACCAUAGAAUGGAUAGUAAAUUGACCUUUGAAGUUCACUGACAAGGGAGCCAAGGCCAGGAAAGGAUGAUGGGAUAGUGUUGAGCUCAAUUUGAAGUCGUGAAUUGGUUUCAGAAUCCAGCAUAUAGUCAAACCGGUGCAAUCCUAAGUGUAUAUCCUAAAAGUGUAUCAAGCACAUAUCAGUGGCUGGCUAAAAAACAAGAGAAAGUUUGAAAGAAGCAUUUCCUAAAGGUCAAAACUGAGACACAGAGGCCGAUAAAAAACAGUUUACUCACCUCUUUCUUAUUUAUAGACAUCAUCUUAUCAUGAAUUUCUAGCAGCCUUGAAGUAAAUUCAUCAACCUGCUUUGUUCUGAAAUUAGAAAAUGAUAAUCCGUUGUUAACCUGAAACCAUUAUAUAGCUGAGAAUGUGAAAAAUAGCUCGGCCUUCUAUGACCUGACUAACAGAGAGUUAUAUUCUCCUCAAAAUUCAAGGCGACAAUCUUGUGAUGAAAAAAAUCAGCUAACAAUCUCGUCUACUCACUGUAUGCUCCGAACAAAGAUAUAUACCACAUUGGUACCAAAAGAAUCCAGUGGAUAGAAUUCAGAACUUGCCUAGACAAAGCAGCUUGCAAGAACUCCCCAUCCAAGCUGACACGAUCCACGAGCUCAUUGAAGAUAGGAGCCAGCUCGCAUGCUUGAUUGAAGAACGAUACCGGAAAACGUGCUGGAAGCAGCGAGAAUGGAGCGUGAACCAGGCCAACCCCAGGGACCGUUCCUGAUCUCUGCAAGUGACAAUAUAAAUGCAGAUCAGAUAAUUCAGCGGUAAUUAUAGCUUACAGUUACAGGAAAUUGGGGCAUGUUGUUUGCUUCUUCUUCUUCUUUUCUGGUCAUAUCAAAACCCGCGAGAGUGCAGAGUGGCAACGGUCAAGACAUGUUGAAAAUUGUUCCUUUUUUAACAGUGAACUGCAUUACUGCAACUGUUAAGACAAGUUGAACAUUUGUCCUUUUAAACAGCAAACAACAUUACUGCAAUUUGGCAGGGUGGGUACUCCAUUAUUCCAUCCUCCAAGCCGAGGCAACAACGAACUAUUAGAAAUUCCAAUCAUGGAGCUAGAGGAAAUUCUCUGACAAAGUGAGACCGCCCAAAAUGCAAGCUUUUGCUAACACACUGACGAACACUAGCAGCCAGUCGAUCCAAGACCGGGAGGGGUGACUCAUAUGGCGUACCAGGUUGGCGCGAUCUCCGACGACGAGCCCGUGGACGGCGCACCACACGGCGGCAUCCUCCACCAUCUCCCCCAGCACGGCCUGCUGCCCCGGCGUCCCGGGCCCCUCCUCCGCCGGCGCCACGCCGAGGGGCGCCUUGGCGCUCAUCGCCGCGUGCGCCACCCGAAGCCGCCGGGGCGCAGGUGGCGCGAACGAGGCCGUGUCUGGGGCGGGAAGGCGGCUGGCGGCGCGGAGACGGAGACGGACUUGCUGGUGGUGCGAGACGCAGGGGGAGGACAUGGCGUGGGGGAAACCGAUUCGAAGGCGGGCGCUCCCGCGAUUUAUGCCAUCGCGCUCUGGCUUCGUGCCUUGGCGGCGGCGAAGGCCGGAGAGGGGAAUUGGGAAUGGGUUCAUGUUCGGUUGUUUCUAGUCCGAUGUGGGCAUGUGGCGGGUCAAUCUCCGGUCGGGACAGAGGCGUCCACGUGCUUCCUCCCGAUUCGACUGAACCUAUCCAAACUAAUGUAAUAAUGGAUGGGUAUGGGUUAUAAUUUUUGACCCAUAAUAAUUCACGAACUGAAUAUAGACCAUUGUUUUAUCUAAAACUCAACCUGGCUCGUAAAAAUCCGAUCCAACACGAAAAAAUCCGACCUGAUCUCCAUUUAUAUUAAAAAAAGUACACCAUACAUUAUAAGUUUAGAACCACACUUGAACUGAUUACACCCAUAUGACUACAAUAGGUUACGCUUCAACAGGAGUCUUCCAAGGAAAACAGCUUAACAACCAUAACACCCUAAACCUUACAAGCUAAAUGAUUCCCACUACAUUUUUUUUUAUCUUGGGCCAUCCUCUAUACAGCUUGGUCACACAGAUUAGCAGAAUUUGUUUGGCGCCUCAUCUCUUGUGCGGCCUCGUCUUUUUCAAUAUUUGGUCGUUGCAGCCUCAACUUUUUCAAUAUUUGGUCGCUCAUCUAGCUUUCCAUGUAGUUUAAUCGAGGAUUGUGGUUGCAAAAAGCGCAGGUUCUUGGUAUAUCAUACAAAUCAGGAGCAGUAGAGGCAGAAGCCUCGGUCGGAGCCACCUCUUCAUCCUUGUGCAGUUGUGUUUCUCCAUGCCCAAGUCCACCAGAAUCGGGCCUCCUACGCCAGUCACUGCGUGAGGCCAAGGCACAACGUGUGCGUGAGGUCUCACCUCGGACAGUUCUUGACCCACAACAGAUAGAAGUGCAUGUUGAGGCAGAUCUUCUCGCCCUGGUACAUCUGCGCGCACCAGCGGUGAUCCAACAUAGCGAGAGAUACUAUAUGAAAAAAAGAAAAUGUCAUGUUAGUAAUGCGACUACUCAAUGAAAACAAAAGGUAAGUCCUUUCAUAGGUUUUAGAAUGAUACUUGGAUGCUGCAAUCCUUCUAAAAAUAGCAUGCAUUGCACCAAAGAUAUAGCAAAAGACAAUGGUAUAUUCUUGACAUAACAGAAUAAGUGAUCAAAAGGCAACAGCAGUACCUGCAAGUUUACUAUUGUUGAAUCUCUGUAGAACAAUUCACACGUGUAGCUUCAUCUCCUAGUACUUUUAGUGCAUCAUGUGCAUUAACACCUAUUAUGAUCUUAUUGUACAUCUCUGAACCAUCAACCUCUAAAAUUUCCAGUAUCACAAUUUUUUCUCGUCAGUUAAUAAGUAGGUUUGAUUUGGGCCAACAGCCUUGUCAAAUGCAUCUGAUAUAUCGUCCACAUGAACUUGAGCUUGGUAUCCACUAGCUUCCGAGGAUCGGUGCUGGCAGCCUGCUGUUGACGUCUGUUCUCCUGCAAAGCUUUCUCUCGCUGCUCAUAGAAGUCGAAAUCUUCCAGGAUUGUUGUCCCAGCCUCAUGGCUCUUGAAGAUUGUUAGCAUCUGGAGGCCUUGUUCCAGAUUCACCUAUAUGCUAAGAGUUAGUGAAUUUAUUCAGAAGUGCCAUUGAAAUUGGUUACUUAAACACUCAGCAAAAAGAAUUAUGUAAAUUUUACCUCCUGGGUGUCACUGCUAUUUGUGACAGGUUUAUUGUCAUUGUUCUCAAGAAUGAUGUGUCGCAUAAGGCUGUUCGUUACAUCCUAAAUUAUGUGCCACUUCACAUAGAACUGCCCACUCCACUUAUCGUGCUGCCAAUAAUCUUGCACCCUGAAGGCAGCUCGGGAGAGAGAGGGGUAGGGGAAGAGCCACAGAUUGUGAGAGAGAGAGGAGGAGGAGGGGCAGGAAACAACUAGAUCUAGCGCCACUAACCUCUCCACCGAUUUGGUGCCUCACAUCUUGGAUCCUCGAGAGCUAAUGACACCUUCAAGCCAUGGAUCCAUUGGAGGCUGGCCCUCCAUGGGAUGCGAUCGGUGUCCAUGUCGCCAAUAGCACUCGCGUCGCCUCUCUCUCUCUCUCUACGGCUGUGGAGAGAGGGUGAAGGGAGAGAGGGGGAUGGAGGCACUGGUCUCGUCUGAUAGCGAUGACGUGGAGACUCGGGUGGAAGCAAGGGGAUGGAAGCGCUGGUUGGCUGAUACUUACACAUUACAUUGUCUUGCUACAAUAUGCUCAUAUCUGUGUUUUUCCUGCAGCAAUAUGAUAUUAUGGCUCACAAGUAGACGACUGAUGUUCUGAACAAUCUUUCGACGUCUCUAUUUUUAGGAAUGAAACGACAUCUGAAAUGUAACAGAUAAGUACACUGUUACUUCCUCAUACUAAAGAAUUGAAACAAAACCUCCUGACUCUACAGCUACACAUAAGUACAAAAUUGAAGCAAAACCUCCUAACUACAUCAAAAGGUGCAAAACCCACCCAGAUGCCCAACGCAGCAGUGGAUAAUCUACAAUUGAAAAUUCAUACUGAACGUCCAUUUUGGCAACCAAAAUUGCCACCGGCCUAUUGUUGUAAAAGAUGACAAGGCCACCAUAUGUGAGGGGAAAAACAGUCUCAACUUAGCAGUUGUCACACCCGGGUUUUAGGGGUCCAAAACUCGGGCGCGAAAUAAUCACCAGGUGUGUUGGGACCAAGUCUCACACAUAUGAUGAAUAAUGGUACAGAAACGAAUGUCACAUCUUUACUAUAUAGUAGGAGUUAUGUACAAAAUAAAUAAAUAAUUACAUCACAAGGAGACAACGAUUCUGAUAGUUGCCUAGAGGGGGGGGUGAAUAGGGCGAAACUGAAAUUUACAAAUAUAAACACAACUACAAGCCGGGUUAGCGUUAGAAAUAGAAAACGAGUCCGCGAGAGAGGGUGCAAAACAAAUCACAAGCAAAUGAAGAGUGUGACACGCGGAUUUGUUUCACCGAGGUUCGGUUCUCGCAAACCUACUCCCCGUUGAGGAGGCCACAAAGGCCGGGUCUCUUUCAACCCUUCCCUCUCUCAAACGGUCCCUCGGACCGAGUGAGCUUCUCUUCUCAAAUCACUUGGGAAUCAAACUUCCCGCAAGGACCACCACACAAUUGGUGUCUCUUGCCUCAAUUACAAGUGAGUGUUGGAUCACAAGAAAGAGUGCGAAAGAAAAGAAGCGAUCCAAGCGCAAGAGCUCAAAUGAACACUACAAAUCACCCUCUCUAGUCACUAAGGCUUUGUGUGGAGUUUGGAGAGGAUUUGAUCUCUUUUGGUGUGCUUUGCAAUGAAUGCUAGCUCUUGUAUAGUGGUUGGAAGCUGGAAAACUUGGAUGCUUUGAAUGUGGGGGUGGUUGGGGUAUUUAUAGCCCCAACCACCAAACUUGACCGUUGGUGGAGGCUGUCUGUCGUAUGGUGCACCGGACAGUCCGGUGCACACCGGACAUGUCCGGUGCGCUAGCCACGUCACCAAUGCCGUUGGAUUCCGACCGUUGGAGCUUCUGUCUUCUGGGCCCGCCUGGAUGUCCGGUGCACACCGGACAUGUACUGUUCAAUGUCCGGUGCGCCAGUAUGGGCGUGCCUACCUUCUGCGCGCUUCUGGCGCGCAUUGAAUGCGCCUGCAGGUGACCGUUGGCGCGAAGUAGCCGUUGCUUUGCUGGUUCACCGGACAGUCCGGUGUACACCGGACAUGUCCGGUGAAUUAUAGCGGAGCAGCUGCUGCGCGUCCCGAGGCUGGCGAGUUCCGGAGGCCGCUCUUCCUUGGAGCACCGGACACUGUCCGGUGUACACCGGACAGUCCGGUGAAUUAUAGCGGAGUGCCUCUGGAAAUUCCCGAAGGUGGCAAGUUUAAGUUGGAGUCCUCUGGUGCACCGGACACUGUCCGGUGUACACCGGACAGUCCGGUGCCCCCAGACCAGAGGUGCCUUCGGUUGCCUCUUUGCUCCUUUGUUGAAUCCAAAACUUAUCUUUUUAUUGGCUGAGUGUGAACCUUUUACACCUGUAUAAUCUAUACACUUGGGCAAACUAGUUAGUCCAAUUAUUUGUGUUGGGCAUUUCAACCACCAAAAUUAUUUAGGAACUAGGUGUAAGCCUAAUUCCCUUUCAAUCUCCCCCUUUUUGGUGAUUGAUGCCAACACAAACCAAAGCAAAAAUAGAAGUGUAUAACUAGUUUGCAUAAUGUAAGCGCAAAGGUUGCUUGUAAUUUAGCCAAUCUAAAUACUUACAAGAUAUGCAUGGAUUGUUUCUUCUCUUUUAACAUUUUGGACGACGCUUGCACCACAUGUUUUGUUUUUGCAAACUAUUUUGUAAAUCCUUUUCAAAGUUCUUUUGCAAAUAGUCAAAGGUAAGUGAAUAAGAUUUUGCAAAGCAUUUUCAAGAUUUGAAAUUUUCUCCCCCUGUUUCAAAUGCUUUUCCUUUGACUAAACAAAACUCCCCCUAAAUGAGAUCCUCCUCUUAGUGUUCAAGAGAGUUUUGAUAUAUCAUUUUUGAAAUACUACUUUCUCCCCCUUUUGAACACAAUAGGAUACCAAUUAAAAAUACUCUUUGAAAAACUAAGUUUUUGAAAUUGGUGGUGGUGGUGCGGUCCUUUUGCUUUGGGCUCAUACUUUCUCCCCCUUUGGCAUGAAUCGCCAAAAACGGAAUCAUUAGAGCCCUCGAAGUACUAUCUUCCCCUUUGGUCAUAAAUAAAUGAGUUAAGAUUAUACCAAAGACGAAGUCCUUUUGCUCUCUCCCCCAAAGAUGGAGAGUGACAUGGAGCGAUGGCGAAGGAUGAGUUACGGAGUGGAAGCCUUUGUCUUCGCCGAAGACUCCAAUUCCCUUUCAAUAUUCCUAUGACUUGGUUUGAAAUUCACUUGAAAACACAUUAGUCAUAGCAUAUAAAAGAGAUAUGAUCAAAGGUAUAUAAAUGAGCUAUGUGUGCAUUUUUAACAAAAGAAGUUCCUAGAAUCAAGAAUAUUGAGCUCAUGCCUAAGUUUGUUAAAAGAUUGUUCAUCAAGAGGCUUGGUAAAGAUAUCGGCUAAUUGAUCUUUAGUGUUAAUGUAAGAAAUCUCGAUAUCUCCCUUUUGUUGGUGAUCCCUAAGAAAAUGAUACCGAAUGGCUAUGUGUUUAGUGCGGCUAUGCUCGACGGGAUUAUCCGCCAUCUUGAUUGCACUCUCAUUAUCACAUAGCAAAGGGACUUUGGUUAAUUUGUAACAGUAGUCCCGCAGGGUUUGCCUCAUCCAAAGUAAUUGCGCGCAACAAUGACCUGCGGCAAUGUACUCGGCUUCGGCGGUGGAAAGAGCGACCAAAUUUUGCUUCUUUGAACCCCAAGACACUAAGGAUCUUCCCAGGAACUGGCAAGUCCCUGAUGUGCUCUUCCUAUUGAUUUUACACCCCGCCUAAUCGGCAUCCGAAUAACCAAUCAAAUCAAAUGUGGAUCCCCUAGGAUACCAAAGCCCAAACUUAGGAGUAUAAGCCAAAUAUCUCAAGAUUCGUUUUACGGCCGUAAGGUGAGCUUCCUUAGGGUCGGCUUGGAAUCUUGCACACAUGCAUACGGAAAGCAUAAUAUCCGGUCGAGAUGCACAUAAAUAGAGUAAAGAACCUAUCAUCGACCGGUAUACCUUUUGAUCCACGGACUUACCUCCCGUGUCGAGGUCGAGAUGCCCAUUAGUUCCCAUGGGUGUCUUGAUGGGCUUGGCAUCCUUCAUCCCAAACUUGUUUAGAAUGUCUUGAGUAUACUUCGUUUGGCUAAUGAAGGUGCCCUCUUGGAGUUGCUUCACUUGAAAUCCCAAGAAGUACUUCAGCUCCCCCAUCAUAGACAUCUCGAACUUUUGUGUCAUGAUCCUACUAAACUCUUCACAUGUAGAUUCGUUAGUAGACCCAAAUAUAAUAUCAUCAACAUAAAUUUGGCAUACAAACAAAUCAUUCUCAAGUGUUUUGGUAAAGAGCGUAGGAUCGGCCUUUCCGACUUUGAAUCCAUUUUCAAUAAGAAAAUCUCUAAGGCAUUCAUACCAUGCUCUUGGGGCUUGCUUGAGCCCAUAAAGCGCCUUAGAGAGCUUAUAGACAUGGUUAGGAUACUCACUGUCUUCAAAGCCGGGAGGUUGCUCAACAUAGACCUCUUCCUUGAUUGGUCCAUUGAGGAAGGCACUUUUCACGUCCAUUUGAUAAAGCUUAAAGCCAUGGUAAGUAGCAUAGGCUAAUAAUAUGCGAAUUGAUUCAAGCCUAGCUACGGGUGCAUAGGUUUCACCGAAAUCCAAACCUUCGACUUGGGAGUAUCCCUUGGCUACAAGUCGAGCUUUGUUCCUUGUCACCACACCAUGCUCGUCUUGCUUGUUGCGGAAGACCCAUUUGGUUCCUACAACAUUUUGAUUAGGACGUGGAACUAAAUGCCAUACCUCAUUCCUAGUGAAGUUGUUGAGCUCCUCUUGCAUAGCCACCACCCAAUCCGAAUCUUGUAGUGCUUCCUCUACCCUGUGUGGCUCAAUAGAGGAAACAAAAGAGUAGUGCUCACAAAAAUGUGCAACUCGAGAUCUAGUGGUUACCCCCUUAUGAAUGUCGCCGAGGAUGGUGUCGACGGGGUGAUCUCGUUGAAUUGCUUGGUGGACUCUUGGGUGUGGCGGCCUUAGUUCCUCUUCCUCCUUGUCUUCCUCAUUUGCAUCUCCCCCUUGAUCAUUGCCAUCAUCUUGAGGUGGCUCAUUUGCUUGAUCUUCUACUUCAUCAACUUGAGCUUCAUCCUCAUUUUGAGUCGGUGGAGAUGCUUGCGUGGAGGAGGAAGGUUGAUCUUGUGCAUUUGGAGGCUCUUCGGAUUCCUUAGGACACACAUCCCCAAUGGACAUGUUCCUUAGUGCGAUGCACGGAGCCUCUUCAAUACCUAUCUCAUCAAGAUCAACUUGCUCUACUUGGGAGCCAUUAGUCUCAUCAAACACAACGUCACAAGAAACUUCAACUUGUCCAGAGGACUUGUUAAAGACUCUAUAUGCCUUUGUGUUUGAAUCAUAUCCUAGUAAAAAGCCUUCUACAGUCUUAGGAGCAAAUUUAGAUUUUCUACCUCUUUUAACAAGAAUAAAACAUUUGCUACCAAAGACUCUAAAAUAUGAAAUAUUGGGCUUUUUACCAGUUAGGAGUUCAUAGGAUGUCUUCUUGAGGAUUCGGUGUAGAUAUAACCGGUUGAUGGCGUAGCAAGCGGUGUUGACCGCCUCGGCCCAAAACCGAUCCGAAGUCUUGUACUCAUCAAGCAUGGUCCUAGCCAUGUCUAAUAGAGUUCGAUUCUUCCUCUCCACUACACCAUUUUGUUGUGGCGUGUAGGGAGAAGAGAACUCAUGCUUGAUGCCCUCCUCCUCAAGGAAGCUUUCAAUUUGAGAGUUCUUGAACUCCGUCCCGUUGUCGCUUCUAAUCUUCUUGAUCCUUAAGCCGAACUCAUUUUGAGCUCGUCUCAAGAAUCCCUUUAAGGUCUCUUGGGUUUGAGAUUUUUCCUGUAAAAAGAAUACCCAAGUGAAGCGAGAAUAAUCAUCCACUAUUACAAGACAAUACUUACUCCCGCUGAUGCUUAUGUAAGCAAUCGGGCCGAAUAGAUCUAUGUGGAGUAGCUCAAGCGGCCUGUCGGUCAUCAUGAUGUUCUUGUGUGGAUGAUGGGCACCAACUUGCUUUCCUGCUUGGCAUGCGCUACAAACCCUGUCUUUCUCAAAAUGAACAUUUGUUAGUCCUAAAAUGUGUUCUCCCUUUAGAAGCUUGUGAAGAUUCUUCAUCCCAACAUGUGCUAGUCGGCGAUGCCAGAGCCAGCCCAUGUUAGUCUUAGCAAUUAAGCAAGUGUCGAGUUCAGCUCUAUCAAAAUCUACCAAGUAUAGCUGCCCUCUAAUACUCCCUUAAAUGCUAUUGAAUCAUCACUUCUUCUAAAGACAGUGACACCUACAUCAGUGAAAAGACAGUUGUAGCCCAUUUUGCAUAAUUGAGAUACAGAAAGCAAAUUGUAAUCUAAUGAAUCUACAAGAAAAACAUUGGAAAUAGAGUGGUCAGGGGAUAUAGCAAUUUUACCCAAUCCUUUGACCAAACCUUGGUUUCCAUCCCCGAAUGUGAUAGCUCGUUGGGGAUCUUGGUUUUUCUCGUAGGAGGAGAACAUCCUUUUCUCCCCUGUCAUAUGGUUUGUGCACCCGCUGUCUAGUAUCCAACUUGAGCCCCCGGAUGCAUAAACCUACAACACAAUUUUAGUUCUUGACUUUAGGUACCCAAAUGGUUUUGGGUCCUUUGGCAUUAGAUACAAGAACCUUGGGUACCCAAACACAAGUCUUUGACCCCUUGUGCUUGCCCCCAACAUAUUUGGCAACUACUUUGCCGGAUUUGUUAGUCAAAACAUAAGAAGCAUCAAAAGUUUUAAAUGAAAGACUAUGUUCAUUUGAUGCAUUAGGAAUUUUCUUCUUAGGCAACUUAGCACGGGUUGGUUGCCUAGAGCUAGAUGUCUCACUCUUAUACAUAAAAGCAUGGUUAGAACCAGAGUGAGACUUCCUAGAAUGAAUUUUCCUAAUUUUGUCCUCGGGAUAACCAGCAGGGUAUAAAAUGUAACCCUCGUUAUCCUGAGGCAUGGGAGCCUUGCCCUUAACAAAGUUGGACAAUCUUUUAGGAGGGGCAUUAAGUUUGACAUUGUCCCCCCUUUGGAAGCCAAUGCCAUCCUUGAUGCCAGGGCGUCUCCCACUAUAGAGCAUACUUCUAGCAAAUUUAAAUUUUUCGUUUUCUAAGUUAUGCUCGGCAAUUUUAGCAUCUAAUUUUGCUAUAUGAUCAUUUUGUUGUUUAAUUAAAGACAUGUGAUCAUGAAUAGCAUUAACAUCAACAUCUCUACAUCUAGUGCAAAUAGAAGUGUGCUCAACGGUAGAUGUAGAGGGUUUGCAAGAUUUUAAUUCUACAACCUUAGCAUGCAAGAUAUCAUUCUUAGUUCUAAGGUUGGAAAUGGUAGCAUUGCAAACAUCAAAAUCUUUAGCCUUAGCAAGCAAUUUUUCAUUUUCAUUUCUAAGGCUAGCAAGAGAUAAGUUCAAUUCUUCAAUCUUAUCAAGCAUAUCAUCAUUAUCAUUUCUAAGAUUGGGAAUUGAAACAUUACAACCAAUAGAAUCAACCUUAGCUAAUAUAUUAGAAUUCUCAUUUCUAAGGUUGUCUAUAGUCUCAUGGCAAGUGCUUAGCUCACUAGACAAUUUUGCACAUUUUUAUACUUCUAGAGCAUAAGCAUUUUUAACCUUAACAUGCUUCUUAUUUUCUUUAAUAAGGAAGUCCUCUUGAGUGUCCAAGAGGUCAUCCUUUUCAUGAAUGGCACUAAUCAAUUCAUUAAGUUUCUCUUUUUGUUGCAUGUUGAGGUUGGCAAAAAGAGAGCGCAAGUUAUCUUCCUCAUCACUAACAUUUUCAUCACUAGAGGAUUCAUAUCUAGUGGAGGAUUUAGAUUUAACCUUCUUUUUGCCGUCCUUUGCCAUGAGGCACUUGUGGCCGACGUUGGGGAAGAGGAGUCCCUUGGUGACGGCGAUGUUGGCGGCAUCCUCAUCAUCUGAGGAGUCGGUGGAGCUCUCGUCGGAGUCCCACUCGCGACACACGUGGGCAUCGCCGCCCCUCUUCUUGUGGUACCUCCUCUUUUCUCUCAUCUUGCCCUUCUUGUCGUCACCCCUGUCACUGUCACUUGAUAAUGGACAUUUAGCAAUAAAGUGACCGGGCUUAUCACACUUGUAGCAAACCUUUUUGGAACGGGAUUUGUAAUCCUUCCCCUUCCGUUGCUUGAGGAUUUGGCGAAAGCUUUUGAUGACAAGCGCCAUUUCCUCGUUGUCGAGCUUGGAGGCGUCGAUGGGUGUUCUACUUGAAGUAGGCUCCUCCUUCUUUUCCUCCGUCGCUUUGAAUGCGACGGGUUGAGCUUCGGACGUGGAAGGAUCAUCAAGCUCGUUGAUCCUCCUCGAGCCUUCGAUCAUGCACUCAAAACUUACAAAAUUCCCGAUUACUUCCUCGGGAGUCAUUAGUGUAUAUCUAGGGUUGCCACGAAUUAAUUGAACUUGAGUAGGGUUAAGAAAAAUAAGUGAUCUCAAAAUAACCUUAACCAUUUCGUGGUCAUCCCAUUUCUUGCUCCCGAGGUUGCGCACUUGAUUCACCAAAGUCUUGAGCCGGUUGUACAUGUUUUGUGGCUCCUCCCCUUUGCGAAGCCGGAACCGACCGAGCUCCCCCUCGAUCGUCUCCCGCUUGGUGAUCUUUGUGAGCUCAUCUCCUUCAUGUGCGGUUUUGAGCACAUCCCAAACCUCCUUGGCGCUCUUCAACCCUUGCACUUUGUUAUACUCCUCUCUACUUAGAGAAGCGAGGAGUAUUGUUGUUGCUUGAGAGUUGAAGUGCUCGAUUUGGGCAACCUCGUCCUCAUCAUAAUCUUCAUCCCCUACGGAUGGUACCUGUGCACCAAACUCAACAACAUCCCAUAUACUUUUGUGGAGAGAGGUUAGAUGAAAUCGCAUUAAAUCACUCCACCUAGCAUAAUCUUCACCAUCAAAAGUUGGUGGUUUUCCUAAUGGGACGGAAAGUAAAGGUGUAUGUUUAGAAAUGCGAGGGUAGCGUAGGGGAAUCUUACUAUACUUCUUACGCUCUUGGCGUUUAGAAGUGACGGAUGCCGCGUCGGAGCCGGAGGUAGAUGUCGAUGAAGAAUCGGUCUCGUAGUAGACCACUUUCCUCAUCCUCUUUUUCUUGUCCCCACUCCGUUGCGGCUUGUGGGAGGAAGACUUCUCCUUCUUCUCUUUGUGUGAAGAAGAUUUCUUCUCCUUUCCUUUGGAGGAGUCCUUCUUCUUCUCCUUCCCUUUUAAGGAGUCUUUCUUCUCCUUUCUCUUGGUGCGGGACUCUUCCGAUGAAGCGCUCCCGUGGCUUGUAGUGGGCUUUUCGCCGGUCUCCAUCUCCUUCUUGGCGUGAUCUCCCGACAUCACUUCGAGCGGUUAGGCUCUAAUGAAGCACCGAGCUUUGAUACCAAUUGAUAGUUGCCUAGAGGGGGGUGAAUAGGGCGAAACUGAAAUUUACAAAUAUAAACACAACUACAAGCCGGGUUAGCGUUAGAAAUAGAAAACGAGUCCGCGAGAGAGGGUGCAAAACAAAUCGCAAGCAAAUGAAGAGUGUGACACGCGGAUUUGUUUUACCGAGGUUCGGUUCUCGCAAACCUACUCCCCGUUGAGGAGGCCACAAAGGCCGGGUCUCUUUCAACCCUUCCCUCUCUCAAACGGUCCCUCGGACCGAGUGAGCUUCUCUUCUCAAAUCACUUGGGAAUCAAACUUCCCGCAAGGACCACCACACAAUUGGUGUCUCUUGCCUCAAUUACAAGUGAGUGUUGGAUCACAAGAAAGAGUGCGAAAGAAAAGAAGCGAUCCAAGCGCAAGAGCUCAAAUGAACACUACAAAUCACUCUCUCUAGUCACUAAGGCUUUGUGUGGAGUUUGGAGAGGAUUUGAUCUCUUUUGGUGUGCUUUGCAAUGAAUGCUAGCUCUUGUAUAGUGGUUGGAAGCUGGAAAACUUGGAUGCUUUGAAUGUGGGGGUGGUUGGGGUAUUUAUAGCCCCAACCACCAAACUUGACCGUUGGUGGAGGCUGUCUGUCGUAUGGUGCACCGGACAGUCCGGUGCACACCGGACAUGUCCGGUGCGCCACCCACGUCACCAAUGCCGUUGGAUUCCGACCGUUGGAGCUUCUGUCUUCUGGGCCCGCCUGGAUGUCCGGUGCACACCGGACAUGUACUGUUCAAUGUCCGGUGCGCCAGUAUGGGCGUGCCUGCCUUCUGCGCGCUUCUGGCGCGCAUUGAAUGCGCCUGCAGGUGACCGUUGGCGCAAAGUAGCUGUUGCUCUGCUGGUUCACCGGACAUGUCCGGUGAAUUAUAGCGGAGCAGCUGCUGCGCGUUCCCGAGGCUGGCGAGUUCCGGAGGCCGCUCUUCCUUGGAGCACUGGACACUGUCCGGUGUACACCGGACAGUCCGGUGAAUUAUAGCGGAGUGCCUCUGGAAAUUCCUGAAGGUGGCAAGUUUAAGUUGGAGUCCUCUGGUGCACCGGACACUGUCCGGUGUACACCGGACAGUCCAGUGCCCCCAGACCAGAGGUGCCUUCGGUUGCCUCUUUGCUCCUUUGUUGAAUCCAAAACUUAUCUUUUUAUUGGCUGAGUGUGAACCUUUUACACCUAUAUAAUCUAUACACUUGGGCAAACUAGUUAGUCCAAUUAUUUGUGUUGGGCAUUUCAACCACCAAAAUUAUUUAGGAACUAGGUGUAAGCCUAAUUCCCUUUCAGAUCCAACAACCCAAAGUUGACUAGGAGACUACGGCCUAGACCUCUCACGAACUCGCCACAUCAUCCUCCAUGCGCCUCAUCCUGCGGUACCUAUUCUUGACAUGUGGGGGGUGUGAGAUAGUAAGAGUGAGCUAACAUACGUUCAUUGCUCAACAAGUUGUGGGAAAUAAUGUGCAUGAACUCGCCAAAGGUGGGAGCUCAUGUGAAGUGUAAGGCUUACCAAAGAGGUUGGGUGAAGAUGAGCAUUGCUUUUAAAGUUGGUCAAAAUUUUAUUAGAAAUUACUAAGUAGAAGUAAAUACCAACCCAGUUAAGUAGUAGAACAAAAGUGAUAACAACACCCUCAAUGCAAUGCAUAUGACAAAUUAAAUUUAGUUCCAUAAAUUAAUCAUGUGAGGGUCCGAGCUGCUCAUGACCGUGAGCACGGCUGAUAUACCAGUUUUACACUCUGCAGAGGUUGCACAUCUUUACCCACAAGUCAUGUUACCCAUUUGUCAUGGGGUUGAUCGGACCCCAUACACCUCUACCGAGGAAGCGAGGCAGGGUACCACUACGAGGCCUUUAUAAAUUCCACUAGCUUCAGAAAACCCGCUACAGUUUCUAGGAAGCUCCAAUGCAGGGAUCCCUCGCCUGACCGCCAUCGCAACUAAAUCAACCCAAGGACCUCCCUACACUGACCACUCCCCUACUGCCCUUGCCCCUUUCGGGUAAGGUAGUCAUCUACUAGCUUUCCUAAUUAAUCAGCCAAGGGUGCCCCAUACCACCCUUGUGGUAGCACUAUUUUCCCAGGUGGUUCUCCAUGUUCCAAUUAACAUAAUGAUCUUAACAUGAACAGUAAAUAACAACUGAUAAAAAAAGUAUAAUCAUGAAUAGUGUGUAUCUCUAUACCCAAAACCACAUAAAGCAAUAGCAGGUACUACCCAAAAAAUCAUUGGUAAACAAGGUAUAAAGAUAGUCAAACUAGGGUAACCUAUUGUGUCCCAUCAAAAUUAACCUAUGCAGAUCAAUAUGAUUAAUAAGAACAUGAUUGGGUAAAAAGAAGUGAUCAAGGGCACAACUUGCCUGGGACUUGAGAUUGCAGGUACCAACUUGCUUUUCAGAUGACUCGUGACCUCGCGCUAGUCAUAGCAAUACAAACAAACAUGGUAUAGGCAAAAUUAACAUCACAACAAACAUAAGAAUAAACUGUGUAAUAAUAAUCUACGCGUCGCUACGAGAUCGUGGGAUUGAGAACCGCUAAAUUCGGGGUUACGGUUAUGAAGUUAUGGUUUUCCGAAGAUCCACGUGGUUAAGUAUAGAAUAGACUAAGUGCAACAUUUUAACCUAUAUUUCAUGACAAAACAAAGUUACCAGAUGAUAAUAAAUAUUAUUGUGAGACUAAUGCAACUAGAAUGGAUCAAAACGGAGUUACGGUUAUUGAGUUAUGAAUUUCUGGAGUUAUUUAAUGCUUGGUAUAGACUAAUUCAAAUGAACAAUUUUGAUCUAAGUUUCAUGGCUAAACAGAGAUACUAGGUGAUAUAUAAUAUUAAAACAAAAAUAUUGCAACUGGAAUGAAUCAAUUUGGAGAUAAAAUGAAUUAAAUAUGAAUUUUACAAGUUUCUAGUAUUGUUUUUGUAUUAAAAAUCAUUUUCUAAAAUAAAUUAUGAAUUUCCUCAUGCUUCUAGACUGCUGACACAAUUUUAACAAAGCCUAGGGGGCUCUGCAUAAAUUCCAGGACUAAACGGUAAUGGUCUUAACCCUGACUUGGACGACGGGUUAGUUUAGGAAAAGCCGAGGGGCCUUUUUGCAACAUCGCACGACCGAAGGGGUAUCGGCAACUGUGGGCCGUUGGAUCUAUAUGCUACGGUUGCGAUUAGAUCUUAAUAAGACCCGAACCGGUAUCGGAUACGGACCAUCAGAUUACCAUCCAAGGGUCGGGAUCUAACGACACUAGCGCUCCCGCUCACCCACACAUCCGUAGAUCCACGGCUCCUAUCCAUUAGCGCGAAGGGGUAUCCACAACUUAAUCAUAGUCGUCUGAUAAGAUCAAACGGUGCACAUCCUUUCUCUUUCCCCCAACCCAGUGUGUGGCGGCGCCAUGGCCGACGCACCACGAUUCGGCACGCAGGCGCAUCAAACUCCAUGGAAGCCCUACGAAAACGAUGUGGAGACUUAAACGAACACGCAGGGGGUUUCCUUACCAACAAUCAUGCAGUGGGAUCUGCUGCCCACGGAGGAGGGCGGUUCCGCGGUAGCGUCGGACCACAGCGAGGAAUUGCAGCGUCGCCUGCCCACAAUCGCGCCCGGAACGACCAUGUGCACCACUAGUGCGACUCCCCAAAGCUCCUAGGCCUAGAUCCGAGGCCUCAUCGCUGACGCAAACCUAGGUCGACGGCAACGACUUCCAUGACCCGCGCGGCGGCCAGUAUCUCGCCCAACAACGGCGCUAACUUUCCCCCCACCUCCCAUGUUUGUUCAUUGGCUAGAUGGUCGAGGGAAUGCGGCUACGAUACUUAUACGCAGGUAAAGGGAAACAUCUAGGUGUUAGGUCCCAAGCUUGGUUGCAACGAACGCCGCGAUCUCCGGAGAGGUUGUUGCCAGUGAGUCCGUUCUGGUCGAGGAGACGCAACUGAUGCAAUGGGGGCCAACAGCCAUGGAUAGAUGAUCAACACCUGCGAUCAGCCCCUGCGCACGCGCGAAAAAAGUGAGGCUGACGGCACGGGGGUUGUUGCGCAAGCUCCGCAUUCUGUUCUAACAGAGUCCGCGCGAGAAGGAAGGUCCUGACGAUCUGGCCCCACGAGUCAGCGAAACAGGCUGCGUCCAUGAGCACACGCGAGUGAGUUAGGAGUUGGGGCCCACUGGCCAGUGGUCGACGCAGCUUGACUGGCCAAGCGGGGCCACAUGUCGGCGCCGGUCAUGACCGCGAAAUACUGGGCCGUGAAGGAGGGAAUAUGGAGAUGGGCCGAAAUGGGAGGUGGUUAGCCCAACGUGAUGUUUUCUUUUUCUUUUCUUAUUUUCUUUUCUCUAUUCCCAAAUUCCACUUUAAAUUCAAAUCUUGUGCCAAAUUUAUCCCCAAAUUAUAUUGUUAAAUUAAAAGUACCAAUUUUGGAGAUAUAUAAAUUUUCUUUAUAUUUUAUAUUCUUUGUCUUUUCUUUCCUUCCCUAUUUUCAAACCUAAAUUUUAAUUUGGGGUUCAAUCCACAUCUCAAGUUAUUAUUAUAUUUUUAUUAAUAUAUUUAAGACCAUUACUUAAUGUACAACAAACAAAAUUCCAACAUGAUGCAUUAAAUAUUUUUAUUAGAUAUCUUGUCCUUUUGAUUAGGGUUAAUCCCAUGUUAUAAUAAUGAGAUGGCAACCCAAAUGAUGAUAUCCUUUUCUUUACUUUAUUCAUAAAGUGGGCAUUACAUCAGCUUAAGUAGAUCCCCAAGAAAAGUGAACGAAACGUGCUGAACUGAAAUCUAACACCUCACGAUUACAGUUGUCUAUUUUAUGUUCAGCCAUCGCACUGAAGGUUUAUCUGCAGGUUUUAGAAACCUAACCAUAUAGGGGAGGUGCUGCCCAUUUUUUUACUAUAUAGUGUUAGUCAUAUACCAUAUUAAAUGGAUAUUGAGUUAGUAAUAUGUUUUUGCAAUAGAUGGACACCCUAGUGACACUAUACCAUGGAGGAAGCGUGGAGAUAGAUGCUUAUGGGAAUGUUAGUUUUGCUGGUAUGAAUAUCAUGACCAUGAUGUUCGAUGAAAGACCAUCUUUUGACAAGAUUUUCGCUCGAGCUUGUGAAGAGAUUAGUUGCAACAUAAACGACCCUAGAAUAUCAAUUCAGGGUUUGUUGUCCCAUAUUACAUAUGGAACAGUUGUCCGACGGUUGAUCUCCAUUGCCUCAGAAGAUGAUUGGGUGAGAUAUGUAAGAAUUGUGAAGACGAUGCUUCCACCAUGUUUGGAUGUGGUUGUUCAAAAGUUAUCUGUUAGUCAUCGUGAUGCUCUAUUUGGGUUGACUCCACAAAUGCCAAAUGCAUCUCGUAUUGAAGCUCCUUUGGUAGAGCUUCCGGAAGAAGUGGUUGUUGUGUCCGAUGCUCAAUCGGGGCCGCACGAGUAUGGGAUUUCUCGUCCUCUUCCUGGCGUUUGUGGGGCUUCUAAUCCGGUGGUACCCCCCCAAGAGAUCCCAUUGACCUAGGAUCCAGUUCAGGAUCAUCGUAUUAAGUGUCUUUGACACGCUGUUCAUAUCCAUCGUUAUUUCGUUUGAUUAGACUUUUUAAUGUGGCAUUUCUUGCUUCGACCCGAUGCAGGAUCUCCACAAAUAGAUAAUGGUGCUUAUCUUGAUGUGCUAGUAUCAUAUAAUAUGGACAACAUAUGCAGGGCAUCCAAUAGUGUUGAUGUUCAGAUUGAGGAUGAGGAGGAGCCAUAUGAGGCUGCACGGGCCUUAGAUUCUGAUGAUGACGUCCGGUUCAAAAAAUGACCGAGCAAGAAAUUGAACUCAUAAGACGUUUGUGUCCCGAGCGUGACCCUGCAGUACAUGAAUUUAGCAGUCUAAGUCAUUCCACCCGUGCAUAUGCUGAAGGACGUGAUGAUGAACUGCUAGAGGCUCUGGAUAACGCCGACAGCAUUGAGAUUAAGGUAGGCUUUUCAAGGACCUGCCUACACUGAGAUGAUGGCUACAAGAAUAUUCUGUGAACCGCAAGAGGCCGUUCAAGGUGAGACACUCGUAUGCACAGCGUCGUUACAUAUUGUGUGCGAGGUGUCAGAAUGUAAUUGGAGGGUAUGUGCCCGAAGGCAGAAGGAAACCGGAAAGUUUAAGAUCACCAAAAUUGUAGGUCCACACACUUGUGCCCAAACAGAGCUGAGCUCUAAGCAUCGUCAGUUGACAUAUACCCUAAUUGCGAAAAGGAUAUUGGGGAUAUUGAAGGGUCAGCCAAACUUGAAGGUGAAGUCAAUUAUGACCAUGACUUCGGAGCUGUUUGGUUACAGGAUCAAAUAUGGGAAAGCAUGGAGGGCAAAGCAGCGAGCAUGGAAGAUGAUAUACGGGGAUUGGGAGGAGGGUUAUGAGAAGUUACCAGCAUUGUUCAAUGCAAUCAAAGCAAAAAAACCCAGGCAUGCAUUACGAGUACAUCCCCAAACCUAAUGAAUGGAGGAACGACAGAGAGAUAUUUUUUCGUGCUUUCUGGUGUUUCUCGCAGUGCGUAGAGGCCUUCAGGCAUUGUCGUCCCGUGCUCUCUAUUGAUGGUACUUUUCUGCUUGGGAAGUAUAAGGGCACAUUGUUGGUUGCCAUAUCAUGCGACGCAGACAACGCAUUGGUUCCUUUGGCAUUUGCUUUGGUGGAGAGGGAGAACAGAGAUAGUUGGUCUUGGUUCUUGCGACUUGUUCGUAGGACUUGGUUCAACUCUUCCGCCCACUGAUUUUUUUUCUUUUCCUUUACCUCUGGCUCUGGCCAAUGGGACAAAGGACCAUACAACCACUCUCUGAAACGACACUUACGCCACCCGUAUGGCUGCAGGAAAAUAAAUUAGUAAUUUAUUUUAAAAAAUAACUAGUUUAUACAUUUAGCGUAUCGAUGGGCUCACAUAAUCAAUGUUCGGACACACGAACUGCUUCUCAUGGUCUUCGUCGAUGACACCACGGUCUCCACAAUCGCAUCGAGGCGGUGAGUCCAUCCGUCUUUCUGUUGCUACCUCCUUCUCCACAUCUGUCAUUGGUGGAGGAUUCGGGGGAGGAGGUACCCAACGCUUAAAACGUUCAUGACUAGUCCUUCCACACAACCAAUUAGCGAAAAGAAGAUAUCGAGGGUCAAAUUUAUCAGGGCCGUCGAUCCACUGGAAAAAGAAACACCUCAGGUGCCCCUAAAACAAUGGAACGAAGCACUAUUACACAUCUACUAAAUACUAAAUACUAAAUGCGAACAAAAUUAAGUCACAAGUCAUAAGCUAUGUACGUCAAAACCGACACAAAGGUAGAAGCAUUGAGCAGCCGUGUCUGGAUGUUUGGAUUGACAUACCCAAGCCAGUCUGCCACAGUCACAGUUAGGCACGGGGAGUUCAGGAGGAACAGGAGCAUCCUUACUAGAUACGUCCGGAUAUAACUCCCGAGGACGACCUCUCUUCUGCCACAACGCCUCCCGGUACAUGUCUUUCAUCUAAUAAACGAUUAUAAUUAUCACUUAUACCUAAUAGGAUUUAUAAUAGGUUUACACAAACUAUCAAAUAAAAUAUACUCAUCAUAUUAAUGAUACUAUAUAUAUUAUGAGCAACUACGGAAACUAAUAAUCGAAACUCGUCCGCCAAAGUCACACCAAGGGCGUAAGGAGGAGAAGAUUGCAGCACUCAGAGAUAGACAAAGUCACUGGAACCCGUCCGCCAUCAAAGGGACUGGUUCAGGACCGGGGGCCAGGCCGGCUGCUACAAAUCGACCGUGUUUCAUACGUCUAACACCAGAAGAAUUAGCAGCGAAACGGGCAAGUGGAGAAUGUUACCACUGCAAUGAGAAGUACUCGGCUGAUCACAAGUGCACCGCAAGGGGGGUAUUCUUGCUGGAAAUGGACAACGACAUGGAGGAAGAUGCAGCAGCGGAAGACCUGGGCAUUUCUCUUCAUGCCCUCACGGGCAUUGACAUCAGCAGCACCAUGAAGCUCUAGGUCAGGGUCAAGGAUCAGACAUUGGUGGUGCUGGUGGACACAGGCUCUACCCACACAUUCAUCCGGGAAGCUGUGGCCACCCAGCUGGGCCUCCAAGUCACACCAAGACCGGGUCUCUCCGUCAAUGUAGCAAACGGGGACAACGUCGCCAGCAGCGGGAUAUAUUCCAAGCUCCGAAUUACUAUUGCCAAGGAGACCUUCCACAUCACUUGCUACGGUCUUCCUCUAGCCGGCUUCGACAUUGUCCUAGGGGUCCAGUGGCUUUGGUCAUUGGGACCCAUAUUGUGGAACUUCAACGCCUUAUCCAUGGAGUUCUGGCGCCUGGGACGCAAGGUGCGUUGGGUAGGACUGGGUGCGCCUCAUACUCAGUGUGCAGCCAUGUCCGAACCCUGCGAACUACUACAGGCAUUACUGCAGUCCUACGCCGACAUCUUCGCUGAACCACGUGGCCUUCCGCCACCUCGGCGUCACGACCAUCACAUCAGGCUGCUGCCAGGGACGCCACAAGUUGCAGUUCGGCCCUACAGAUACCCCCAAUUGUUGAAAGACGAGAUCGAGCGCCACUGCGAAGACAUGUUGCAGCAAGGCAUCAUUCGAGAGUGCACAUCGGCCUACUCUUCUCCAGUGUUACUUGUGAAGAAAGCUGAUAAAUCCUGGUGUUUCUGCAUUGACUAUCGGGCCCUCAAUACCAAAACAAUCAAGGACAAGUUUCCCAUUCCGGUGGUCGACGAACUCUUGGAUGAGUUACACGGUGCAUGCUUCUUCACAAAGUUGGACCUCCUCAGUGGAUAUCACCAAGUACGCAUGCACCCAGAUGAUAUUGAGAAGACAGCGUUCCGCACUCAUCGAGGUCACUUCGAGUUUCUAGUCAUGCCCUUCGGCCUCACCAACGCACCGUCCACAUUUCAGGCCCUCAUGAAUGAUGUCCUGAAACCCUUCAUCCGGAAGUUUGUCCUGGUCUUCUUCGAUGAUAUUCUGGUAUUCAGCUCUUUCUGGGCAGCGCACUUACAACAUGUUAGGGAAGUAUUUACAGCACUCCGAGCAAACAAGUUAUCAGUCAAACAGUCCAAGUGUUCGUUUGGCAAAACAUCAGUCGCUUACUUGGGUCAUGUUAUCUCAGCUCAGGGCGUUUCUAUGGAUUUGGAUUAGGUGGCAGCAGUAGAAGUUUGGUCGCGCCCUCAGUCUAUUCGGGCACUUCGAGGUUUCUUGGGUCUCACUGGCUAUUAUUGCAAGUUUAUAGCGGAUUAUGGGACCAUAUCUGCACCCCUCACGGCUCUUCUCAAGCGUGAGGCGUUCCGUUGGUCGGAAAGGGCAGAGGAGGCAUUUCUUCAACUCAAGCAAGCCCUUAUAUCAGCACCACUGUUACAGAUGCCGGAUUUUUCUAAACAGUUUAUAGUGGACUGUGAUGCAUCAGGGACUGUUUUGGAGCAGUCCUUCAUCAAGGAGAUGGGGCCAUUGCAUAUUUCAGCCGUGUUGUAGCACCACACCAUCAGAAAUUACCAGCGUAUGAGAGGGAAUUGAUUGGUUUAGUCAAAGCAGUGAGGAAUUGGAGACCAUAUUUAUGGGGAAGAACCUUUCUGGUACGGACAGAUCACUAUAGCCUUAAAUUCCUCCUGGAUCAACGGUUGUCUACAAUACCGCAACAUACAUGGGUCAGCAAAUUGUUUGGAUAUGAUAUGUCAGUGGAGUAUAGGCCGGGCAAAUUGAAUGGUGCAACAGAUGCCUUGUCUCGACGCGACGAAGACACCGCAGAAAUUAACAGCAUCUCAGCACCACAUUUUCAGCUGUUUGACACCCUUCGCAAUGAAGCUGCCACCGACCCACAGGUCUUAAGCUUGUGGGCUGCCAUUAUAGCGGGAACUGCAAAAUCAGGAUGGACGGAAGCUGAUGGCCUGCUACUAUUUCAAGGGAAGGUCUUCAUCCCGGACGCUUCAACAGUUUGGAUAGAAAUCCUAGCAGCAGCACACAAUUGUGGUCACAAGGGCAUUGAGAAGACUGUACAUCGAUGGAGAGCAUCCUUCUACAGUCCAUAGGCCUUACGACGGGUCAGAGAAUUCGUGCAAGCAUGCGCCACUUGCCAACGGAAUAAAACUGAGCAUCUACAUCCAGCAGGUCUGCUGCAACCCCUGCCGGUACCAUCGGAAAUUUGGAACGACAUCUCCAUGGACUUUGUUGAAGGAUUUCCUAAGGUUGGUGGCAAGACAGUGGUACUAACAGUGGUCGACAGGUUCUCUAAGUUCGCCCACUUUAUUCCUCUUGGCCAUCCAUAUACCGCAGUGACCGUGGCUAGGGCAUUUUUCGAAGGGAUUGUGUGCCUUCAUGGUAUUUCGUGCUCAAUUGUAAGUGAUAGAGAUACAAUGUUUACUAGUGCCUUCUGGUCCGAGCUUUUUCACCUUGCUGGGGUCAAGUUGUUACUUAGUUCCGCGUUUCACCCCAGACCGAUGGACAGUUGGAAGUGGUUAACAGAAUUAUUGUGAUGUACUUACGCUGCUUGGCAGGUGAUCAGCCAAAAACUUGGUUACAAUGGCUUCCAUGGGCUGAAUUUUGCUACAAUAUGUCAUACCAGACUGCGGUCAAGUGCACUCCAUUCAGGAUUGUAUAUGGCCGGGACCCUCCAACAAUGCUUUCUUAUACACCUGGGACAGCCAGAGUAGCUGCCGUCAAUCAGCAACUUCAGGAUCGAGAUGUUUUCUUGGCAGACAUCAAACAAAGGCUAAUCCAAGCUCAGGUAACAAUGAAGCAGGCACAGGACAGUGGCCGUCGAGAUGUGCAGUAUGCUGUCGGCGAUUGGGUUUGGCUGCGUCUGCACCAAAGGUUGGCAGUGGGUGUCACUCCAGCAGCAACAUCCAAAUUAGGACCUAAGUUCUAUGGGCCAUAUCAAAUUCUGCAACGCAUUGGAGAGGUCGCCUAUAAGCUACAGCUGCCAACCAAUGCAAGAAUCCAUGAUGUUUUUCAUGUGGCACUUCUCAAGAAAUUCCAAGGGGAGCCCCCAUCCGCACUAGUACCCUUACCAACGAUUCUGCAUGGCAAGGUACUUCCGGUUCCAGCACAAGUAGUGAAGGCUCGUUUAAAUAGAGGUGUUUGGGAGUUACUGGUCCAGUGGCUUGGACGUGAGCCGACUGAUGCUACAUGGGAACAAUGUAAUGAGUUCAAGAGAAGAUAUCCAGAAAUACAACUUGAGGACGAGUUGUUUGUCGGAGAGGAGGGAAAUGUUAUAGAUGCUUUUGUGGGCCGCCAAUUCACAAGGCGCAAAAAUAGGAAAGAGGAGAUAAGUCAGGAAUAGUUUCUGUUUAAUCAGUUCCUAAAUAAUAGGUUAGUUCCUUUUUAUGUGGCUAAAUGGUAGCAGUAGAUAUGUCUAUCCUGAGACCGCCUAUGGCUAUAAAGGUGGCUGGGCAUCAACUGUAAUAAUCAACGAGGAAUAAGAUCUCCCUUUUGUUUGGGCGAGAUCACCUGGGAUCAUCCUGGCCAGGCACGACGCCGCCGCAGGAGAUCUGGGUGAUCAGCGCCCUCUUCUUCCAUACACCUUGCGCCACUCCAAUCUCCCUCUCUACUCCCCAUUGAAGGACACCAGGAAACCAAGGUUACAGACUCACCAGCGAGGAGUCGAUAACAUAACAUAAUGUUACUUAGACCAUAGUUUCCCUCUACUCAUCUUGUUAUACAAUCGGCCUUGCUACGCUACAGGGAACAACCUGACGGCGUCCCAAGAGACCCUGAUGAUGCCACCAUUCCUCGCCUCCGCCUCCUGGAAUGUCCACCCAAAUGCCUCCGAAGGGUGGGGGAGCUCCCUCCACUUCUCGGUCCUGAGAUCAACGACAUCAACCACGCAAACGCAGCUCUCCGUUGGGC
Molecule: long non-coding RNA, 95637 nt
Filed under: Zea mays
Lineage: Eukaryota; Viridiplantae; Streptophyta; Magnoliopsida; Poales; Poaceae
Description: long non-coding RNA (ZMAY_LNC001358)
Source: RNAcentral